RNAcentral lists this long non-coding RNA (117179 nucleotides) under Gossypium barbadense (sea-island cotton). RNAcentral's name for it is "long non-coding RNA (GBAR_LNC017416)". The record is from RNAcentral. Lineage: Eukaryota; Viridiplantae; Streptophyta; Magnoliopsida; Malvales; Malvaceae.
CAAAAAUGGGAUUGAGAUCACAAGGCACAAUUGCUUCACCCCCGUUGGAAGGCUGGUAGGGGUCAAUGCAGUGCACAAGUCCAUGUCCACUAAAAUGGAAAAGCAGGACAUCUCCUUCUUUAGCCGCGACCACCAUCUUCUUGAGUUCAGCCAUAAUGUUUGCACGUGUAGGCUUAUACGUGGACUCUGGUUCAUCAGUUAGGAGCUCAACAUUUUCGGAAUCAAAGCCAAACCUGCUCACGAUCAUUUCUCUCAUGGCUUUCACAUCGUUUACGCAUCCGCUCAACUCGUUGAUGGUGUUGGGGUAGUUGCAUCCGACCAGAACGGCUCUCUUCUUACAUUCGGUGGCCAUCUUGCUUCUAUUUUGGGUCGCUUGUCUUGUCUUGUGCUUCGGACGUUGCACUAAACACCUAUAUAUAUACACCCAUACACACUGUAGUUUACACUAUGCUCACUGACCAUACUCUAAUAAAUAAGACAUCAUGUUGGUAGGUACAACUGUUUUAUUUUAUUAUUGUUUAUAAAAAUGCAUGGCAAAUCCAUAUACAUGCAAUUAGUUGUCUGUAUAAAAGUACCACUGUUAGAGUGUAUUUGGACUAAAAAUUUUAGAAUUAAUUUAAAAUAUUAAAAUUUGUAAUUGUUUUAUUUGGAUAAAUAAUUGAUUUAGGACAAAUUAAGUUAUUAGAAUUUUACAAAUUAAAAAUAGUUAUAAAAUAAAAAUUUUAUAUUACAAAAAAAAUUAAAAUUAACAUUAAAAUAAUUAUAAAAUAUUUUAUACACAAAAAUGAAUAAUUUGAAAAGCUUUCCAUAUUAUUAAGUCCAAAUUUGAUACCACACUUUUCCAAUUAAGCAAUUUUGAUAUAUUUGGCCUCUAAUAAGAAAUCAAGAAAUGGAAUGGGUGAUUAAUCCGAAUUGGGAGGAGGACAGGUGUUGUGAUGGACAAAGAGGAAGAUAAGGUAGGUAUUCCUUUUUGCAGACAAAUAAGAUAAAAGAUAGAAAAUAUACAGUGGUGGUCGAAGCUAGAGGAUUAUAACAGCACUGAUAUGAUCUGCUUCGCCUUCGUCCACCACCUCAUCUUUAUGUUUUUAUCUUGGUCGUGACUCACGUUGGCCUUCGUCUGCAAGUGCUGUCGGUCCUACUAUCGAGAUUCUGCUGCCUAGCUUUCGAUUUCUAUGGCCUUAUUUGGCAAUUGGCUCAUAAUGGGCAAAUUAUAAUUGUAUAAUGUUUAAGUUAUAAUUUUAUAGAUUUAAGAGAGAUCAAAAUAACAAUUUUUUAUUUUAUGGGUAUAAAGAGUAUUUUUCAUUUUAAGGGGGUCAUGGUUAGAUGUGAUUAUGGGUGGCGGUGUGCUCGAAAAGUGGGAGGGUUUAGGUAAAAAUAUAGGCAUGAAAAAUAGGUUUAGAUAAAAAAAAUACCCGUUUUCGAAACAGGUCGAGCCUUGAGUAAGAUUUUCUUUGUCCGGGCCCGGCCCGACCCAAAUUUGAUUAAAAAAAAAUUCUUGGUGUUGUUUAAUGUUGUUUUGCUACCAUUUUACUAUUAUAUUGCUACUAUUUUGUUGUUAUUAUUUGGAUGUUUUAUAACUUUGUUUUAUUAUUAAUUUUGCUACUAUUUUAGAAACAUUUGCUUGCUAAGUUGCUACUAUCUUAGUGUUAUUUAAAUAUAAAGAUUUUUUUUAAUGUAUUUUCAAUUUGUUGGGAAGUAUUUAUUUUAAUGUUUUUAGUUUAUUUGAUGCAUUAUAUAUUUACAUAAAAAAUUUUAAUACGGGUAGACCGGGUCAAGCUCAAGUUUAGCAUUUUUUAUCUGGUUUAAUCUUGGACAAAAUUUAGACCCAUUUUUCGGGUCGAUUUAGCCCAUGAUCAAGUCUAGCCACGACCCUUACCUGCUCUGGUCACUGCCUUUGGCAAUGAGAUUAAUUCCAGUGAGAUUGAAAAUAGCGAUGGCGGUGAGAUUAGUUACUAUAGUGAUGAGACUAAAAUUAAUACUAAAAUGUGUGUUAGGAUUCAAACACAACAGUGGUUUAUAGAUUUAUAGUAAGAAAGUAGAAUGACCAUUAUGGACAUUAAACUAAAGCAGUUUACACUCUUCAGUAUAUUUUUGUACAAUUAAUAUUUUAAUGAUAAUAACGUCAUAUUUCAUUUAUAUAACUCAUGUGUAUAAAAUUUAAUGUAAAUUUAAAAUGUUCAAACUAAUUGUUUUAUGUAAGAAUACUUUUAAUCGUUGAAUGAAUGUUAAUAUGUACAAUAUUUUAGAUUGUUAUGGUAGAAGUAUCGACUCAAUUUGAAAAUUUUUAUAUGCAUGAAAAGUACAAUAAUAUCAAUAAAUUCAAUGGUUGGAUUGUUAAAUUAAUAAUGAUACAAAUAUAUAUAUAUAUGAAAGCGUGUAAAAUUACUUUAGUUUCACUCUAGUGUAAGCAGAUCUCUCUCCUUUUAAUAUAUAAAAUUAAUUAUACAAUUUAAAUUUAUGUAUUGAAAUUAUUUAUAAAUAUAAGUAUAAAUAUAUUUCUUUAUACACCUAACUAAUGUAAAUAAAAUAUUAAAUGUUAUUUGCAAGUAAUGAAAUAAAACAAAUAUUAUAAAUAAACAACUCUCCGAAGGUUAAAUGGAAUUAAUGUAAACAUUUCCAAACACUUUGUGAAUGCCUCGAGCUUCUUGAAUCUGCACUCUAAACCUCCUCACCUAAUAAAUACACUAUGGACACUUUGUUGAUUGGCUCAGAGUGAUAGAUAGGAGUGAAUAAAACUCGAUUUGAUUUUUUAAAAAAAAUCAAAUUUUGAGUUAAUUGAAUUGAGUUAUUUAAGUUAUUUUUAUUUUUUUGGUCAACUCGAAUAAGUAAUUUGAGUUUCAAGUCGAGAUCGGGUUAAAUUUUACAAUUCGAAUAACUCAAAUAAUAAAUGUAACACCCUAUACCCAGCCUGGUCGUCGAGCCCGAAUAUCAGGAUGCCACACCAUCGUCUCAUGUCAUACACAACGAAUAAAAGCCCAUUUUAAAUGAAGACGUCUUCCACAAUAUCAUUCGUAAAGGUUUUAAGUCGAUCUUACUCUUUAGUUAUCAUCGUUACGUGCUAAUCAUACAUCAAAUAGUCUUACACUAAUAAUUAAACUUGCAUAGGGUUCAUUUAGCAAAAUUUUCCAAGCAAGUACGUAGGUAUCGAUAGUAGGACAAGGGUAUCAAUAUUUUCCUGGUACGGUAUUGAUGUCCUUUGUAAAAUUAGAACCAAAUCAGUAUUCUGUUUCUCAUCUAAAAUCAAAGUCUCAUAAAGUAUCAGUAACUUUGCAAAAGUAUAGAUGAAAUUACUUCGAGUAUCGAUACUCGUGAUAUGAUAUUGAUACCAAUCUACGAUUUUGACUUCCUACACAUUUCAAAAUCAUAGAUGUAUCAUUUUAAAAACAUGAAUAUCGAUACCUCUACUCCAAGCCAGAAAAAUACAACAUACUUGAGCACAAAAAAAUCAUUCUAACUUGUACUAAUUCAUCAUGCUAUCAUAUCACCAUCAAAUAAACAUCAAAAGGACAAUAUGAUAGUCUCAAACAUCGAAAGUAAGUCCGAGCAAUAAUCAACGUAAUACGAAAUGAAUCUCAUAAACUUAGGAACAAAUAAUCUAUGGAAGCAUCUAAAACAUCAUGGUAAAUACCAAUAGAAGUCUACCACAUUGCCUUUUUUCCAAAACAUAAACAAAUAACAAUAACACCUACUAAAUCACGGAAAUGAACUUACUUGGAUCACCCCUUGGAACCACACCGCUCACACCGGCACUUUAAGAAAGAAGUGGGUGAGCUUAACAAGCUCAGUGAAUGCCUAGAAUAACUACCAUGCAAACAAUUCAUCAAGCAUCAACGAAACAACCAUAUAGCACAACCUCAACAAUUCCAACACUAGUGUCAUAAUAUACUUACUCGUGCAUUAUUUUCUAUUUCUUUUACAUUGUAAACAUAUUCACUUUUAAACAUAUAUCUUGUUACACAUAUAAUCACCUAACAUCCAAACAUAUAUCACAAUACUCAUAUAAUCACAUAACAUUUAAGCAUAUAUCAAAAUAUUCAUAUAAUCACAUAACAUUUAAGCAUAUAUCACAAUACUCAUAUAAUCACAUAACAUUCAAGCAUAUAUCACAAUAUAUAUACAUAUAAUCACAUAACAUUCAAGCAUAUAUCACAAUAUACAUAUAAUCUCAUAACAUUUAAGCAUAUAUCACAAUACUCAAAACAUCUUUAUAGAUAAGUUAUGAAACGUAAAAGUGGGCACUAUCACCACUCAUCGGAUACACGGAUAUCCAGUACACCACAUAGACUCGUAGAGUCAAACAUGUCUCAAAAGUGAAGCAUAAAGCUAACACUCUCAUUAUUUCCCCUCACAUGCCCCAUUGAAUAGAGGCUAGCUCACAUUCCCUUAUCACUCCAACAUGUCCCAAGGCCUCAACGCCCAAAUCACUAUACAUAUAGAUGAGUACUCACAAUCCUAUGGCAUGCCUACUAUAUCCAACGGGUUCAAGAUCACAAGUCCAAAAUAUCCAAAAUUAAACACAUAUCACUUACCAACUAUCCGUGCACUAUCAUUGUAUAUUUGCUAUUUUUAGAAAAACAUUGUCACUAACAUUUAACAUAUACAUAACAUGUACACAUUUGCACUUUCACAACAGUUAUGAUAACCAUAUAUCACAUGUUAUAGCAUAUCAUCUCUGUUCACAUAUUCACAAACACAUAAGCACAUAGUUCACAAGAUAACAUAGGUAUGAGAAAGCUUACACUCGAAAUUUAGAGUAGGGGUUUAGGUCACAACUAAAUUCCAAAAUAACGCAUUGAAUCAUGUUCGCAAGUAAUUAUUCCAAGUCACCAAUUACACUUUCGUCGAAAAGCCAAACGCUCAAACUAGUUUUUCAUUGUCUUUAUAUCUACUCAAACUAGCUCAAACACUAAUCAAUUACUCAAUCUUUUUCCCUAAAAUCAGUUUCGUUCAUCUUAUAAUUUACCUACGACUAAUUCCCAACCUUUAAACUAGAAUAAAAUACUAAAUUCAUGGUAUUGACUUUUUCUACAUGUUUUAUGACUAUUUUCUGAAAAUUCAUUAAAACUCAAGAAUUUUUUAACGAAACUUCAAAGUAAGUUUAGAAACCUUCUAAUAAUGUUAAAACUAAUUGAAAAACACUUUAAAAUAUCGUUUUUAUGCAAAAUCUCAAAUUUCACCAUUAACGACCCAAUUUUCGAUUUUUAUUCAAAACAUGUGAUUUAAUGGCUAAAAACUUAGUUUUAAAGACUAAAUAACAUUUAAACAAAAAAAUCGAGCGUUUGAUGAAAAUCCCAAAAAAACCCACAAACUUGACAAUAGAGAAAUCUGUGGUGUUUUUGAGUGUUUUUCUUAGAUUUUAUGGAGAUAUUUGGCUUGGGUGAUGAUAGAAAUCAAGAGAAUUAAGGUUGAAGAUCAAAUAGUGGAAGAGAGGAGCUUUGAGAGCAAGGGGCGGCUAAAGCAUGAAAAUGGAGAAGACUAAGGUAAAAAUUAUAGGUGGGGAUGAUUUUAGGUUGAUUUUUAAAAUUUGUUUUAAUUGCCUCUUAAAAACUCACAAUUUUAACUCUUUUACAAAUCAAUCCUACUUUCAAAAUUAAAGAUAUUUAAAACUCAUUUUCAGAAAUUGAUUUAAUUUUAACCAUAGUAAAAAAAAUAUAUCGAUAAACCAAUUCAUAAAAUUCCGAACACUCUAAGGCUAAAAUUCCUAAAUUACCUCUAAACCCCUAGGUCCUAUUUUGGGAUGUUACAAUAAAUUGGUGUAAAUACACAUUUGGUCCCUGUCAAUUUUGAACAUGAGCAAAUUGAUCUUUCUCUCAACAAAAAUUACAAAAAAAAUUCAAAAUAUUUAUAAGAAUUUUAGAAUUUAAAACUUUUUUAAAUAUAUAUUAAAAAAUCUAAAGAAAUAUAAAAAAAUUAGAAAAAUCUAAUUAUCAUUUUUGGGACCUAAAUAAGUUAAUUAAUUAUUCAAGUUUAUCAUACUAUUUUUACUCUUUUUUUAAUGAAUUUUAAAAAAUAUAUGAUUUCAAAGAUAUGUGUUUUAGUAUAGAGUUAGUUAAAUUGUAAAAAUAUUUUAAUUUUUUCACUCGAUCCGAUCGAACGCUCACCUCUAGUGGUCGAUGUUCAUCGACAUAUAUCCUUUGUCUCCAACCGGAAAGGAUCUCUUCCAAAAUGAGAAUCUUAAAUUAGAGUGUGUCAUAUUUACCACAAGCCGUUUAUGAUAGAAUCAGACCCGUUUAAGCUUGAAAUCACUCACCUAAUGCAUGUUAUUUGGAAGGUUAUCGAUGAAGAUCGUUGCAACAACUAGAAGUUCGCCACUCCAUUUUUCUAUUGUCCGCCCUCCCUUGAUUAUAACAAUCCAGAACCUCCCUUACUCUAACUUAUAAAAUUAAAAAAACUCUAUAGGACAAAAUAAGACAAUAAAAGCUUUUAUUUAUUUAUUAAUACACUAGAAUUUCACACAUAGCAAAAGCACACUAUAUAAGGAGAUGCAUAGGAAAACAGCGGUAGGUAGAUAUAAGUCAACAGGCUGUCAAAUUUAUUCUAGUAAUAGUGUAAACAUAAGCACAUUAUUAUAGACGACACUGACAGCCUGAGCACCAGCAUUUUGAUCAGAAAUUUAAGCAAAGCCACCCAAGAAAAGUGUGUUUGUAUUCUCAUCACUGCAAUAAAGGCAAGGGUUCUGCUCAAAUCCAUUGUUCUUCAAAAUCUUGGCAGCCUCAACCAUAAGUUGUCUGUUGCUUAUUCCACCACCCAUGCACUGAUCGAGUACGCUAACCACUGCAUCGGUGAACGCCCCAAAGGCUCUAUUCCCCAAAACCAGGUCAUAUGAUGUCUCAUUGGCUUCACACCCACUUAAUAAUAUCCCUUCAUCCUCCUCCGGUGGAUCCAACACCAUUAACCCAUUUACGUAGUGAGGAUGGAAUUUGAGACUCACAUCUUUCCCGAAGAUUCCGAAAAUCUUUUGGCCAACAUUUGCUGCAUCGUGUAGGAUGCCUGCUGCUGUAUCUAUCGCACUGUGUAUGAUAUCAAAAGUAAGACUCUUAGCCUUAGCCUUAGACGGUUUAGGCUUGUUGGGAUUUACUGGAGUCAUCAUUUGCUGAGCACCAAAUUAUUCUUUCUCUUUUUCAAUGAGACCACCACUGUGGCACGAAUCUGAUAGGAUUGUGAAGCUUGCUCCUUCUGGUAGCCGGUUAACUAAAUGCCUGAAGUCCACAUCUGUAGAAACCAUGUAUAUAUAGGGUAUGAAUAUAUGUUGCUAAAAAAAUAUAUAAAUUCAAAUAAAAACCUACCGGUGACAAGAUUUAAAUCACAAGCCACGAUUGCUUUAUCUUGCUUGAAAGGCUGGCCAGGUUGAAAGAUUGGAAUGCGUGUUCCAUGUCCACUGAAGUAGAAAAAUAGGAUAUCUCCUGCUUUAGCCUUGUUCACCAUUCUAUUAAGUGCAUCCUUAAUGUUUGCACCCAUAGCCAGAACCGGCGACCCUGGUGCAUCGGUGAGAACAUUAACAUCGCUUUCCUUAAACCCAAAGUUCAGGAUCACACCUCUUAUGGCUUUCACAUCAUUGAUGCAUCCAUGCAAGUUGAAUUGGGUCUUGGGGUAGUUGCAUCCCACCAGAACUGCUCUCUUCGUACCCUUACUCAUCUUGCUUCGCUAAUUUGACUAUUUUGUGUUGCUUGUACCAUUGUAUUAAUGUGCUUCCACUAUCUCACUUAGAACCUAUAUAUAUACACACUAAUUUACAGCAUGUGUACUGACCAUAAAGAUGACGACAUGUAGGUAGGUAGGUAGGCAGGUACAACACUUUUGUUUGUCUUUCGUGUUUUGGAAAAUGCAUGCGAAAUCCCCUUUGGAGGGGUUUUUCCACGUUAAAUUUGUGUGUUCAUCUUCUCAAUUUCUUCUACUAGUUUUUACUUGUUCGUUGCUUAAUCGGGACAAUCCUAACAAAUGGUAUCAGAGCUAGUUCAAUUUUUAUAGAUCAGCCCGUUCAGAGAUGGCAACAACAAAGUUUGAAAUUGAGAAGUACGAUGGUGAGACAAAUUUCAAUCUAUGGCAAGUUCGGAUGAUGGCAAUUCUAGUUCAAAACGGCUUGAAAAGGUUGUUAUAGGGAAAAAGCCUGAGAAUCUAAAUCAAACAAAAUGGGAAGAGCUUGAUGAAAAGGCAUUGUCUGCAAUCCAUUUGUGCCUCGCGAAUACUGUAUUGUAGGAGGUAUUGAUGGAGAAGACCUCAUCUGUCUUAUGGAAAAGGUUAGAAACUCUUUAUGCGACUAAGUUUUUGGCUAACCGUUUAGUGUUGAAACAACGUCUAUUUACGUUUCGCAUGAAUGAAAGUAAGCUUCUUAGAGAUCACAUCAAUUAAUUCAUUACUCUUUUAAAUGAUUUAAGGAACGUUGAUAUUCAUAUUGACGAUGAAGAUCAAGCUAUGCUAUUAUUGUGCUCUUUACUACCUUCAUACAAGUCUUUCAGGGAGACCCUGAUUUAUGGUAGAGACAAACUCUCGUUCAAAGAUGUGAAGGGUCAUUUGUUGAGUAGAGACAAACUCGACAAUGAGUUUGGUUUGAAUAGCAAAGCAAAUAGGAAAGCUUCCGUUUUGGUAGUAUCAAAGAAACGAGACAAAAGGUGUCGCUAUUGUAAAAAGUUAGGUCAUGUCAAAGCAGAUUGUUAUAAACUGCGAAAUAAAAUAGUUGCUGAGAGUAACGAGGAAUAUGUAGCUGGUGCUAAUUUGGUCGAUGAAGGCGGUGAUGAUUUCUUGUUAGUGUCAACGAGAGAUAACUCUAAGCUUACGUCUGAGUGAAUCCUAGAUUCAGGAUGUUCUUUCCACAUGUGUCCCAAUAGAGAAUGGUUCUCCACAUACAGUUCAGUUGAAGGUGCAGUUGUGCACAUGGGAAACUAUUCAUCUAGUAAGAUAAUUGGUAUUGGUACUGUUAAAAUUAGGAUAGACGAUGGGACGAUUAGGACACUCUCAGAUGUCAGUUAUGUACGUAAUUUACGAAAAAAUCUCAUCUCCUCGAGUAUUUUAGACUUGAAAGGAUGUAGAAUCAACAUCGAGUCGAGUGACAUUAAAGUAUCUCGUGGAGCUCUCGUUUUGUUAAAAGGUAAAAGAACUGACAGUCUUUAUAUUUUGGAAGGUUCUACAGUGAUCGGUGAAAUCGGACAUCCCUCGUCCGUUACGGAGUCAAAGUUAACUCGUUUGGAGCGAAGGCAACCUGGUCAUAGGAGGGAAAAAGGUAUGACCGUUUCGUUGAAUAGAGGUUCUCUUUUGGAUGUAGGUUUUGAAAAGUUAGGGCACUAUGUUUGUGAAAAUCAGACUUGGGUUAGUUUUGAUUUGGCAGUGCACAAGUCGGAGGCUAGAAGUCUUCCAGCUUCUAAGUAUAGAUUUGACUCAGUUAAUUUCCUGCAUAGUUCAAGAUAGACCCGUGGCGGGUUUUGGCAAAGAUGGCGUUGAAAGAAUUCGUGUCAAGGUGGAGAUUGUUAAAGUUGUGUGACCCAAAUUCUAAGAGAUUGCUUGCAAGUCAAGUUAAACAAAAAUAAUUUUUUCUUUCUAGAAGAUUUAGUAUUUAUUUGUAUAAUAUAUUUAGCAUUUAUUAGCAUAGUUUAUUUUACUUACUAAUUUAGCCUAUAAAUAGGCUCUUUUACAAUCUUAGAAAAACACACCCAUUAGAUUAGAACUCAUAACAUAUUUAGAGAAUUUUGUGUUUAAGUUUUGAGAGUUCUUUAUUUUUCGAGUUUUCGGGGUUUAGUUUUUAUCUCCAUCUUUUAUACUCUUCGUUCUUUUGCCAUUAUAGUAAAAUUAUAUUUGCCCGUGGUUUUUUAUCCCCUUUGGAGGGGUUUUUCAACGUUAAAUUUGUGUGUUCAUCUUCUCAAUUUCUUCUACUAGUUUUUACUUGUUCGUUGCUUAAUCGGGACGAUCCUAACAGUUUAUUACGUACCAGCUUUGAAAAGCAACAUCAUCAGCCUUGGACAGCUUCUAGAAAAAUGAUAUAAAGUACAUAUGAAGGAUUGUAUGCUCGCCCUAAAAAAUAAGAGUGGUGAAUUAAUUAUCCAAGUUGAUAUUACGCCUAACCGUUUGCUUACUAUUGACAUUGAAUCUGGAGAGGUGAAAUGUAUGAAGAACGUAAUUAAAAAUGAUUCAUGGUUAUGGCAUUUAAGGUUCGGGCAUCUUGGAUUUUCUGGUCUGAAGCUAUUGUUAAAAGAAAAUAUGGUGAAUGGGCUGCCAUAAAUUAAUCUUUCUGAUCAACUGUGUGAAGCCUGCAUUAAAGGAAAACAACAUAGACAGAGUUUUGAAGUUGGAAAAACUCGACGAGCCAAGAGACCAUUGGAGAUCGUGCACUCUGACAUAGCAGGUCCUUUUAAUAUACCAUCACUUGGUGGAAACAAGUACUAUGUUACUUUUAUUAAUGAUUUUAGCAGAAAAAGUUGGAUAUAUCUUCUUAAAACAAAAUCAAAAGCAUUUGACAAGUUUAUCAAGUUCAAAGCCCUGGUAGAAAAACAGAGUGGACAUUUCAUUAAGAUACUUAGAAUUGAUAGAGACGGUUAGUAUACUUCAAAGCUAAUUGAAAGCUUCUGCAAGGAGCACGAAAUUAUUCACCAGUUGACAACUGCAUACACGCCACAACAAAAUGGAGUCAUUGAAAGAAAGAACCGCACUAUUCUUGAUAUGGCAAAAAGCAUGGUUAAAUGUAAGCAUUUACUAAGAGCUUUCUAGGCUGAAGCUGUUCAAUGUGCUGUUUAUUUGUUGAACCAGCAUCCAACAAAAAGUGUGAAAUACAAGAUGCCAAACGAAGCUUGGAACAAUUAGAAGCUAGGAGUCGAACAUUUCAAGAUUUUUGGAUGCAUCGUAUAUGCUUAUGUUACUGACCAGAUGAGAAAGAAGCUUGACGAUAAAUGAGUAAAAUGUAUUUUCAUUGGUUAUGAAAAGAGAAGCAAGACAUACAGGUUAUACAACACUCUCACCAAGAAAGUUAUUAUUUCAAGAGAUGUUGAAUUCGAUGAAGCUGAUUACUGGAGAUGGAACGAAAAAGAGAGGAAAAUUGAUGGAUUAUUUUUCAGUGAUCACAAAGACGACGACUUUAUUAAUCAAGAACAAGGCGACGAUGAAAGCCCUCCUGUAACACCCCUUACCCGAGACCAUCGUCGGAAUCGAGUACGAGAUGUUAUCCAAUUUAACCUACCAAUUUAGAGCAUAAAAAUUUGCUUUUAAAAUUAAAUUCACUGUUCACAACAAAACUGUCCACCUGCGCGACUGUCACUAAUUUACUUAUAACUCAAGUUACAAAACUCAAAAUUUAAAUCUGUAAAUUUUCCCUGAAACUAGACUCAUAUUCCUAAUUACCAUAUAAUUUUCAGAAUUUUUGACUUAGCCAAUUAGUACAUUUUAUUCAUUAAAGUAUCCCCUAUUUCACAGCUCGACAGAUCUGACCUCUUGCCACUAAAAAUCAAUUAUCUCAUUGUACAGAAUUCAUAUAAGGUUACCGUUUAUUUAUUUUGAAAAUAUACUCACUAAGGAAUCUAGAAAUAUAAAUUAUGACCCAUAAUUAUUCCUGUACAAUUUAUAAUGAUUUUCCAAAGUCAGAACAGGGGACUUCAAAAACCAUUCUGACCCUGUCUCACUAAAAUUCAAAUAUCUCAAAAUACAGAAUUCCUUUGCCUACACUGUUUCUUUCAUAUAAAAAUAGACUUGAUAAGCUUUAAUUCCAUAUAUAAUUAACUCUCUAAUUCCAUUUAUACUAUUUAUGGUGAUUUUUCACAUUCACGUCACUGCUGCUGUCAAAGAAACUGCUUCUUUGAAUUAGUUAACAUUUAACAUACAUAACACCCAAAACAUAAUUUUUACUAACCAUUUCAAUAGCUAAUCUUAGCCAUAUCAUAUGAACAUACUCAAAAUGAUUAACACUCUAUACAUGCCAUAGUUUUAAACAUUCUGAAAAGCACAUAAUACCGAGAUGAUUAUAAUAGUGUGAUACGAGCUCCGACGAUCCCCAAUUCGACCAAGUUCAAAUCACUAUAAAACAAAGGAAAAGAAGAAAGGUGUAAACUACUAAUAGCUUAGUAAGUUACAUGUAAAUAAUAAUUACUCAUUUAAUAAUUAACACUUUUAACAUAUAACUAAUCAAAACAUUUCUUAGCAAUUUCUAUCACUUAUACAUACACAAUCUUACCAAUUCACUUGCAUAUACAUUUUCACACUUAAUCUUUAUCACUAUGCUCAUUCUUUUCAAAUGUACCUGCAUACACACUUCAUUUCAUAUUCACUUUAACUCAUUAUUAAUCCCGUUGAACACUCGGAAUAUACACAGAUACGUAGAGAUUUAGCACAUAAGUGCAACACUGAUAUGUAGCCGAAGCUACCACUAUUAUAUAGCCAAAGCUACCACUGAAAUGUAGCCGAAGCUACCACUGUUAUGUAGCCGAAGCUACCACUGAAACGUAGCCGAAGCUACCACUGAUCAAUAACACUGGAAAUGUCCACAGGCCUGCUCACACAAGCUGUCAGGUGUCUGCAACACAUGCUAGAUCACCCAGCACCCGGGACUCACUGUAACACUGUAACACUGAUCUCUAGUGACAUGUCACUUGUAUCCACUUCUAUUCCUAAGUUCAACCGGGAAUUUACACUUAACACUUUAUUUUUAACACUUUAUUUUCAACACUUUAACACUUGAAUAAUUCAUGAAUAAUUUUCCUUCCACAUUGAAUAUUAAUUCACAUAUCAAAUAUAAUUCACAAUUUAUAAAAAUAUAACUAUUAUUUACACAUAACUUACCUCGGAUGCAAAACGACUAUUUUUGUAAUUUAGUCGAUAACUUUCUCUUUUCCCCGAUCACUUCCACUAUUUCUUCUUUCUUGAUCUAUAUUAACACAAUUUAAUACAUUUUAUCAACAUUUCAUUCAAAUAAAAUUCAUACACAACAUUUUGACAAAUUUACAUUUUUCCCCAAAACUUUUCAAAAAUUCCACUUUUGUCCCUAAGCUCGUAAAAAUAAAAUUCACUAAAUUUUUAAAUUUCAAACUUCACUAAAUCAUAUUUCAUGCUUAUAACAGCCCUCAAUUUCACCAAAUCACAACUUUAUGCACACUUUACCAUCUUUCACAAUUUAGCCCUUUUUCAAUAUUUUCAUCAAAAUUCAUCUAGUAAAACUUGUAAUUAACACUUCAAACAUUCAUUAUCUAACAUCACUAAUCAAUUUACAAUUAUAUCAUGAAUGGGUCAAUUUUUAAACUUUAAUUUCAUUUAAAUUAAAUAGUAGAAACAUGAAAUUCAAGCAUCAAUAAGCAUAAAAAUAUGAAAAUAGUUAAAAAUGGGGCAAGAAAUCACUUACAAUUGAGCUUAGAAAAAUCAAGAACCUUAGCUAUGGUAACAUGAAACUUUCGGCAGCAAGCUUCUGAUUUUGAAGAAGAUGGACACUUAUUUUCUCUUUAUUUUGUCUUUUUCUCAAUUUGGACAAAAAUGCCCUUGACCCAUUACUUAGAUAUUUUUCUAGAAUUACCCUUUUGUGUCCAUAACACUAAUUUAUGGUCUAAUUGUCACAUAAACACUUCCAAUUUCAUGCAAUAAUUCAAUUAAGUCAUUUAAUCACUAAUUAGACACACUUUGCAUUUUUUUCAAUUUAGUCCUAAAAAUUCAAUUAAGCACUAAAUCAUUAAAAUUUCCAAUCCAUAUUUUCACACAAUAUUUCAAUCAAUCAGUAACUUAUAAAAAUUUAUAAAAUAAAACUAUUUCACUUCGGAUUUGUGGUUACGAAACCACUAUUCCGAUUAGGCCCUAUUUCGGGCUAUCACACCUCCUUCAAGUCCUGUUGCAACAACUCUUACAGCAUCAUCAUCACCAACCAACAACAGUACCAGCAACUCAGAGGAAGCACCUGCAAUAAUGCGUAGUUUACGCGAUAUUUAUAAUGUUACAGAACCAUAGAAAUAACACUCGAUUAUUCAUUAUUCUAUAUAAUGACAGAAUGUGAUUCAAUAACAUAUAAAGAUGCAAUUGAAGAUGUUAGAUGGAAAAAGGCAAUGGAUGAAGAAAUUACAACAAUAAUAAGAAAUGACAUAUGAGAGCUAACAAGUCUACUAGAAGGACAUACUCCAAUUGGAAUCAAAUGGGUGUACAAGACGAAGACCAACAAAGAAGGAAAAAUAGAGAAAUCCAAAGCAAGACUAGUUGCAAAAGGCUACAAGCAAAGAUACGGUGUGGACUAUGAUGAAAUAUUUACUUCGGUCGCCAGAAUUGAUACUAUAAGACUUCUCAUGGCAAUUGCAGCACAAAAUAAAUGGAAAAUUUAUUAGAUGAACGUGAAGUCAGCAUUCCUUAAUGACUACCUGGAAGAAGAAGUCUAAAUUGAACAACCACCUGGAUAUAGGAAACAAGGACAAGAAGACAAAGUUUAUCACUUGAAGAAAGCUUUAAAUAGACUGAAGCAAGCCCUGAGAGCAUAGAACACAAGAAUAGAUGAAUACUUUUAGAAGAACGGGUUCAUGAAAAUCCCAUACGAGCAUGCUCUAUAUACAAAGAAAAAUAAAGUUGGUGACAUCAUGAUCGUGUGCUUAUAUGUGGAUGAUAUGAUUUUCAUGGGAAACAAUCCAGGUAUGUUCAAUGAAUUUAAGAAAGCUAUGACUAAAGAUUUUGAAGUGACAAAUAUUGGUGAAAUGUCAUACUUUCUUUGAGUCGAAGUGAACCAAAUGAAAGAUGGAAAAUUUGUGUCUCAAAAAAAAUAUGCAGAACAGAUUUUAAGAAAAUUCAGAAUGAAAGAUUGCAAGCAAGUAGCCACGCCCGUAGAACCAGGCAUGAAAUUAAGUGUUGGUUCAUCCGGAGAGUCGGUAAAUCCAAUGUUGAAUAAAAGUAUUGUUGGAAGUUUAAGGUACUUGACUAUCACAUGGCCAUACAUCAUGUACGUAGUGGGAACAGUUAGCAAAUACAUGGAGAAGCCAAAACAAGAUCACCUGAUUGCAGCAAAGAGAAUUUUGAGAUACAUCACAGGUACGAUGGAUCAUGGUUUAUUUUAUACACACUCACAGAGUUCAAAAUUGGUUGGUUAUUUAGAUAGUGAUUAUGGUAGUGGCUUUGAUGAUCGCAAAAACACAUCCAGAUAUUUAUUCCAUAUUGGCUUCGCGGCAUUUUCUUGGUCAUCGAAAAGUAACAAACAGUAGCUAUCUCAACAUGUGAGGCAAAAUUCAUGGAUGUUGCAACAUGCACGUCUCAAGCAAUUUGGUUGAAGAAUAUUUUAGGUGAAUUAACUAUUAUACAAGAAGGUCCAAUUAUAAUUUAUGUUGACAAGUCCACAAUAUCUCUUGUAAAGAAUUCAGUGUCUCAUAGUCGAAGCAAGCAUAUGGAUACAAUGUAUCAUUUUAUUCGAGAGCAAGUGAAAAAUAAAAAUGUAGAGUUAGUUUACUCCAAAUUAGAAGAUUAAUUGGCGAAUAUUUUUACGAAACCAUUGAAAACGGACAUAUUCUAUAAACUCAAAGAAAAGCUUGGAAUGAAAAGUUCAAGGGGAAGUGUUAAAAAACAAACCAACUUUCAAAGUCGGCAUAAAAAUUGCAGCCAAAGAAUUUCUAUCCAAAUUGGCUUGAAAUUGAAUUGCAAAAGUAGCUGCAACUUUGUAAAUUGGCCUGCACAAAUGAUAAAGGAUAAUGAUGACAGCAGCUUGAAUAGUCUUAGACGGCAAGGCUUGAUAAAGUUUAAGUCGGUUUACUAUGCUUAUAAAUAUGUAAGUAGAGUCUUAUGAAAUUAAAAUUAAAUGAGUGUGUGUGAAAACGUUAGUGAGCUUGAGAGGAAAAAAAGAAAGAAAGGUGUUGUGAGUUGUAUAAAAAGGAAAAACUAGCAGCAGCUAGUAGAGAGAGAAAAAAGAGUUUAUAUUUGUAUUGUGUUUAUUUGUGUGUAAUAAAAAAUUAGUACUUGAGUUAUUUUUAUUACCCUUCCAACAUAUUAUAUGUUCCAGUGUUGAUGGCAUUGGCAACUGAUGUUGUGUCCAAGAAGCUUGACGUCGUGCUCAUGACGUUGGCUGCUGUUUGCAGGCUCUAAUAUAAUGUUUCAAUGGAAAUGCCCCUAGUCCUGUAAUCAACAGAUGGUGCUAUACCACUUAGAGUACUAUGGGGUCCAAUUUGAGUAAACUCGAUUAAGUAAUUCUAGUUUCAGAUUGAAGUCGGGUUAAAUUUUACAAUUCGAAUAACUCAAAUAAUAGAUUGGUGUAAAUACACGUUUGGCCCCGGUCAAUUUUAAAAAUGAGCAGAUUGAUCUUUCUCUCAACAAAAAUUACAAAAAAAUUCUAAAUAUUUAUAAAAAUAAAAAAAAUCUAAAGAAUAUAUAAAAAAUUAAAAAAGAUUCUUAAAUAAUCAUUUUUGAGACCUAAAUAAGUAAAUUAAUUAUUCAAAAUUUUCAUACUAAAAUAUCUUUAUUUUCUCUUAUUUUUCUUUGAAUAAAUUUUCAAGAAUAUAUAAUUUUAAAUUUAUGUAAUCUAACAUAGAAUUGAUUAUAUUGUAAAAAAAAAUUUAAUGUUUUAGUCGAUUGGAACGGAUGCACAUCUCUACUGAUCAAAAUUGAUCCGCAUAUAUUUUUUUUCUCUAACUGAAAAGGAUCUCUUCCAAAUUAAUGAUCUUGGAUUGAAACAUGUCAAAUUUACCACAAAUCGUUUAUGAUAGAAUCGGACCCGUGUGACCUUGAAAUCACUCUCCUAAUACAUGUUAUUGAUGAAGAUUGUCGGACACCUUGAAUUUCUCCGCACCAUUUAAUGUUCGGCCCACUUGGCUAUAACAAUCCGAAACCUCCCUUAACCUAACUUAUAAGAUUAAAAAAACUCUAAAUAAGAGAAUAAAAACUUUUAUUUAUUUAUUUAUUUAUACACUAGAAUUUCACACUAUAUAAGAAGAUGCAUAAGAAAACAGCGGUAGGUAGAUAUAAGUCAACAGGCUGUCAAAUUUAUUCUAGUAGUAGUGCAAAACAUAAGCACAUUACUGACAGCCUGAGCACCAGCAUUUUGAUCAGAAAUUUAAGCAAAGCCACCCAAGAAAAGUGUGUUUGUAUUCUCAUCACUGCAAUAAAGGCAAGGGUUCUGCUCGAAUCCAUUGUUCUUCAAAAUCUUGGCAGCCUCAGCCACAAAGGCUUUAUUCUCCAAGACCAGGUCAUAUGAUGUCUCAUUGGCGGGUUUUUUACUAAAAUAUUAUAACAAAAAUAAAAAAUUAUCAAAAUGUUAUAACUUUUUUUUUAUUUACCAAAAUAUAUAUUUUUUUAUUUACUAAAAUAUAUAAAAAAACAAAAAAAACCUAAAAAAAAAUCUGACCGAUGUGACGGGUGUACCUUGGUCACGCCAAUGGGAUUGGCGGCACCGAAGGGGCCAAAGCCAUUGGCGGCACCAAUGGUGCCAAUACCAUUGGCGGCACCAAUGGUGCCGUAUUGAUUGGCGGCACUACUCGUAUUAUAAAAACGACCUUUGUCCAGCUGAAGAGAGAAAAAUCAAAAGAAAAAAAAAGAAGAAGAAGAGUUACUGCGUAAAAGAAGAGAAAAAGAGGAGAAAAAGAAUGUAUUUUUUAAAAAAUAAUUGAUUAUAUUGUUGUUAUUAUUUUGUAUAUUUUGUAAUAUUUUUUGUUUUACUUUAGUUAUUAAGAUUAAUAAAACUCAAAAUAAUAGUAUUAGUUAGUAUUAUUAUUAUUAUUAUUAUUAUUGUUGUUGUUGUUGUUGUUGUUGUUGUUGUUGUUGUUGUUGUUGUUAGUAUUAAGAUGUUAUUAAUGUAUUAAGAUGUAACUUAGUAAUAUUAUAGUUAGCAAAAAACUAGUAUUAUUAUUAUGGUUACUUAUUAUUUUUAUUUACGAAAAUAAACUAGUUAGUAAAAAACUAGUAUUAUUAUUAUAGUUAGUUAGUUAGUUAUUAUUUUUAGUAAAAUUAAUAAUUUUAGUGUGUAUCAUUUUGUAUAUUAUUUUGAGUAUAAAAUUUUUUUUAAGUAAUUUAGUUACCGUUCGAGAAUUUUUAUGAGAUUUUGUUUUUUUUGACAGAUUAAAUAUUGAAGAUGGAUGCUAAGUUUCUUGUAUGCGUUUAUUUCGAUUGAGUCAUCUUGACAACAAGUGUUGGAUGUGUAUUUGAAUGUCGGCAACAAAUAGCAAUGAGAUUUAAUAGAAAUGUAUCGUUCGAUGAAAUGAAGGUAAGGAUUAGUGCAAAAAUUCAUAGACGUUGUGGGAGAAGGAUAGCAAAAAUUUUCUACAAGUUUCCGGUUUCGACAAAUCCGGUCAAAUUCGUCGAGAUGGAACUUGUAGACGACGAAGACGUGGAGACAAUGGUCGAUCUCUACUGUGGGAAUGGGAGUGAGAAGAAUGCACCGAUUCACUUAUUUGCUGAGUUAGUCGGUAUGGAGCAAAAUGAAGAUGUUAAUGCAUCUGAUGAAGAAGACGGGGCUGAAGAACCGUGGAUGGUGACUCCAAUAUCAUACGUUGAUAGUGAAUCAACUAUGGGAGGGAUCGGUAUCAACCUGAAUAUUACACCCGAUGUUGACAUGGUUGGUGGUGAAGAAGAAGGUGCUGGCGAAGAAGAAGGUGGUGGCGAUCAUUGGGAUGAAGAGGUCGAUAGUGACGGUGAUCCCGAUGUUGACGAUGUACCUGAUGAUAUUGACGAUGAAGAUGUCAACAACGAUGAAGGCAUUAACGCUUCUUCGGUUGGGGAGCAGAUGCGGCGUAUUGUGAUACACAAUAAUCCUAAGCCACAUAUGUCGCUCAUAGACCCCGACGCAACGUAUGUAGCUGAGUUUCUGGAGUACCCUGAAAUAGUUCAUUCUCACGGGCUGCCCGUAACAUCUGAUGAUGAUGAGAUAUUCAUAGGCCAGAGAUUCAGCUGUAAAGAAGAGUGCGUAUAUGCCAUUAAACGGUACAGCAUGAAGAUAUCGGUGGAUUAUAAAGUAUCCGUGUCUACUCCGACAAUAUAUGUUGAGGCGUGUUGGAAGGCAGCGGAAGGCUGCAAUUGGCGGGUACGAGCUGCAUUCAUUAGAAGUUCUCAGCUGUGGGAGAUACGAAAAUUUGUUGGUCCUCAUACAUGCACAUCAACACGUAUGAUAGAAGAUCAUGGAAAACUUGAUUCAAAAACUAUUUGUGCGUGUAUCAUGCCAAUGGUGAAGGACAUGCCGACCAUUAAAGUUUCGAUACUCAUUGCGAAAAUCCAAGCACGAUUCCAGUAUCGAGUCUCAUAUCGGAAGGCAUGGAUAGCUAAACAGAUGGCGAUGGAGCAACUGUAUGGGGAUUACGAUUCGUCGUAUAACGAGCUUCAAGGUUCGAUAGCUGCUAUGUGGAAGUACGUACCGGGGACUGUGAUUGACUUGCAGAUAAGUCCAUAUUACGGCCCGGAUGACCAGUUACAGCCGGCAAAAAGGAUUUUCCAUCAGAUGUUCUAGACCUUCGAUCCAUGUGUGCGAGCAUUUUCCCACUGCAAGCCACUUGUGCAGGUGGAUGGGACAUGGCUAUUUGGAAAAUAUACACAGAUCCUACUUCUUGCAGUUGCUCAAGACGGUAACAGAAAUGUGCUCCCGAUAGCAUUUGCUAUCGUAGAUAAAGAGAACAUAGAGUCUUGGGAAUUCUUCCUCACAAAUCUGCGAAGGUAUGUUAUUAGGAACGAUAACAUUUGCAUCAUCUCCGAUAGAGGGAAGGGUUUAAUUGCAGCUAUUAGGCAUUCUGGUUUACCGUGGAGAUCCGUUUACUGCAUUCGUCACAUUGCGUCUAACUUCCAUAAAAAUUAUAAAAAUGCAGACUGGAAGAGACAAGUCGUGGCAAUGGGUAAAUGAUAACCUUAUCUUUUCACUAUAAGUUGUAAUGUUUGAUGUUAUCGACUUACUAGAACUUAUUUUUCGUUAAUAUGUAUGCAGCGUACGAGUUAAAGCCACAUAUUUUCCGGCAAAGAAUGAUCCGACUUGAGAGUGACAUGGAGGGGCAGACAAACACAUCUUUCCGAAAAUGGUUGCGCACAAUGGAGCCGUGGCAGUGGGCUCAAAGUUUUGACGAGGGCUUUCGUUACGGCCACAUGACCACAAACUUAGUCGAGUGGAUCAAUGCUGUCUUGUUGAAAACACGUCAUCUUCCGAUUGCAUCGGUAUUUCCUGCUACUUUCUACAGGCUGGCUACUUUGAUGCCAAGAAUGGGCUAGCAUUAAGUCGGCCAAAUUCAGGCGGGACAUGUGUUUGUCGAACAUGUAAGGGAUGCAAUGGUCGUAAACCGUCGGUUGGCGAGGUCAAUGAACAUGGAAAUAUAUUCACGACGACUGGAAACGUUUCGAGUUACUGAGAACAUCGGUCGUCGACCUAGGUCCUACGGAGUUGAUCUCCGGAACAGACAGUGCGAGUGCAGGAAGUUUGAAACAAUUCAUUAUCCCUGUGCACAUAUCGUGGCGGCGUGUGCUAAAGUCAACCUUGAUGUUGAACAAUAUGUCGAUGAUGUGUACACGCUGGAGCGCACAUUGCGUGUCUGGGAGAAUGAGUUCCCCGUCCUGCCGGACCUAUCUAUGUGGGAGGUGUCGCCGAUGACUUUCGAGCUGAUCCCAGACAGAGGGCUAAGGAGGAAUCCAAGGGGUCGUCUGCAGUCAAGCAGAAUCCGUAAUGAGAUGGACAUUAGGGAAAAAUUUGAUGGAAAGCGUUGUGGAAUAUACCGGUUAAGUGGUCAUAGCCGGAAUAAAUGUCUUAACCGAAACUUUCAUUUUGGUCAGUCGUCCGGAUCGGGGUGAAAUUGAUAUGCUUUGUAUUUUGUUAUAAACAUUAAUUUUAUUCAGCUUUGUACCAUGUGCGCACUUGGAAUUAUUAAGAUUAUAUCGAAAAUAGAGGCAUUCAUAAUUCGAUUGAGCUUUAAUAUAAUGAAAAAUAAUAAUAAUGGAUAUUUAUACAAAAAAAUCAGAAGUAAGGUCAAUUAAAAUACAAAUAUGGCUUUUUAUACAAAAAGUGCAUCAAAUCCCUAAAAUCAAUGUUUCGAUGGUGUUGUCCGGGGGGUAUACCUCUGCGGAGGUCGACGCUCACGGUCUGGGAGACGACCAACAUCCUCAUCGUCCGCAGGUGGGGGCGUGGAAAACAUAGAGGAAAGGUCCUGUGCCUCGUUCGCCGCCGACGAACUUGAACCAUAAUGCUGCGAAUACGUGUCGGACGGGCCGGGCAUGCCGUACUGCAGCCGGGGGAUCCAAACAGUUCAAACUCGUAGGCGUAUUCGCCGUCUGCGAAGCUCGGAUAAUAUUUAUCGCCCACCAAAUCCGGACGAUAGCCAUGUGAAUCCACAUUUGACUGUGAAUGUCCAGGAUCUGGCUGGGGGUCCUGCUCCGGCUCUGUCAGUUGCGGAGAACAAUAUGCCGUCGGAUCUGGAUCCAUCGGGCUCGGUUCGUCCGAUGCCCCAACUUGCUGUACGUACGGGGGGAUUAUAGUUCGAUUGUACUUCAAGUAAAUAUGGCUUCCUGCAACUAUGGUACCAUUGUGUAUACUCCAAUGAUGGUUGCAGGUCCGUAGCCAUAACCAUUUGAGGAAUUCGGCGAAAUCGAUCGUUCCACAGUGCGACGUAUUUUCGGUGCUUGAUUCCCAAGCCCAAUUGAACUCUUCCUCUCUUUGUCAAGCCGUGAUCAUCCUCCAACUGGGCCGGCGGAUCCGGGAUAGGUUGGAUGCACCCAAACUGUCGAAGCACGCGAUCGACGUGAUACCACUUGACGACGUUGAAAUUAAUAAUUGGUGUGUUAAUGCACCAUAUGUGGGAAUCAACGAGUGCGGACGAGGGUACGACAUUUGCAAUUUCCCGCCUCCGGUAUGGCAUCCAUAUAAACUGCAUGAGUAAUACCAUUGUAACGAGUUAGACCGAUAACAUGUGAUUAAGAUAUAGAAAUAGAAUAGAUGUCAUGAAUAUUAGAAUAGCAGCUUACCCCUUCCCGGGCAUGCUGUUCAAUCCUCAUGCGGUAUAUUGGGACAUCAGACGACUUCCUGAUGCCAGGACGGGUCAUCCACCUAUAAAAAAUAGUAUAGGGUAUAGGGUUGGUAACAUUACUCAAUAUAUUAUGACUACAAAUAAUGACAAUUUAGCGUCUUAUCACCUGAGUGGCAGUGGAUACAGAUAGGGUUGGUGACUAACGAGUGCCAAAAACGACAUCCGAUAAAGCGCCCACGACUGCAGCAGUAUGAGGCAUCCGCCGAUGUCUUUAACCUGCGGCUUUGUCGCCUGACAAAGCUCCCGGUAGAGCGUUGCUAGAACGGCGGAACCCUAGCUAUACCGCCUAGCAGUGGAGAAAUAAGCUAGCAGGGGCAGGUACGACAAAUGCACACUGUCGCCGUUUGCAUCAGGCAUGAGUACUGCCCCUAUCAUAUGCAUGAUGUACGCUCGGGCAACGCACAUCAACUCACCUUCAGUGGCGGUCACUGAUAAUUGUCUAAUUUUGGCUUUUAGCCAUGUAAAUUUGAUGCCGGAAAAAUAUUUGUCGCCGUCCUCUGGCGACUCUCCUAGGAGUUGAUAGCAAACUGCAACCGGAUCGGUGAAUGAUGAUACUCCCGUUACGGGAUUCCAGUCAAUUGGGAGCCCCAGCUGCACUGCAACAUCCUCCAAGGUCACUGUGCACUCCCCGCACGGAAAAUGGAAAGUAUGGGUCUCCGGACGCCACCGCUCCACUAGCGCAGAUAAUAAAUCAAAGCGCAAGUCGGACGACCGGAUGAAUGCUACUGACCCAAAUCUGGCUAGCUCCAGGUAUGGCAGCAAUCGAUCAUCCGGAGCUUUCUUUAAAACACUCACGCGGCCCCUUAAUACUCAGAACGAGUCCUGAUAGUGUUAAAUUACAGAAAAAUAUUACGAUAACAUAAUUUCUUUGUAUAUACUGCAUAUAUCCUUUUAAAAUAAAUAGAACUUCUGAUUAACAAAUAAUAAAUCAUACCGCGUUAUUAGUCGCAUCAGAUAUGUGUCUAAUAUUGCUUUGAAUCAAUCCAGCCAUUGCGAUGCCUGCAAGUUAGAAAAAAAAGUUAGAAAAAAAUUCUUACUUCAGCCAUUUAUUCGUAUUUUUUUUCUCCGCAUUUUAUUCCUUUAAAAAAUAUCAUAAUUUCUAAAUUUAUAAUUUUACAUUAUUCCAGUGCAUAAUGUUUGAAAUUUAUUAAUCUAGUGUGUUAUUUAAAUUAAUUUUCUGUAAAAAAUAACCCUUACCCCUGCCCUUUGCUCGUAUUAAUUUUCUGUAAAAAAAUAACCAUCACCCUUUUUUUUGCAGUUUUUUUUAUAUAUUUUGGUAAAUAAAUAUAUAUAUAUAUUUUGGUAAAUAAAAAAAACUUAUAACAUUUUGGUUAUUUUUAAUUUUUUUAAUAUAUUUGUAAAAACCCAUUAUUCUGGUAAAUAAAAAAAUUUUAUAAUAUUUUCGUAUUUUUUUCUAAUAUUUUGGUAAAAAACCCGAAAUAAACCCUUUCCCCUGCCCUUUGGUCGUAUUAUUAUUUUCCCGAUUUUUAUUACUUUCAAGAAAAAUAUAUUAUUUUCGUAUUUUAUUAUUUUAUAUUAUUUCAGUACAUUUUGUUUCAAUUAUUUGUAUAACUUAUUUCUGAAUUUUUAAAAAAAUUUACUAAUACACUCUUACUUCGGCCAUUUGUUCGUAUUUUUUUUCAGUAUUUUAUUAUUUUUAACAAUAUCGUAAUUUUUUAUUUUAUAAUUUUAUAUUAUUUCAAUUUAUUAUGUUUGAAAUUUAUUACAUGUACACUUUUUGCAUUUUUAUUCCCAUUUUAUUAUUUUCGAUAAAUAUACAAUUCCCAUUUUUUCUUUUCGUAUUUUAUGUUUUCUUAAACAUACUUCUUUGUCAUUUUUCUUUUAAUGCUAUUUUCCUAAAAUUUAAAUUUCAAAUUCCUAAAUAAAUUUCGUAAAAAAAAUCCUUAUUCAACAUACAAUGUACAUACCAUUAUUUUUUCAUUCUAAAUAUAUUUCAUAAAAUAUAUAUGCUAAACAAAAUAAUAAAAUAACUAUAAUGUACGUAACAUAAAUAUUAAAAAAAUUAAAUUUAUAAAAAAAAUACCUUUUCUUUUCUUUUCUUUUCUUUUUCCUUCCUUCCCUCUUCUUCUUCUUCUUUUUUUCUCUUCUCCUUUCUUUUUCUUUACUUCUUUCUUUCUUUUUUCUUAUCCUUUCCUUUUCUUCUUCUUUCUUUCUUUCUUUUUUUCUCUUCUCCUUUCCUUUUCUUUCCUUCUUUUUCUUUCUUUCAUCUCCUUUCUUUCUUUUUUUCUUUCUUUCUUUCUUUCCCUCUCCUUCUGGUCCCCCCACCACCGACCCCCCCCAUAAACAUUGGUGCCGCCAAUGGUAUUGGCACCAUUGGUGCCGCCAAUGGCUAUGGCACCUUUGGUGCCGCCAAUCCCAUUGGCGUGACCAAGGUACACCCGUCACAUCGGUUAGAUUUUUUUUUUCAUUGUUUUUUUUUUUGGUUUUUUAUAUAUUUUGGUAAAUAAAAAAUAUAUAAUUUGGUAAAUAAAAAAAAGUUAUAACAUUUUGGUAAUUUUUUAUUUUUGUUAUAAUAUUUUAGUAAAUAUCCCCUCAUUGGCUUCACACCCACUUAAUAAAAUCCCUUCAUCCUCCUCCGGUGGAUCCAACACCAUUAACCCAUCUACGUAGUGAGGUUGGAAUUUGAGACUCACAUCUUUCCCGAAGAUUCCGAAAAUCUUUUGGCCAACAUUUGCUGCGUCGUGUAGGAUGCCUGCUAAUGUAUCUAUCGCACUGUGUAUGAUAUCAAAAGUAAGACUCUUAGCCUUAGCCUUAGCCUUAGAUGGUUUAGGCUUGUUGGGUUUUACUGGAGUCAUCAUAUGCUCAGGACCAAAUUGUUCUUUCUCUUUUUCAAUGAGACCACCACUGUGGCACGAAUCUGAUAGGAUUGUGAAGCUUGCUCCUUCUGGUAGCCGGUUAACUAAACGGCUGAAGUCCACAUCUGCAGAAACCAUGUAUAUAUAGGGUAUGAAUAUAUGUUGCUAAAAAAAAUAUAUAAACUCAAACAAAAACCUACCGGUGACAAGAUUUAAAUCACAAGCCACGAUUGCUUCAUCUUGCUUGAAAGGCUGGCCAGGUUGAAAGAUUGGAAUGCGCGUUCCAUGUCUACUGAAGUAGAAAAAUAGGAUAUCUCCUGCUUUAGCCUUGUUCACCAUUCUAUUAAGUGCAUCCUUAAUGUUUGCACCCGUAGGCAGAACCGGCGACCCUGGCGCAUCGGUGAGGACAUUAACAUCGCUUUCCUUAAACCCAAUGUCCAGGAUCACACCUCUUAUGGCUUUCACAUCAUUGACGCAUCCAUGCACGCUGAAUUGGGUCUUGGGGUAGUUGCAUCCCACCAGAACUGCUCUCUUCGUACCCUUACUCAUCUUGCUUCGCUAAUUUGACUAUUUUGUGUAGCUUGUACCGUUGUAUUAAUGUGCUUCCACUGUCUCACUAAGAACCUAUAUAUAUACACAUUAAUUUACAGCAUGUGUACUGACCAUAAAGAUGACGGCAUGUAGGUAGGUAGGUAGGUAGGUAGGUAGGCAGGUACAACACUUUUGUUUGUCUUUUGUGUUUUUGAAAAUGCAUGCGAAAUCCAUGCAUAUGCAAACAUUUUGUGCAAGGAAUUUGCAUAUCAGUACUGCAUAAAAGAGUGACUCUGGAGUUAUGGAAUUAUUUGAUAAUAUCAAAUACGAAAUAAAUUAAAAAUAAAAGAGUGGGUGAUUAAUCCGAAUUGGGAGGAGGACAGGUGUUGUGAUGGACAAAGCGUAAGACAAGUUGGUUUCCGACUGAAGCAGGAAAGCUCUAGCAAAAGGCAGCUAGGUAUUCCUUUUUCAGACAAAAGACGAUAAAGGAUAGAAAAAUAUAGGGUGGUGGUCGAAGAUAAAUGAUUAGAUCUGCUUCGCCUUCGUCCAUCACCUCAUCUUUAGGUUUUUUUCUUGGUCGUGACUCACGUUGGCCGUCGUCUGCAAGUGCUGUCGGUCCUACUAUCGUCGUUGUGUUGUCUAGCUUCUGAUUUCUAUGUAUUAGGGUCUAUUUGAAUGUGAGGUUGGUGUAGGGGUGAGGUUACAAAAUGGAUUUUAAGGGUUAAAAGUUAAAUUAUGUAUCUAUAUAGAUUAAAGAAUUGUUAAAUCAAAAUUUUAUAUUUUUUUUGGGAAUAAAUUGUAAUUAUAUAAAGUUUAACUUAUAAUUUUAUUGAUUUGAGCGAGAUUUAAAUAAUAGCUUUCUAUUUCUAUAAAGAGUAAUUUUUAUUGUAAGGGGCACGAUUAGACUUGAUUAUGAGUUUGGUCACCCUCCAAGUCCGAUAGCCCUCCUGAAAAGUGAGAGUUUAGGCAAAAUAUAAGCUUGAAAAAUAGGCUUGGACAAAAAAUAAUGCCCAUUUUCUAAUACUAGUGACAAACUACAUAAUUCGUUUAUGUCGCAGUUUAUGUUUAUGUGGUGUGAAUGUGUGAUAUAGCUAAAAUGAAUCUCGCUAGGAUGAGUUUGUUAGUUAGAAUUUGGACUCCCUCGUUCUUAAUACUGCCGAUAAGUUAAAUCUAGGGCGUUGAGUUACAGGGUUAUUUAUCGAUUAGGAAAUAAUUUCAAACGAGUUUUCUCUUGGCUAUCGAACAAUGAGAGAUGGGUUGCCUUACACUGAGUCAACAACUAGAACUAAUUUAUUAAAGGUAUUGAAGUUAUUUUUGCAUUGAUGAUCGAAUCUUUGAAUCAAACAAAGAUUUUACUUCUAGCUAGAGUUUCUUCUCAUUAAUUUUCUUUUAUAAUUUAUUUUUACUUUGUUUUAAUUUUAAUUUUUAAUUUUAAAAUCUUUUUAUAUUUUUCAUGUAAGUUUUUGUUUUUAUAAAUCUCUACAUCCUUGCAUUACUUCAAUACAACACCAAAAGAACCAAAUGGCAAACACUAUAACUAAAAAUCUUGCAAAAGAGGCCGUUUUAUUUUAUCAUAAAAUUAUACAUGAAAUAGCCAUACAUGGCGAUUACAUAAGCUUGAAGGCCUUAAAACACAGACAUACGAUAGUAAUUAAUAAGCAAACACACACACAGACGCAGUAAUGAAGGCUAACUUCAACUUCGUAGUAGUGCACACCGAUGGAGCACAUUAUUAUUUAGUUUACAGUUUCGACCUCUAGUGAUCGAAAACCCUGGUUCAAAGCCGGCAGCUUAUGCACCCGUAGUGGUGUUGGGUUGGUGGCCAAGAAAAGCUGCAUCAGCAUUCUCAUCACUGCAAUAAAGGCAAGGGUGCUGCUGCCCAAUUCCUAGCUUUAUUAUUUCAUUCCUAGCCUUCACCACAAGCUGUCUAUUGGUUAAUGCACCUAAUUCGCUCUCCUUGAUGACCUUCAGAACUGAAUAGGUAAAGGCCCCAAACGCCUUUCCUCCGGUUUUCUCACUCGCUGGCAUAUCAAUUGAAAGCUCAUUGGCUUGGCACCCACUUAACAGAAUUCCCUCAUCCUCCGUCAGUGACCUCAAAUUCAAAAUAUCACGCUCAUAAUGGGGUAGGAAUUUGAGACUCACAUUGUUCCCAAAGAUUGUGGUCAAAAGAGAGCCAAUACCCGUCAUAUUAUCUGUUCCAGUGUUGAUGGCAUUCCCAAGUGCUCUUGUGGGAAAUAAGUCUUGUGUCGCGAUAAUGACGUUGGCCGCUGUUUGUAGGCACUGGAAUAAGGUUGCUAAGGAAAUGCCCCUAGUCUUGUAAUCAACAGGUGGUGCUAUACCCCUUAGAGUACUAUGGGGUCCAAUUUGUUCUUUACUUUUAUCAAUCAGACCACCACUGUGGCAGGAAUCCGAAACGAUUGUGAAGCUUGAUCCACUUGGUAGUAGCUGAAUCAAUUGCCCCAAGUCCACGUCUGCACACCCAUCGCAACCACAAUAUGAUAUAAAUAACAGUUUGCUUAGAUUGAGAGUAUUUUAAUAAUUUAAUUUACCGAGUUGAUUACGUACCAAAAAUGGGAUUGAGAUCACAAGGCACAAUUGCUUCACCCUCGUUGGGAGGCUGGUGGGGGUCAAUGCGGUGCACAAGUCCAUGUCCACUAAAGUGGAAAAGCAGGACAUCUCCUUCUUUAGCCGCGACCACCAUCUUCUUGAGUGCAGCCAUAAUGUUUGCACGUGUAGGCUUACACGUGGACUCUGGUUCAUCAGUUAGGAGCUCAACAUUUUCGGAAUCAAAGCCAAACCUGCUCACGAUCAUUUCUCUCAUGGCUUUCGCAUCGUUUACGCAUCCGCUCAACUUGUUGAUGGUGUUGGGGUAGUUGCAUCCGACCAGAACGGCUCUCUUCUUACAUUCGGUGGCCAUCUUGCUUCUGUUUUGGGUCGCUUGUCUUGUCUUGUGCUUCGGACGUUGCACUAAACACCUAUAUAUAUGCACACAUACACACUGUAGUUUACACUAUGCUCACUGACCAUACUCUAAUAAAUAAUACAUCAUGUUGGUAGGUACAACUGUUUUAUUUUAUUUUUUGUUUAGAAAAAAAAAGGGCUUUUUUUAUAAAAACAACCCAAAAAUAAUUAAUUACUUAAAUGACUUAUUUUUUUGAUAAAAUACGAAAAUAACCUGAAAUCUAUGGAAAAAGUUGGUGGAGCUAAAGUGUGCCACCAACAUGCCACGUCAGCAAUUUAUAUUAAAAAAUUAAUUUUUUAGUAGAGCCGCCACUUGUAUAAAUACUACGGAAAUAUUAUGAUUUUUUUCUUUUUAAGUUUUUUUUAUUUGUCCCUUAUAUAUUUUAUUUAUUUGUUUAUUAUUGAUUUUAUAAAAUCUCAAAUGUAUAUUUUAAAUGUUUUAUAAUAUUAUUUUUUAAAUAUUUUAAAUAUUUUUCUAAAUUUAAAUAUUAUUUUUUAAUUUUUAAAUAUUAUUUUUUAAUAUUAUAAAAUAUUUAAAAUAUAUUAUUUUUAGAAUUAUGAGCUUUCAAAUUUAUUAUUUGUUUUAUAAUAUUUUAAAUAUAUAUUUAAAAAUUUUUAAAUAUAUAUUUUUUAAAUUAUUUUUAAAGAUAUUCAAACAUUUUUUUUAAUUCUAUUUAAAAUUUAAAAAAUAAUAUGUGUUUUUAGAAUGGCUUCACCACUUUAUUACAAGUGUCAUUUUUUAAAAAUAUGUUUUUUAAAUAUAAAUAUUUAAUAUUUAAUAUUUUAUUUUGGUGGAGCCAUUCUUUAUGGCUCCACCUCUUGGUUCUCUAGCAUAUAUAGAAUGGUGAAAUUGUUGUGUUUAGUAGGAGAGUUCAAAAAUUCUGUUAAAGAUGAAUAAUGAGGUGUUUUGGUUUACGUUCUCUUUUAUGGCGAAAUUGUAGAAGGUGAUGUUGGUUGUAUAUUUCAAUGUCGGCAAAGAGUAGGGUUGCGAUUCAAAAAACUGUAAAGCUGGCAGAAAUGAAAAGGAAGAUUAGUGCAAAAAUAGCUAUUUGUUGUGGAAGGGCAAUGUCCAGAUUAUUUUACAAGUUUCCAAUCUCUACAGAUCUGUUCAAAUUUUGUGAGAUGCAACUGUUAGAUGAUGAUGACUUGGGCACUAUGAUGGAAAUAUGGUGGUCGACUGGAAGUGAGAAUCCCCAACCAGUUGAGUUAUUUACUGAGUUAGCAAACUCAGAGCCUGUUGAAAAUGUUAGUCCAAUAAGUCAACAUCGCGAAUUUGACUUUGGUCGUAAUGCCAGAUGGACAGACUAGUUAGAAUGCGGUGGGACAUUGCAGAUACCCGAAAAUCCAAAUUAUGGUGGGAGUUCGUAUAACAACCCUACCCCCGGUCCCCGUCUACAAAUACAUUCGGAGGUGAUAAUAAGCACAGAGGCAGAUAUCAAAGAAAUGACCAAUAAUGAUGAAGAUUCUGAUCAGGACGUUUACGAUUUUAGCGACCUCGAUGUUGAUAAGGUUCCGGACGAUAUCGUUGAUGAAGGCCCGGAGGAGGUGGAAGACGUUCACUGGCCUUCAUUCAAUAACCCGAGUCGUGGCAUUAUUUUACGAAAUGAACCUGGAGGUGACCUGUUGAAUCUAGAUCCAGAUGCAGUGCAUGCAUCCGAGUUCCCUGAGUACACUGAUAUAGUACAUGCUCAUAGAUUGACGUCAAUUUCGUAGUUGGAGGAGUUGUUCAUUGGGUAAUGGUUCGAGAACAAGGCGGGCUGUGUGUUUGCCAUCAAACAUUAAUUAUAGCAUGAAGUUAUCGAUUGAUUACAAGGUUGCCAAGUCUACACCGACAUUAUAUGUUAAGAAAUGCUGGAGAGCCGACGAUGGGUGUGCUUGACGGGUUCGGGUUGCAUUUAUACAGAAGACUCAAUAGUGGCAAAUACGAAAAUUAGAAUGGUGUCAUACAUGCACUGUCGUGCGUAUUCUCAAGAUCCCCAAAAAUUGGAUGCCAAAAUUAUUUGCAACUGCAUCAUGUCACUAAUGAAAGAUAGUCCAAUCAUUCUUGUGUCGACAUAUCAAAUGGAUCGGCACAUCAGGAGGAUCAGCAGCUGGAUCAAACAUGGAAUGAGGCGGAGUGUAUAAAUGUUAUUACCAAACAUAUCAAAUGAUAUCAGUGGUUGCUCUGGGUAAUAUGAACUCGAACCGCCCAUGUCCAGGUGAUAUGAACUGCUCUGUGACUCUUCACAAAAAGCAUCAACCUAUUGGUACGAUAUGUUUAAAGGUUGGUCCUCCGAGUCGGGCUCCGCCAUAUGUUGAUCCUCUAGCUCCCCCAUAGGUUGACUUACAUAUCUAUAGCUGUGUCCGGUACUAUUAUAUGUUGCCCACCAUAUAACUAAAUACGCCAUCGAGUCAUGUACCACUACAUGUAUUCAGUCAAAGGACUGAAGUCAAACAUGCAAAAGUGCAUCUCAGGCCGCUUGUUGUAUCGGGCAUUCCAUAGUACUACAUGUAUCUAUUCUGCUUAUCUGAUUAUGAUAAUUGCAUCUAAUAUGGACUUAGGUCUGAAUCUAUAUUUGACUGUAUAUGAGAUUUUGUGUAUGUACUGCAUGUCUAUUUAUGUUGGGUUAAACACUAAGUUUGCGAAAAUUCAGUUCUGCUUGUCUGUUAUGUUCAGGUAAUCCACAGUCUUAGGCAAAUCGGUGCGGCAGAGUUUCACGGUAACCACAAGUUUGUGAACUAAUUUUAAUUGGUGGUUUUUGUUUAGUUAUGGAUUAUUUCUGGGAGUUUUGUAAUUAAGGGACUCUCCGGACUGUUUGGUUUUAUUUUAGAUUUGGAUUUUCGAAUUAACUCUUCAUUUGCGACGGUUGGCUAAAACCGUGGUUUUUACUAAACAAAGGUUUUUUUGAAAAUGCAAACGGGAUUUUCAAAUAUAACGAUUUCUAAUAUUUCUGCUCAAAAUUAUGUUUUGGAAUAUGAAUUAAUUAAAUAAUGUUUUCAGUAUUAUUUAUAAAACUUGGUUGAUUUAUCGAAAUGGUUCUGAUUUCAAAACCCUUCAUCGCAGCAUUACCAAAUUUGGCGAUAAUGUCUAUGCUGGGUUUGAGGUGUUACACAAAUUGUCACAUAACUCGAUCGGUAUUAUACCACACAAUGGUUGAGAAGUUGAGCACUGGCAUGUUAAUACACCACACAUGGGCUUCUACGUGAACCCACUAAGGAAUAAGGGUUGCAAUGUUCGGUGCUGAAUACAACAUCCACAAGAACUGCACAAUAUAACAUAAUGAGUCAAGUCACAUCACAUACUGCAAGUGGAUAAGUUAAAUCAACGUUACUUAAACCAUGUUAAUAUGUAUUACUUUCUUUCCGACGGAUGCCUCUAUCAUUUGUUGGUAAAUGAUUAAUGUUUAGGUCGCACCAAUUCGCGGAGACGUGGCCCAUCUAAAACCGAAACAAACAUGUUAGCAAUUAAAUGUUAAGUAUAAUUUUGUUUUUACCUAUUUACAAGUGGCGACGAAUAUGGUUGGUGCCUAACAACCACUAGAAAUGGCAUCCUGUAUAGAGCCCAAGAUUGCAGCAGAUUUAGUCAACCAGCCAUGUUACUAACCCCAUGUUUUGUUGCUCGGCAAAGCUCAUGGUACAAUUUGGCCAACACUGCCGAUCCCCAGCUGUAAUUAUCGACACGAGAGAAGUCCUCACAUAGAGGCAAGUACUUUAAGUGGACCCUAUUAGACGUGUUGUUCGACAUAAGUACCCCCGAUUAGCUGCAUAAUAUAUGCUCAAGUGGCACACAUCACCUCGUGCUCAGUGGCAAUGCUUGAUAACUACUUAAAAUUUAGUUUCAACCAUGCCAAUGUCAAGCAUGUGAAAUUAUGUUCCCCACCACUAGGGGACCGUCCAAGCAAUCUGUGGCAUAGUAUUGAAGGUUCCAACACUUUUCUUUGGCCCGUGACCACAACAAUAUCAACUUAUAACCCAAGUUACAUAGCAACAUCUUCCAAUGUGAUAGUACACUCCCCGCACGGCAUAAUGAAGGUGUGGGUCUUCAUACACCACUGCUCAACCAAGACGGAUAUUAAGUUCACCCUCAGGCCAAACCUUCAGAUCAAUGCAACGUCCCCAAAUCCCGCCAAUUGUAAGUAUGGCAUGACUCGCUCGUCCGGAUUGUGCUUGGGAAAAUGAAACCGCAACCUCAGAACCCGAUACCCAUCCUGUAUGGUAAAUUUUUUAUAAAAAUAUGAUAACUCAAUUAUCUAAAGAGUUUUUCAUUUUAGAUUUUAGAGAGGCUUAAAUAAUAGUUUUUCAUUUUAGGAGGUCUAAAAAGUACUUUUCUUUUUAAAGGAGCCACGACCCCUGCCUAGUUUGGUCACCUUCUGUGGUGACGAGAUUCAUUCCAAUGAGAUUAAAAACAGCAGUGAUGAUGAGAUUAAUUACUAUAAUAAUGAGAUUAUUAAAAUCAGUGGUGAGAUGUGUUUUAGAAUUCGAACACAACAAUGGCAGUGAGAUAGAUUAUAGAUUUAUAGUAAAAAGGAAAAAUGACCAUUAUAGACACUAAACUAAAAUUAAACUAAGGAAGUUUACACCAUUCCGUAUAUUUUUGUACGAUUAAUAUUUUAGCGAUAAAAACACCAUAUUUCAUAUUUCAUGUUUUAUGUAAAAUACUUUUAAUCUUUGAAUGAAUGUUAAUACAUGCAAUAUUUUAGAUCGAUAGAUAAAAAUAUAGAAUCAAUUGAGAAUUUACAAUAAUAUCAACAAAUUCAAUGAUUGGAUUGUUAAGUUAAGAAUCAUGCAAAAAUAUAUGAAAUCGUGUAAAAUUACUUUAGUUUCGCACUAGUAUAAGCGAAUUCUUUUUUUUUUAAUAUAAAAAAUUAAUUAUAUAAUUUAAAUUUAUGUAUUUAACAUUAUUUAUAAAUAUAUUUCAUUAUUUAUAAAUAUAUUAUUUGAAAGUAAUGAAAUAAAAUAAAUAUUAUAAAUAAAAUUAUUGAAAUAUAGUAUCUAUUAUUGAAUUAAAUUAACCAUUCUUUAAAAAAAGAGUGAAAAUUAUUUUUUUAAAAUGCAUAGGGUUUUAUUUUUAAAAAAAUUUAAGAUUUAGGUGUAAAAGAUAAUCAAUCAUAAAGUGCAUAGGGCUUUAUUUUUUAUUUUUUAAAUAAUAUUGUUUUUGGCUCACAUGCAGUUUAUUGAGUUAGGUUAAGUAUACCUAACUCAAAAUUUAUAAAAAUGAUAAAAGGCAUGUGAUUUAGUAAUACAAAUAUUUUAUUCUUAAUUUUAAUUCAAUUUUUUUAUUUAAAACAGUAAAGGAUGUAGAUACCUUUAUAAAUUUGCACCUUUUAUUUUAUAGUUCAGUCAUUUCUUAAUUUCAUUUAGAGAUUUAUUGUAUACAGUGACGGAGCAUAGUGGAGAUCCAGGUAGCAUGGCAUCCCUUAAAAUGGUAAAUUUUUUAUUCAAGCCCUUUAUAAUUUAUAAAAUAUUAAAUUAGUAAUGGUAAAAUUGUAUUUUAACCCCCCUAAAGAUGAUAAAGUUUUGAUUUAACCCUUUAAAAAUUACAAAUUACAAUUUAAUUCCAACCCAAAAAAAUUUAGGCUCCGCCACUUAAAUAAUUAUAUCAAAUUCGAUAAAAAUUUUAAACUUCACAGGUAGAAUUGAAAAAAUAUGUGCUUUAUUUAAUAAUAAUACUUUUGAAUGGGUUGAAUUUGGUUGAAUUGGCAAGAGAUAAGGUGUGGAUAAAAUAAUAAAUUUAGUAGAUUAUAUGCAGAACUUGGUCAUAUCAGACUCAGUGCCAUGAACUUCACUAGCAAGCUUGCUAACACAGCUGCAGCAUAAGCUAUUAACUGCUUAAUCACUAUUUUUAUUACAACACUCAAAGAUGAAGAAGAAGAUUCUAUAUUUAAUUUCUUAAUGUUAACCUUGCAUUUGCAUUUCCUUGAUGGCGCUUCUAUACCAACUUUCAAGGAGAAUAAAACAAAAUAAUAAUAACUUUUUAGUUAAUUUGAUGGCAUAAUUGGUAAGGUUUUUUUUUAUUUUUUUAUUUGGGGUCGAUUUUGCAACGAUAUAGACAGGUAGGUAGGCACAUUUUAUUCUGUUGAAUAACUAGUUAUAUGGUAUAAGAGUGGUACCUAAUUGAUUAUUAAUGUCUUAAGGUCGAAUAUCGAAAAAAAAAACAAUUCCCCUUUAGAAAAAUAUUUAUUGGAAUUUAUUAUUUUGAAAACUAAAAAAUUUAAUCAUCUUGCUUCAAUGAAGAAAUCGAAACCCUGUAAGUUAGGGUAUGAUUCUUUGAAGUUCCGAUAACAACAUGAAUUUGCCUUUAUUAGAAAACUUCAUCUCGAGAUAAUAAAAUGUCAUAUCCAAUUAUUUAGGACCCAACGUUUUGAAUCCUCGAGAUAAGCUUUAAUUUUGGAAUUUUUACGUUCUUCGGAAAGAAGGAUACAGGGUUACCUAAAUUCAUCGAGGAAAAUUGAAACCCAGUAAGUUAGGGCACAAUCUUCUCGAGAAUCUUGGAUACCGAGUAUUGUGUUAUUUUGAAAACCUUUGAAUAAAACAAUUUAAUUACUUUAAUUAAGCAUAAUCCUUUAAGAAAAAAAACGAUGGAAUGAUAAUGUAUAACGGGAAAGGAUAGUUUGUAAACUAAAGUGCACACUAAUGAGCGACAAAUAAAUACAAAUAAGCAAUACAAUACACAUGAGAGCAAUCAUCUUUAUACAAAUACUAACUUUAAAAGCUAAUGAAUCAAAAGUCUAUUUUGAAAGAAAUACGAAGCAAAUUAACACAAAUAAAAUGUAACAAAUUUUAAAACAACUAAAAAAACAAAUGACAUGAAAGAAGGGGAAUUAUGUAAAUUUAAAAUAAUAUAUACAUAUAUCAAAGUUUGAAAUAAAUCAAAAACAUAGUUCGAAAUAAAUACUACAUAAAAUAAUAGUAUCCAAAUAAAUUUUAAAAUAAAUAUUAUAUAAGAAGAAAAUCAAAACACACAAAAUAAUAUACAUAUAUUAAUUUAAAAAAGUAAUACAUAUGGAAUGAAAAACUUCAUAAUAAUAUAUAAUAAAUUUAAAAAUAAUAAUAAUGCAUGAAAAGCUUAGAAAAAUAAUACAUAUAAAAUUAAAAUAAUAAUAUACAAUAAAUUUAAACAAUGUUAAUAAUAAAUUUAAAAUAAUAUUAAUUUUAAAAUUAAAUACAUUAAAAAUAAGGGAAUAAUAGAUGCUUAAAUAAAAUUUUAAAAAAAAAUCAAGCACAGUAAAUUAGUAGGGAUUAAAUUGAACUCAAAAUAGAAUUAAAAGGGAAAAAAGUAAAACAAAAUGAAGGGCCAGAGCAUAACGCGCGAAUAACAUGAGGGCCAAACAGGAAAUAUUGCCUUCUCUCAAAACGCUGCAUUUUGAUGUGGACCAAAAUGAUACAAAAAGAAAAUGUCAAGCAAAAUUUAAAAGCCAUUAAAGAAUUGAUUUGAAUACGUUAUAAACGUGGGGGACCAUUUGCACAAAUUCCCCAUGCGCUACAAAAUGCGCGGAUCUUUCCCCGGGUCGGGUCACUACGCGGGUAUACAUGGCGGUAUGGCGUCGUUUUGGAGUCAUUAAAACAGACCCCAAAUGGCGCCGUUUCUUUUAUCAUAUACAAACCAAUUUUAACCCUAAAAUUAGCAGCCAUUUAUGAUUUAAAAAUCAAUCCCUAAAAAAAACUUGUCUCACCCUCUCCGAGCGCCGUUCAACAAUUAGGCCGUUCAAAGGUCCUCCGCCCUUCGCCCGCCUCCGAUUGCGAUGUAGCGAACCAAGGUUCGACUACCAGGUAACCGACUCUUAACUGUUUCUUUUUUCUUCAUUCACGAUAAAUAAAUAAAAAGAUUCAAGAACAGAAAAAAAUUAUUGAGAGAGGAAAAAAAAUGAAAAUCACCUCUGGAUUUCUGUCUUUUAGCAAUUUUUAUUUCUUUUCGUAUCCCCCAUUUACAAAUUUUCAAUGGCUUUUUAUAGCCGAAAUGAAACAAGAAAAUAAAAUAAAAAGAAAUCUAUUCUGUCAUCUGAUGGUCUUGAUUUGCGAUUUUUUAUUUUCUUACUAUUUUUUCCUACCUCUGCUGUUUGUUCCCAUUUUUGUUGUGCAGGUACAACCUCGGAGGGGCGCACGUGCGCGGAGGAGCAACAUGCGCGGGGGGCCUAGGUUCGGCUGCAGCGCAAAGGCAGAAAGCUACUAUUGCUGCUAAGGUUUCUGUUUCGUGGUCUAGGGCUAGGCAUUGGGCCUCUGUAAUUGGGCCACUAUUUAUUUGGUUAAGGAUUUAGAUUGGGUCUUAGUGUAUUUUGUAAUCGAGUUUGGGUUUGGGUUGGCAAUUGGACUGUAUUUGGACUUUGAAUUUUUAUUUGGUAUUUGGUUUUAUUUAUUUACAUACGGGCCAGGCAAAUUGGGCCAAUUAUAGCUGCCCCUCUUUGCUCGUUCUCGUGUAACAGGAACGGAGCAAAGAAUUUAGCAAUGGCCAAUUUUUAUUUCUUUUCGUAUCCCCCAUUUACAAAUUUUCAAUGGCUUUUUAUAGCAAAAAUGAAACAAGAAAAUAACAUAAAAAGAAAUCUAUUAUGUUAUCUGACGGCCUUGAUUUGUGAUUUUUGAUUUUCUUACUAUUUUUUCCUACAUGUGCUGUUUGUUGCCAUUUUUGUUGUGCAAGUACAAGCUCGGAGGGGCGCACGCGUGGGGGGCCUGGGUUCGGCUGUAGCGCAAAGGCAAAAAGCAUCUAUUGCUACUAAGGUUUUUGUCUCGUGGUCUAGGGCUAGGCAUUGGGCCUCUGUAAUUGAGCCACUGUUUAUUGGGUUAGGGAUUUAGAUUGGGUCUUAGUGUAUUUUGAAAUCGGGUUUGGGUUUGGGCUAGCAAUUGGACUGUAUUUGGACUUUGAAUUUUUAUUUGGUAUUUGGUUUUAUUUAUUUACAUGCGGGCUGGGUAAAUUAGUCCAAUUAGAACGUGUUAAGAACUUUCUUAAUGAACAAAGUAAUGCUAUAUUGAUCAAGAAAAUAGGUGAUUUCCCUUCCUCUACCAUUUCACAAUAAUAGAGUACAUGAGUUAGCUAUUAUUUAUAAUUGCUGCUAACAAAUUAAUAGAUUGAUGAGAAUAAAAAAACUAAAUGUUGCCUAUCAAUACUAACAGCUAUUAUUUUAUAUUUUAACAUUAACUUAUCUUUCCGACGGGUAACACCUGAAGAAGACUUUGAAACCGAGCGAAAGAUGAAACAGAUAAAGGCUUAGUAAGAAUGUCAGAAAUUUGAUCGCACGCAAGUAUUUCACCCACAACUAAAGACCUAGCAGCAAAUCUUUCACAAAUAAAGAACAAAUCAAGCUCCACGUGUUUAAACUUAGAAUGUAAAACCGGAUUCACAGCAACUGCAACUGCACUUGAGUUGUCAUACCAUAUAGUAAGGAAAUCAUUAGACUGAAGUUCUAAUUCUUUUAAUAAUGAAGUCAGCAAAAGGACAUCACUCGUUACUGCAGUAAGACUCUGAUAUUUAGCUUCGACUGUGGAAUGAGACACAACUUGUUGUUUCUUUGAACACUAUGACACUAAGUUGUGACCAAAAUAUACACAAUAGCCAGUUGUGGAUCAACUAUCAUCAAGAUCCAGCCCCCAAUUUGCAUCGGCAUAACCAACUAAAGAGAGUUGAGUAGACGAACGAAACACAAUCCCAUAGUCUAGAGUACCACACAAAUACCGCAAUAUGCAUUUUAAAGCAACCAGAUGUAUAGUAGUGGGUGUAUCCAUAAAUUGGCAGAUGCGAUUUACUGCGUAGGCAAUAUCAGGUCGAGUUAGAACCACAUACUAUAGCGCCCCUGCAACACUUCUGUAUUCAGUGGGAUCAAAAAGUCAUUCCCCGCCAUCCUUAGACAAAGAUGAUGAGCUAAUCAUAGGAGUAUGAACACUCUUUGCAUGAGUCAUACAACACCUGUUAAGCAAAUCACGAACGUACUUUUGCUGGCAUUGAUGGAUACAUCCAUCAGAGGAACGAGUCACCUCAACUCCAAAAAAGUAAUAAAGAUCACCCAUAUCUUUAAGAGAAAACUCCUUAUGCAAUUUCUGAACAAAACUUUCAAUACAUGUAGGUACACUUCCAGUAACAAUAAUAUCAUCCAUACACAAGAACAUAUAGAGUGACAGAAGGUAUGACUUGAAUAAAUAAGGACGAACUCGACUUGGAUAUAUGAAAUCCAAUUGAAAGUAGGAAACACUUUAACUUUUUAAACCAAACACGUGGAGCCUGUCACAGUCCAUACAAUGCCUUCUUAAGACGACACACCAAAGGUUCACCAUUAGGACUAAACUGAACAUACCCUGGAGGUUACUGCAUAAACACUUAAUCAGUAAGAUUGCCAUUUAAAAAAAACAUUAUUAACGUCUUGAGACAGAGACUGAUAGUAUAACUCGAAUAGUAGCAUGCUUGACCCCCGGACUAAACGUUUCCUUAAAAUCACAUCCAAGUACCUGAGAACAUCCUUUAGCCACUAACCGAGCUAUCCGACUUGCAAUCGUUCCAUCCAAAUUUUUUUUACUUUGAAGAGCCAUUUACACCUGAUUACCUUUCGACCGCUUGGUGACAGAAUAAGUUUCUAGGUGGAAUUAUGUGUAUUUUGGAAAUACGCCCAUCUCGUGUUGUUCAAAAAGGCAACAAGUUAUUUCUCGAUCAACAGCAGAAGUAGAAUAUUGAACUCUUACUGCCGCCACCAGUGAUAUAAUAUGGUUAGUCUCUCUGCUAACGGAGUUACAACUUCAUUCUGCUGACUCUCCUACUAUUUGGUGUGACAAUUCUAGUGCAGUAGCGAUUGCUGGCAAUCUGGUUUUACACUUCAAGUUUAAACAUGUUGAACUUGACCUUUUCUUUGUCCGUGAAAAGGUUGCUAACAGUUCACUCGUUGUUGGUGAGGUACCAGCCUGUACCAAGUUGCUAACAUUUUAAGGAAACCAUUGUCUGUCUCUUUGUUUACUCAGUUUUGUAAUUUCCUUCGGAUCUUACCUAUUGAGAAGCUGGGUAAAUGUUAGAGUAUGUGAAUGUAUUAGGCUAUUAGUCUGUUAUCAAGACUGGUAUAUUGUUAGUAGGUUAGUUAGUAGUAGUUAGAUCAAGUCUCAUGCAUAUAAGUAUUAUCUCUAUACUGAUAGAAAAAGGUUAACAAUACAAACAAUUUAAUUAGUCUUUUCUUUCAAUAUUUUUCAGUAUUAUAGAGUUAGUAACAUGUUCAUAUUAUUUGUUCCAGUGUUGAUGGUAUUGGCAACUACUGUUUUGUCCAAAAAGCUUGACGUCAUGCUCAUGACGUUGGCUACUGUUUGUAGGCUCCGAUAUAAGGUUUCAAUGGAAAUUCCCCUAGUCCUGUAAUCAAUAGAUGGUGGUAUAGCCCUUAGAGUACUAUGGGGUCCAAUUUGUUCUUUAGUUUUAUCAAUCAGACCACCACUGUGGCAGGAAUCAGAAAUAAUUAUGAAGCUUAAUCCACUUGGUAGUCGUUGAAUCAAGUGCCCCAAGUCGACGUCUGCACAACCAUCGCAACCACCAUAUGACAUGAAUAAUAGUUCGCUUAGAUUGAGGGUGUUUCAAUAAUGUGAUAUAUUUGGCCUCUAAUAAGAAAUCAACAUAUAGAGUGGGUGAUUAAUCCGAAUUGGGAGGAGGACAGGUGUUGUGAUGGACAAAGCGUAAGACAAGGUGGUUUCCGACUGAAGCAAGAAAGCUCUAGCAAAAGGCAGCUAGGUAUUCCUUUUUCACACAAAGACGAAGAUAAAUGAUUAUAACAGCAUGAUAUGAUCUGCUUCGCCUUCGUCCACUACCUCAUCUUUAUGUUUUUGUUUUGGUCGUUACUCACGUCGGCUUUUGUCUGCAAGUGCUGCAUGUCGGUCCUACUAUCGUGAUUGUGUUGCCUAGCUUCUGAUUUCUAUGUAUUAAUAGGGUCUAUUUGAAUGUGCGGUUUGCAGAGGUAAAAUUAGAAAUUUGUUUUUAAGUGUUAAACUUUGUAUCUAUAUAGAUUUAAGAAGUGUUAAAUCAAAAUUUUAUAUUUUUUUACGAUAAAUUGUAUUUAUACAAUGUUUAACUUAUAAAUUUAUUGAUAUUACAGAGGUUUAAAUAAUAGUUUUCCAUUUUAGGGGUAUAAAGAGUAAUUUUCAUUUUAAGGGCGCUACGAUUAGACUUGAUUAUGAGUUGGGUCACCCGUCCAAGUCUAAUGGUUCUCUUGACAAGUGAGAGAGAUUGGGCUAAAAUAUAGCCCAAAAAAACAGACUUGGACAAAAAAUAAUAUCCAUAUUCCAAAGGGGCCGAGCCUCGGGUAAGAUUUUUUUGCUUGGGCCCAACCCGACCCAAAUUUGCUUAAAAAAUUUUCCUUGCUACUGUUAACUAUUGUUUGCUAUUAUAUUGUUACUAUAUUGUUGCUAUUAUUUGUAUAUUGUAUAAUUAUUGUUUUAUUGUUAAUUUUGCUACUAUUUUCAAUUAGUUGGGAAACAUUUAUUUCAACAUUUUUAGUGUAUUUGAUGUAUUAUAUUUUUUAAAAUAAAAAAGUAUAAAAUAUUUUAAUAUAGGCGGGCCGGGCAAGGCUCAGGUUUGGCAUUGUUUAUCUGGGUCAGGCUUGAUAAAAAAUUUAGGCCCAUUUUUUGGUCGGGUAGGGCUUGAGCCUAGAAAACGAGCCUAGAAUCCCAACCCGAUUGAGCCCAUGAUCAAGUCUAGCCACGACCCCUAUCCGCUAUGGUCACCGCCUUUGGAGACAAGAUUAAUUCUUGUGAGAUUGAGAAUAGGGAUGGCGAUGAGAUUAAUUACUAUAGCAGUGAGAUUAGUUACUACAGUGAUGAUGUUAAAAUUAGUGGUGAGAUGCGGAUUCAAACACAAGAAUGGCGGGAAGAUAGAUAAUAGAUUUAUAGUAAGAAAGGAAAAUGACCAUUAUAGACAUUAAAAUAAAUUAGUUUUCACCUUUCCGUAUAUUUUUCUAUGAUUAUUAUUUUAAUGAUAAAAAUGACAUAUUUAAUAUUUCAUUUAAACACAUCGUGCAUAUUUUUAACAUAAAUUAAAAAUUUCUAACUAUUUGUUUUAUUUAAGAAUAUUUUUAAUCGUUUAAUAAAUGUUAAUAUAUAUAAUAUUUUAGAUAGCUAUGACAGAAAUAUCGAAUCAAUUUAAAAUUUUACAUACAUGAAAAGUACAACAAUAUUGAUAAAUUCAAUGGUGGGUGUCACAUCACAAAAUCAGGGUUAAAAAAAUUAGAUUAGCGAAACCAAGUGUGGUCGUGUUCAGUUUUGAUUUGAAGUUGUGAAAAUUAAAAACCAAGAGUACGUUAACCACCGCAUCCCCAAAUAGUCAUAUGAUGUCUCAUAGGCUUCACACCCUCUUAAUAAAAUCCCAUCAUCCUCCUUCAGUGGAUCCAACACCAUUAACCCAUCUACGUAGCGAGUAUUGGGAAUUAUCCAUAUUUAUGGAAAAUCAAAGAUAUGGGUAUCAAAUAAUAGAAAGUCAAAGAUAUGGGUAUCAAAUAUUGGAAAGUCAAAGAUAUGGGUAUCAAAUAUUGGAAAGUCAAAGAUAUGGGUAUCGAGAUAUUGGCAUAAUAAAAUCUGAGAUAUUUGCAAUAUAUGGUCCCUAAUUGUAAAGUGACUUUGCAAGUUGAUCCCUGAACCUCAACUAUAAAUAGGUGCCAUCUCUCAUUCUGUAUCUCAAACUUGCCAUUCUCUACUUAAGGCAUUGUUUUUUCUCUCUCUCUCUUUGUAAAUUCUCACUUGUAUUUUGGAGUGAAAUAUAUUUGGUAGUGCCCGAGGACGUAGGCAAAAUUUGCUGAACCUCGUUAAAUUCUUGUGUUCUUUAUUGUAUUAUUCUGCAUGAAUUGUGUGUGUGAUUGUAGUAAUUUAUUGUGCUAUUAAAUUACGACUGAAGGAUAUUCUGGCUAGGAAAGACCUGGUACUUAAGCGAUCCUUGUGAUCCACCUCUCUUUCCUGGGAAUUGAACUUAGUGUGAUUUUUUAGUACAAUAAUUUUACUCUUUUACACGCUUCCGCACAACAAUUGGUAUCAGAGCUAGAUUCGUACUUGGGGAAUACGAUCGUUCACGGUACUGUUCACGUACUGUAGUUGGGAUUGAGGAGAAAAAAAUGGAAAAGUCAUCGUCAAAGACUACUGUGACCAAUGCGAAAUUUGAAGUAGAGAAAUUUGAUGGUACCAAUAAUUUUGGUAUGUGGCAAUGUGAGAUCCUGGAUGUCUUAUGUCAGCAAGAGUUGGAUAUAGCCCUUGAAGAAAAACCUGACAAGAUGGAUGACAAGGAGUGGGCCAAGAUCAAUAGACAGGCAUGUGGAACAAUUCGCCUAUGUUUGGCCAAAGAGCAGGAGUACUCUGUCAUGAGGGAGUCAUCAGCGAAGAAGUUGUGGGAUACACGGGAAGAAAAGUUUCUAACAAAAAGUCUUGAAAAUAGGCUUUAUAUGAAAAAGAAACUUUAUCGAUUCACGUAUGCACCCGGUAUGUCGAUGAAUGACCAUGUGAACUCAUUCAAUAAAAUUUUAGCAGACUUGCUAAAUUUGGAUGAGAAAUUUGAAGAUGAAGACAAGGCAUUACUGUUGUUGAAUUCUCUUCCUGAUGAAUAUGAUCAUCUUACCACCACAUUGCUUCAUGGGAAGGAUACAAUCACAUUUGAUGCAGUCUGUAGUGCGUUGUAUAGAUCUGAGACUCGAAAGAAAGAUAAAAAAGAUCACAGAGACUACAGAAGUCUUAACAGUAAGAAGUCGUUCGCACAGCAACAAAUCUGGUAGAAGGAGUAAGUCCAAAAAGAGACCUGCCAAAGAUGAAUGUGCUUUUUGUCGUGAGAAAGGGCAUUGGAAAAAGAAUUGUCCUAAGUUACAAAAGGGUAAAGCUAUUUCUGAUGCAUGUGUAGCGGAGCAUGAUGAGGAGUCAGACUUUAGCUUGGUUGGCAUGGCAAUGGCAUGUCAUACAGAUGAGUGGAUUUUUGAUUCGGGAUGUACUUACCAUAUGUGUCCUAAUAAGGACUGGUUUUCUAGUCUUAAAGAACUAGAAGGUGGAGUUGUUUUUAUGGGCAAUGAUAGCGCUUGUAAGACAAUGGGAGUAGGUACAAUCCAAUUGAAGAAUCACGACGGCUCAAUUCAAGUCUUGACAGAUGUUCGCUACAUACCUAUCUUGAAGAAAAAUCUUAUCUCAUUAGGGGUCCUAGAAUCUAAAGGGCUCACAAUCACUUUGAGAGAUGGAUUACUAAAGGUAGUAGCUGGGGUAUUGACGGUGAUGAAAGGCACAAGAAGGAAUAAUCUGUACUAUUUAAAUGGAAGUACAGUUAUUGGAUCAACAUCAACAGCUUUUACGAAAGAUGCAGAUUCAGAGGCUACCAGGUUAUGGCAUAUGCGAUUGGGACAUGCUGGUGAAAAAGCUUUGCAGAGUUUGGCGAAGCUAGGCUUGUUGAAAGGUGCAAAUUCUUGCAAAUUGGAAUUCUGUGAACAUUGUGUUCUGGGCAAGCAGACAAGGAUAAAAUUUGGUUCAGCAAUUCACAAUACAAAAGAAAUUCUGGACUACGUUCAGAGUGACGUGUGGGGACCUACUAAAGUGGCUUCUUUGGGAGGUAUGCACUAUUUUGUUACUUUUGUUGAUGAUUAUUCAAGAAAAGUAUGGGUGUAUCUAAUGAAAAGGAAAAAUAAAGUUUUGGAUGUAUUUCUUAAAUGAAAGAAGAUGGUGGAGACCCAGGCUGGUCGAAAAGUCAAACGACUUCGAUCAGACAAUGGUACUGAGUACAAGAAUGAUCCAUUUCUACAAGUAUGUCACGAUGAAGGUAUUGUACGACACUUCACUGUUCGAGAUACACCACAACAGAAUAGGGUGGCAGAACGUAUGAAUCGGACUAUACUGGAGAAAGUUCGAUGUAUGUUGUCCAAUGCUGGAUUGGGCAAAGAAUUUUGGGCUGAGGCAGUUACAUAUGCGUGCCAUCUAAUUAAUCGGUUGCCAUCAACUGCAAUAAAUGAAAAAACUCCUAUGGAGAGGUGGGCUGGUAAACCUGCUACUGAUUAUGAUUCUUUACAUAUUUUUGGUUCCACUGCAUAUUAUCAUGUAAAAGAAUCUAAGUUAGACCCAAGAGCAAAGAAAGCAUUAUUCAUGGGUAUAACUGGUGGAGUAAAAGGAUACCGUUUCUGGUGUCCUGAUACAAGGAAAAUAAUUUUCAGUAGAGAUGUGACUUUUGAUGAAUCAACCAUGAUGAAGAACAAUGAUUCACAAAAGGAUAACACAACCAGUGGCACUUUGCAGCAGGUGGAGCUUGAAAAGGUUAAUGAUGAUCCAGCUAAUAUUGAAGGAACAAAUGAUGAAGAAGUUUCGACCCAAGAACUUCUACAGCAACAUGAUUCAAUUGCAUAUAGAAGGCCAAGAAGAGAGAUUCGUAUGCCUGCUCGCUUUGAUGAUAUGGUGGCCUAUGCACUUCCAAUUGCAGAUGAUGAUGUUCCUUCUACUUACACAGAAGCAAGAAGUAACUCUGAUAGUGUAAAGUGGAAGCAAGCUAUGAAUGAAGAAAUGCAGUCUCUUCAUAAAAAUAGGACUUGGGAGUUGGUGACACUACCUAAAGGAAAGAAGGCAAUUGGAUGCAAAUGGGUAUAUGCAAAGAAGGAAGGAUUUCCUGAUAAAAAUGAAGUUCGAUACAAGGCUAGAUUGGUAGCAAAGGGUUACGCUCAGAAAGAAGGAAUAGACUACAAUGAAGUAUUUUCUCCAGUUGUGAAGCAUUCGUCUAUUCGGAUUUUGCUAGCCUUGGUUGCGCAAUAUGAUCUUAAACUAGUUCAGCUCGAUGUGAAGACCGCAUUUUUACAGGGUGAUUUGGAAGAGGAAAUCUAUAUGACUCAGCCAGAUGGAUUCAAGGUUGCUGAUAAAGAAAAUUGGGUUUGCAAACUGACAAAGUCGCUUUAUGGAUUGAAACAAUCUCCAAGGCAGUGGUACAAGCGAUUUGAUCAGUUCAUGAAAGGGCAAAGGUAUACAAGAAGUAAAUUUGAUCAUUGCGUGUAUUUUCAGAAGCUACAAGAAGGAUUUUUCGUAUACUUGCUAUUAUAUGUUGAUGAUAUGUUGAUAGCAUCUAAGAGUAAAGUUGAAAUUGAGAGAUUGAAGACUCAACUCAACCUUGAGUUUGAGAUGAAAGAUCUAGGUGAAGCUAAGAAGAUCCUUGGCAUGGAAAUAUGUAGGGAUAGAGCUCAUGGCAGAGUUAGUUUAUCUCAGAAGCAAUAUUUAAAGAAGAUACUACAGAAGUUUGGCAUGAACGAGUAGACUAAAGCUGUAAGUACCCCGUUGGCUUCUCAUUUCAAGCUUUCUGCACAACUAUCUCCUUCGACAAAUACGGAACAAGAAUACAUGUUACAAGUUCCGUAUUCUAAUGCAGUAGGUAGCUUGAUGUAUGCAAUGGUGUGUACAAGACCCGACAUUUCACAGGCAGUUAGUAUAGUGAGCAGGUAUAUGCAUAAUCCUGGAAAAGGACAUUGGCAAGCUGUGAAAUGGAUUCUACGGUAUAUUCAUAAGACCAUGGAUAUUGGAUUCCUGUUCAAGCAGGAUACUACACUUGGUAAAGGUGUUGUUGGGUACGUUGAUUCUGAUUAUGCCGGUGAUUUGGACAAACGAAGAUCAACCACUGGUUAUGUGUUUACUCUUGCUGGAGGACCAAUAAGUUGGAAGUCUACACUGCAGUCUACAGUUGCGUUGUCAACCACAGAAGCUGAAUACAUGGCUGUAACAGAGGCUGUAAAGGAAGCUAUUUGGUUACAAGGUAUGGUUAAAACCUUGGGAUUGAUCCAAGAGCAUAUUAAUGUGUAUUGUGAUAGUCAAAGUGCUAUUCAUUUAGCAAAGAAUCAAGUCUAUCAUGCACGUACAAAGCAUAUCGACGUACGUUUCCGCUUUGUGCGGGAAAUUAUUGAUGAGGGGAAAAUUCACCUUCAGAAGAUUAAGACUGCAGAUAAUCCCGCAGAUAUGAUGACCAAGGUGGUAACAACAAUCAAGUUCGAACAUUGUUUGAACUUGAUCAAUAUUCUGCAUGUUUAACAGUUGAAGAAGGCACUAUCAAGUGUUGUUGACAAAGGCAGAGAGAAUUGUGUGAAGAUAAGAUUACUCGAAUUAAAUCUUCAAGGUGGAGAUUAUUGAGAAUUAUCCAUAUUUAUGGAAAAUCAAAGAUAUGGGUAUCAAAUAAUAGAAAGUCAAAGAUAUGGGUAUCAAAUAUUGAAAAGUCAAAGAUAUGGGUAUCAAAUAUUGGAAAGUCAAAGAUAUGGGUAUCGAGAUAUUGGCAUAAUAAAAUCUGAGAUAUUUGCAAUAUAUGGUCCCUAAUUGUAAAGUGACUUUGCAAGUUGAUCCCUGAACCUCAACUAUAAAUAGGCAUAACCAUUUCUCAUUCUGUAUCUCAAACUUGCCAUUCUCUACUUAAGGCAUUGUUUUCUCUCUCUCUCUUUGUAAAUUCUCACUUGUAUUUUGGAGUGAAAUAUAUUUGGUAGUGCCCGAGGACGUAGGCAAAAUUUGCUGAACCUCGUUAAAUUCUUGUGUUCUUUAUUGUAUUAUUCUGCAUGAAUUGUGUGUGUGAUUGUAGUGAUUUAUUGUGCUAUUAAAUUACGAUUGAGGGAUAUUCUGACUAGGAAAGACCUGGUACUUAAGCGAUCCUUGUGAUCCACCUCUCUUUCCUGGGAAUUGAACUUAGUGUGAUUUUUUAGUACAAUAAUUUUACUCUUUUACACGCUUCCGCACAACAGUGAGGAUGGAAUUUGAGGCUCACAUCUUUCCCGAAGAUUCCGAAAAUCUUUUGGCCAAUAUUUACUGCGUCGUGUAGGAGGCCUGCUGCUGUAUCUAUCGCACCAUGUAUGAUAUCAAAAGGAAGACUCUUAACCUUGACCUUAGACGGUUUAGGCAUGUUGGGAUUUACUGGUGUCGUCAUAUGCUCAACACCAAAUUGUUCUUUCUCUUUUUCAAUGAGACCACCACUGUGGCACGAAUCUGAUAGGAUUGUGAAGCUUGCUCCUUCUGGUAGCCGGUUAACUAAACGGCUGAAGUCCAUAUCUGCAGAAACCAUGUAUAUAUAGGGUAUGAAUAUAUAUUGCUAAAAUAAAUAUUUAAAUUCAAACAAAAACCUACCCGUGACAAGAUUUAAAUCACAAGCCACGAUUGCUUCAUCUUGUUUGAAAGGCUGGCCAGGUUGAAAGAUUGGAAUGCGUGUUCCAUGUCCACUGAAGUAGAAAAAUAGGACAUCUCCUGCUUUAGCAUUGCACGCCAUUCUAUUAAGUGCAUCCCUAAUGUUUGCGCCGGUAGGCAGAACCGACGACCCUGGCGCACCGGUGAGGACAUUAAUAUCACUUUCCUUGAACCCAAAGUUCAGGAUCCCAUCUCCUAUGGUUUUCACAUCAUUGAUGCGUCCAUGCAAGCCGAAUUGGGUCUCGGGGUAGUUGCAUCCCACCAGAACUGCUCUCUCGUACCCUUACCCAUCUUGCUUUGCUAAUUUGACUAUUUUGUGUUGCUUGUACCCUUGUAUUAAUGUGCUUCCACCGUCUCACUAAGACCCUAUAUAUAUACACACUAAUUUACGGCCUGUGUACUGUCGAUUAAGAUGAUCAUAAAGUGGAUAGGGUUUUACUUGUUUUUUCUUUUUAACAAACUAAUAUUAUUUUUGGCUAACAUCCAAUUUAUUUAAAUACGUUAAGUAUACCUAACAUAAAUUUUUUAAAAAUGAUAAAGGCAGAUUAUGUUUUCAUAGAUGUAAUUUAGUCAUACAAAUAUUAAUAAUUAAUAAUAAUUAAUAAACACGUUCAUUUCAAUUAAUUGUAUACUCUACUAAAUGGUAAGAUGUGGCUUAUUAAAUUAAAAAAUUAAGUCUGACUUCCUCUCAACACUAUUCACACACCCUUGUUAUUUAUAUUUUUGCUCUAUAAAAAAUAAGGAUUUUGUGAUAUUUUUUCCUCUUAAAUGAUUUUAUUUAUAUUUUUAAUUAUAUUAAUUAUAUUUUAUAUUAGUUAUUAUUGAUUUAGAGAAUAAUUGGAGAAAAAAAAGAGCUUAAAGUUUAUUUUUGACACGUUUUGCGGGUUGGACUUUCAAUAUUUACAAUACAGUUUAAGUAUUUUGGUAAUAACUUAAGCUACAGGUUUUAGUUUUGGGCUCAUAAUAUACAGAUUUGAAGAAAAUUGACAUAACUAACUAAAUUUGUUUCGCGGAUGAAGCCCAAAAACAUCAAGAAGACAUCAAAAAAUGUCCUGGAAGUUUGUCCGAAAAAUUGCCAAAAUAUCUUGAAAACUUUUGCUUUAUAUAAUUAAUGGUACUUUUGUACUUUCUCUAUUAUAUUAUUUUUCUCUAUAAAUGGACAUUAUUAGGUUAAGACGAGGGGAGACCUAGACCUAGGCGUUCUUAGUUUUAUUUUGUUUUUUUAGUUUGUGGCUUUUUAAACUCUCCAUCUAGUCGAAGGUUUUAUCAGAUUUUGAUUUAAUAAAUUUGUGAGACUUAAUUUUUGCUUUAAUUUUUCUUUGUUCUUUGGUAUUCAUGCAUUUUUUGUUUUAAUUACAACUUUUCAAGUUUAUUGAAUGUUCAGUCGGUAUUUGAUAGCUUAGAAUGAUUGUUUUGUCAAUUAGAAUUCUUAAAUCCAUAAUUGUAUAAUUCAUUCUAAUACUAGUGACAAACUACAUAAUUCGUUUAUGUCGCAGUUUAUAUUUAUGUGGUGUGAAUGUGUGAUAUAGCUAAAAUGAAUCUCGCUAGGAUGAGUUUGUUAGUUAGAAUUUGGACUCUCUCGUUCUUAAUACUGCCGAUAAGUUAAAUCUAGGGCGUUGAGUUACAGGGUUAUUUAUCGAUUAGGAAAUAAUUUCAAACGAGUUUUCUCUUGGCUAUCGAACAAUGAGAGAUGGGUUGCCUUACACUGAGUCAACAACUAGAACUAAUUUAUUAAAGGUAUUGAAGUUAUUUUUGCAUUGAUGAUCGAAUCUUUGAAUCAAACAAAGAUUUUACUUCUAGCUAGAGUUUCUUCUCAUUAAUUUUCUUUUAUAAUUUAUUUUUACUUUGUUUUAAUUUUAAUUUUUAAUUUUAAAAUCUUUUUAUAUUUUUCAUGUAAGUUUUUGUUUUUAUAAAUCUCUACAUCCUUGCAUUACUUCAAUACAACACCAAAAGAACCAAAUGGCAAACACUAUAACUAAAAAUCUUGCAAAAGAGGCCGUUUUAUUUUAUCAUAAAAUUAUACAUGAAAUAGCCAUACAUGGCGAUUACAUAAGCUUGAAGGCCUUAAAACACAGACAUACGAUAGUAAUUAAUAAGCAAACACACACACAGACGCAGUAAUGAAGGCUAACUUCAACUUCGUAGUAGUGCACACCGAUGGAGCACAUUAUUAUUUAGUUUACAGUUUCGACCUCUAGUGAUCGAAAACCCUGGUUCAAAGCCGGCAGCUUAUGCACCCGUAGUGGUGUUGGGUUGGUGGCCAAGAAAAGCUGCAUCAGCAUUCUCAUCACUGCAAUAAAGGCAAGGGUGCUGCUGCCCAAUUCCUAGCUUUAUUAUUUCAUUCCUAGCCUUCACCACAAGCUGUCUAUUGGUUAAUGCACCUAAUUCGCUCUCCUUGAUGACCUUCAGAACUGAAUAGGUAAAGGCCCCAAACGCCUUUCCUCCGGUUUUCUCACUCGCUGGCAUAUCAAUUGAAAGCUCAUUGGCUUGGCACCCACUUAACAGAAUUCCCUCAUCCUCCGUCAGUGACCUCAAAUUCAAAAUAUCACGCUCAUAAUGGGGUAGGAAUUUGAGACUCACAUUGUUCCCAAAGAUUGUGGUCAAAAGAGAGCCAAUACCCGUCAUAUUAUCUGUUCCAGUGUUGAUGGCAUUCCCAAGUGCUCUUGUGGGAAAUAAGUCUUGUGUCGCGAUUAUGACGUUGGCCGCUGUUUGUAGGCACUGGAAUAAGGUUGCUAAGGAAAUGCCCCUAGUCUUGUAAUCAACAGGUGGUGCUAUACCCCUUAGAGUACUAUGGGGUCCAAUUUGUUCUUUACUUUUAUCAAUCAGACCACCACUGUGGCAGGAAUCCGAAACGAUUGUGAAGCUUGAUCCACUUGGUAGUAGCUGAAUCAAUUGCCCCAAGUCCACGUCUGCACACCCAUCGCAACCACAAUAUGAUAUAAAUAACAGUUUGCUUAGAUUGAGAGUAUUUUAAUAAUUUAGUUUACCGAGUUGAUUACGUACCAAAAAUGGGAUUGAGAUCACAAGGCACAAUUGCUUCACCCUCGUUGGGAGGCUGGUGGGGGUCAAUGCGGUGCACAAGUCCAUGUCCACUAAAGUGGAAAAGCAGGACAUCUCCUUCUUUAGCCGCGACCACCAUCUUCUUGAGUGCAGCCAUAAUGUUUGCACGUGUAGGCUUACACGUGGACUCUGGUUCAUCAGUUAGGAGCUCAACAUUUUCGGAAUCAAAGCCAAACCUGCUCACGAUCAUUUCUCUCAUGGCUUUCGCAUCGUUUACGCAUCCGCUCAACUUGUUGAUGGUGUUGGGGUAGUUGCAUCCGACCAGAACGGCUCUCUUCUUACAUUCGGUGGCCAUCUUGCUUCUGUUUUGGGUCGCUUGUCUUGUCUUGUGCUUCGGACGUUGCACUAAACACCUAUAUAUGCACACAUACACACUGUAGUUUACACUAUGCUCACUGACCAUACUCUAAUAAAUAAUACAUCAUGUUGGUAGGUACAACUGUUUUAUUUUAUUUUUUGUUUAGAAAAAAAAGGGCUUUUUUUUAUAAAAACAACCCAAAAAUAAUUAAUUACUUAAAUGACUUAUUUUUUUUGAUAAAAUACGAAAAUAACCUGAAAUCUAUGGAAAAAGUUGGUAGAGCCAAAGUGUGCCACCAACAUGCCAUGUCAGCAAUUUAUAUUAAAAAAUUAAUUUUUGAGUAGAGCUGCCACUUGUAUAAAUACUACGGAAAUAUUAUGAUUUUUUUUCUUUUUAAGUUUUUUUGAUUUGUCCCUUAUAUAUUUUAUUUAUUUGUUUAUUAUUGGUUUUAUAAAAUCUCAAAUGUAUAUUUUAAAUGUUUUAUAAUAUUAUUUUUUAAAAAUUUUAAAUAUAUUUUUCUAAAUUUAAAUAUUAUUUUUUAAUUUUUAAAUAUUAUUUUUUAAUAUUAUAAAAUAUUUAAAAUAUAUUAUUUUUAAAAAUAUGACCUUUCAAAUUUAUUAUUUGUUUUAUAAUAUUUUAAAUAUAUAUUUAAAAAUUUUUAAAUAUAUUUUUUAAAAUUUUAAAUAUAUAUUUUUUAAAUUAUUUUUAAAGAUAUUCAAACAUUUUUUUUAAUUCUAUUUAAAAUCUAAAAAAUAAUAUGUGUUUUUAGAAUGGCUUCACCACUUUAUUACAAGUGUCAUUUUUAAAAAAAUAUGUUUUUUAAAUAUAAAUAUUUAAUAUUUAAUAUUUUAUUUUGGUGGAGCCAUUCUUUAUGGCUCCACCUCUUGGUUCUCUAGCAUAUAUAGAAUGGUGAAAUUGUUGUGUUUAGUAGGAGAGUUCAAAAAUUCUGUUAAAGAUGAAUAAUGAGGUGUUUUGGUUUACGUUCUCUUUUAUGGCGAAAUUGUAGAAGGUGAUGUUGGUUGUGUAUUUCAAUGUCGGCAAAGAGUAGGGUUGCGAUUCAAAAAACUGUAAAGCUGGCAGAAAUGAAAAGGAAGAUUAGUACAAAAAUAGCUAUUUGUUGUGGAAGGGCAAUGUCCAGAUUAUUUUACAAGUUUCCAAUCUCUACAGAUCCGUUCAAAUCUGUUCCACUGCAACGUCAGUGAAAUAACAUCCGUUGGCUUCAGUCUUAACGCAAGGGUGAUAAGACUGGUGUCUUCAAUCCACUCCACUGUAACUUCAGGGAGAUAGGAUUUGUGGUUUCACCGAUCUGUUUUCUAGGGAACAUGACCUGUAGAAUCCUUUUUAUGGGCCUAUUUAUGCCUAGUGAUUAGGAUGUUAUGAUCGGAAUGAAUUAAAAUCUCCUAAUCAAAUAUGCAUGCAUGAAUACAAAAUGUCAUGAAAAUAAUCCCCUAAUGUUUGAGUUGUUAUUGUUCAUUGUUCAUUAAGGAUUUAUUACCAACACAUCAGAACGCCAUCUUGUUCGGCUAGUAAAACUCAUAUCUUACUUAACCAGAUUGCGUCCACUAUAAUCUUCAAGGUUCAAUCCAUUGUAAUCUUCAAGGUUCAAUCCACUGUGCUUUUAGGACAUAAAAUUUAAACUAUCUUCCUCCCACUAUAAUUUAGGAAUAUAAGAUCUGGCUCUUUCUCAAUCCUCUCAUCCUGCAAUUCAAGGAUACAAGACCUGAAUCUCUUUGGUCUAUUACACUUUCCUAGAGUGUCAUACCAAAUGUUUAUGCACAAUUGUAGAACUUUCUUCUCCAAGAAAACAUAUUCUUAUCACUGGGUGAUCAUUGCUUGUUUGUUCAUUGAAGCUUUGUCACCAACACGGCAUCUUGUCAUUUUGUUCAAUCAACAUUUUGACAACAAAAUUUGAAGGGAUAGUCUUAAUUUAGACUUUUCCUUCUUAGAUAUUUCAACCUUUAAACUUGGUGCGUUCUAAACAAUAGUCCUGUUUUAGGUUCUUGUAUUAUUUAGAAACUUCUAGAGUAAUAUGCAAAACUUCCUUUGAGAAAGUAUUAUUAGUCCAUUAAUCAUCAUUCCAAUGCCACAUGCUUGCAAAAGAUCAUACCAAUGGAUAAAAAUAGAAUUGAUUUGGGAGCACGGUUCGAAAUGAAUAAAUUAUCAAAGAUAGUAAAAUAAAAGAGGAAUUAAGUAGGAACAUGUAUCUUGAAAAAUAAUGAAGUAUUCUAAGAACAACAAAUUCAAUAUAAAUAGUAUGAAGACUAGAUGCCCCAAAUAUCGUAGCUUGAGUUUCUCUGUACAAACUUUCUAAAGACCAUUCCGAGUUUGACAUGUGUUUAGGAGAUCUAUAGUACUUUGUCGCUGCCCCAAUAUGUCGCCUACCCUUUCUUGUUGAUUCAGGUAUAAGAAGAUCACCACAUGCCCCAAUUUGAUCAAAAUUUCAGCUGUUCUGAUCACCUCAUGUCCCAUUCUAAUAAAAGAUUUGAGCUGCCCUUUUUGAGUUUUCAACUCAAAUCCCCUUGGGUCUCAAUGCGCCCUUUGCAGGUUUUUACCUUGGCCUCUCCUUUUUCUUUUUUCUUUAUUAUUAUUAUUAUUUUUUAUGACUCAAAGCACCCUUUGUGGGUUUUCACCUUGAUCUCUCUUUUUUUUUAGAACUUAAGGCGCCCUUUGUGGGUUUUCACCUUAGUCCUUUUUAGGACUCAAAGCGCCCUUUGCGAGUUUUUGCCUUUGUCCCUUCUCUUUUUUUCAAGUGAAGUGUGUCUUGAUUGAGUCUAAGUUUACAAGAUUUGACAAGUUUUUACCAUCCAUCUUACUCAAAAUCAAAGCUCCUCCGGAAAAGGCUUUCUUUACAACAUAAGGUCUUUCCCAAUUUGGCAUCCAUUUCCCUCUAAAAUCUUUUUGUAGAGGGAGAAUCCUCUUCAACAUUAGGUCGCCCUCAUUGUAACACCCCUAACCCGUGACCGUCGCUGGAUUGGGUUUAUGAGGCAUUACCGAACCAAAAGCUUAAUUCUAAUUUUAAUUAAUAAAUGGUAAAUCCAAAACAAAAUGAAUCAUGCACUAUGUUAUAUAUAUAUAUAUAGCAUAGCAUAGCAAAAUCAAAUAUAAAAUUCAAGUAAACCAAAUUUGCAUGCUUAACAAUCAAGUGGAAUACAUAGACUAUCCAUUCAAAUAUAGUAAAGGUGUACAUUUAUCAGAUUUGAAUAAAAUUGAUAUUUCACUAUAUUUAUUCAAAUAUAUAAUCUUACCAUUUCCAAGAAACAUUAUAUAUAUUCAUUAAGAUAAUAUAACACUCACUCAAAUUUCAUAGUCAACCACACUUUUUUGGAAUUAAACAUGAACCAAAUAAUCUAUCUGUAUAUACAAUAUUUCCUAUUACCUAUUUAAUAAAUCUCAAAAUCUUAUUCAAAUAUUACAUAAAUUAAUCAAAUACAAUUACAACUUGAAUAACAAAUUAGGUUCUUAUACUAAUAAAUAUAAUAAAUAACAUGAAUUUAACCUUUAACCGAAUAUACAUGGCUUAUAAUAAAAUCAUAUGAUCAAACUAAUUUGUCCUAUUUAAAACCGAAUGCAAACCCAUGCAUAGCAAAUUUUCUUUACUAAAUAAUUAAAUUGAAGUGGCCAAAGUAAUACCAAUUCGUCUAGCGCAUAAUAUGCCUAAAUUAAAUCUAACAUCAAUCUAACCAAAUUGAUCAUCCAAUACCAAAGCAUAUAAAUCAUAUCAUUUACCUGUUUAAAUACAUAUAAUUGAACUAUCUAUAUAAAUGCAUGCGCAUAAAUGCUCAUGCUUAAACCAUUUCCAAAAUAUAUAUUUCAUUACAUUACCUUACAAAACUAAGCAUUUCAUUACCAGUUAUAUAUAUAUAUAUAUAUAUAUAUAUUAUAUGCUAUAAAAUAAAUAUCAAAUUAUAACUAUCGGCAAUUACAUUAAUUAAUCAAACAUAUACACCUAUAAUAUCAUUUAACAUCAAUUCCCAUGAAUUAAACAUACCAUUUGCAAUUUCAUAUCCAAACAAAUCACACAUAACAUUCACAUAUAUAAUACCAUCCAUAAAAUGCUUAAUCAUAAUCAAAAUAUGCCUAAACCAUAAUUCACCCAAACCGAUCACAACAAUCUAAUUAAGCCAUUUUCGCAUGGCUUUAAUUUAUACAUUUAGCAUAUGUAAGUCGAAUAUUUUACUACUAGAAUACAAGUAUAUUCAUCAUCAUCAUCAUAUAUAUAUCACAAUUAUGAUAAUAAGCCAAAAUCACUCAUAAUUUCAAACAUAUUUACACAUUAUAGACUUACUAAAUAAUCUUGAAUCAUCAAUUCAAUAUAAAACUUACCUUAAUUUCUUAACAUGGUAAUAAUACAUACCUGAACUUUUAAAUUUGUUUUCACAUUUGUUCUUAAAUUAACGAUGCCCGUUGAGCCGUUCUGCAUUGAAAAGGAUAUGCAAAUAGUCGGAAAGCUCGUACAAUGCCAACGUCCUAGAUGUGGUCUUACAUGUAUUUACAAAUUGAUGCCACUGUGCAAGACAGGGUCAUACACAUAAACACAAGUCGAUGCCAACAUCCCAGACGUGGCCUUACACGUAAUCACAAGUCGAUGUCAACGUCCCAGACGUGGUCUUACACAAAAUCACAUAUUGGAAAUCCUAUCUAUUCCUAAGGCUCGUACGGGGCUUCUGAUUAUUGAACCUAAUCAAAUCAAACUCAAAAAUACAUAUUUCUAGCUUAAUCAUAUUCGGCCAUCAUCAAAUAAAAUUCAUAAAAUUGAAUUUAUUAUGUGACCUAUGUAUAUAAUUAAAUUUAACAACAUUUAUAUGCUUACAGACUUACCUCGGAUGUCGUCGAAUAAUAAAUCGGCUACUCGACCACUUUUGUCUUUCCCCGAUCCAAAUCCGAUUUCUUUAAUUCUUGAUCUAAACAUAUUUAAAUUAAGCUUAUUUAAACACGAUUCUAUUCAAUUUAGCCUAAAAACACAUGAAUGGACAAAUUACAAUUUUACCCCUAACAUUUCCCACUUUUUACAAUUUAACCCUUUUUGCUCAAAACACAAAAUACACAAAAUUUGACUACACUCUUUAAGGGUCGAAUAUUCCUAGUGUCCACACAACUCCAUAUUUUUCAUUUAUUUAGCAUUUGACCCCUCAAUUUACGCUUUUCUUAAUUUAGUCCUUAAUACACAUUUUUAUCAAAAAAAUUACUAAUUAAAACAUGAAAAUCUAACUACAUAUAUUUAUUUUCCAUCAUCUAAAAACAAAAACAACAAGUUCUCUUCAAUGGCAUCUUACAAAAUACACAACAAAUACAAAAUUUCAAGCAUGGGCUUUAUAGUACUCGAAACAACGAUAUUAAAAACAUAAAAAUUAUCAAAAAUCGAAACAAAAUCUAACCUUAAUUAAGACUUGUAAUUGCCGAAUGUUCAAAGCUUUUUCUUUCUUUAUUUCUUUUGUAGUUUCGGUGAAAACAAAGAUGAACAAUAGCAUGGUUUUCUUAUUUUAUGUUUUAUUUUAUUAACAUAUAAUAAUAACAAACUAUUAUGUUACCAAAAUAACCUUUAAUAAAGAAUAUACAAAACAUAUAAUAUAAGGUCAUUCUUGACCAUUGCCAUCCACUAACUUAUAUAAUGUGCUAAUUGCAUCAUAGUAUAAAGACAACAACAAUUAGACACUUUCAUAUUUAACCACUAAAUUUUCAUUUUACGCGAUUAAAUCCUUUUUCUCAAAUUAAGCACUCAAACAAUAAAAUUAAUUCACGAAACUUUCACACAUGUAAAUUCACACAUAAUAAACACAGAAUAAAAAUAUUAAAAUAUUUUUUAGACUCGGAUGUCUGGUCCCGAAACCACUGUUCCGAUUAGGGUCAAAAUCGGGUUGUUACAACUCUCUCCCUUUAGGGAUUUUCGUCCUCGAAAAUCUUACCGGUGAAUAGCUGUGGGUAACAUUCUUUCAUUGCAUCCUCUGGCUCCCAGGUUGCUUCCUCAACUCUGUGCUUAUGUCACAGUACUUUGACUAACGGAAUUUUCUUAUUUCGUAAUUCUUUAACCUCACGAGCCAGAAUAUUAAUCGAUUCUUUUUCAUAUGACAUAUCAGACUUAAUUUCAAUCUCGGUAGGACUAAUCACAUGCAAAGAACCGGAUCUAUACCUAUGAAGCAUCGAAACAUGGAAUACAUUGUGAAUCUUUUCUAACUCAGGUGGCAGCAGCAAUCAAUAAGCAACUGGCCCGACACGCUUUAUAAUCUCAUACGGUCCAAUGAAUCUCGGACUCAAUUUGACUUUACGACCGAAUCUGAGUAUUUUCUUCCACGAUGAUACUUUUAAAAAAACUUUAUCUCCAAUCUGAAACUCUAUAUAUUUUCUUUUCAAGUCUGCAUAUGAUUUCUGACGAUCCGAUGAUGUUUUCAGAUUAUCGCGAGUCACUUUCACUUUCUAUUCAGUUUCUUUAAUCAAAUCGACCCUGUGUAUCUUAUUUUCACUGAGUUCAGUCCAAUACAAUGGUGUACGACAUUUACGACCGUAUAAAGCCUCGUAAGGUUGCAUUUUGAUACUAGAUUGAAAGCUAUUAUUAUAUGACAAUUCAAUCAAAGGUAAGUAUUGUUCCCACGUACCUUCAAACUCAAGAAUGCAACUUCUCAACAUAUCCUCAAGUAUCUGAAUGAUUCGUUCGACUGUUUCUGGAUGGAAAGCUGUGCUAAAAUGUAGUUUCGUACCUAAAGCAUCUUGUAGUUUCUUUCAAAACCGCGAUGUGAACCUCGGGUCUCUGUCCGAAACAAUAGAAAUAGGCACACCAUGCAACCUCACAAUUUGAGAAAUGUAUAAUUCAGCAAGUUUAUCAAGUGAAUAAUCAGUAUGGACUGGAACAAAGUGAGCUAAUUUUGUCAAUCUAUCAAUAAUAACCCAGAUUGCAUCUUUCUUGCUCGGUGUCAACGAUAAACCAGAUACAAAAUCCAUCGUGACUCGGUCUCAUUUCCAUUCAGGUAUCAUGAUCAGCUGAAGCAACCCAAAAGGUAACUGAUGCUCGGCUUUUACUUGUUGACAUAUUAAACAUUGUGAAACAAAGUCAGAAAUAUCUCGCUUCAUACCGCGCAACCAAUAGUGCUAUUUUAGAUCAUUAUACAUUUUCGUGCUACCCGGAUGAAUAGAUAAUCGACUAUUAUGAGCUUCAUUCAAGAUCAUAUGAAUUAAGUCUGAAUUUUUCAGAACACAUAGUCGGUUUCUGAAUCUCAAACAAUCCUCAGCAUCAACUAGAAACUCUGAAUCAACAUUCAAAUCACACUGAGCCCGUUUUGCAAUUAAAUCAUUAUCAUCUUUCUGAGCUUCACAAAUAUAUUGAACAAAUAGCGGUUUUACUUUCAACUCAGCUACCAUUGCACCAUCAUCAGACAUAGCUAUAUGCGCGUUCAUUGCACGCAAAGCAAAUAAUGAUUUUUGACUUAAGGCAUUCACAACAACAUUAGCCUUUCCCGAAUGAUAAUCAAUCACAAGCUUAAAAUCUUUUAGCAACUCUAACCACCGUCGCUGUCUCAAAUUUAGGUCCUUCUGAGUCAUCAAAUAUUUCAAGAUUUUGUGAUCAAAAUAAGCAUGACAUUUUUCACCGAAUAAAUAGUGGCGCCACAUUUUCAAACCAAACACAAUAACGGCCAAUUUGAGAUCAUGCGUCGGAUAGUUCUUUUCAUGUGGCUUCAACUGUCUCGAGGCAUAAGCUACAACUUUGCCUUCCUGCAUCAAAAUAUAGCCCAAACCGUUCAAAGAUGCAUCACUAAAAAUAACAAAUUCUUUACCUGUCUCUAGCUGAACUAGUACUGGAGCUUCGGUCAAAAGGACUUUCAACUGAUCAAAUCUUUUCUGACACUUUUCUGACCACUCGAACUUAACAUCUUUUUGUAGCAACUUCGUCAUCAGGGUCGCAAUCAUAGAAAAACCUUUCACGAACUGUCUAUAAUAACCAACGAGUCCCAAAAGACUUCAAACUUCAGAGACAUUUCUCGGAGGUUUCCAAUCAAGUAUAGCUAAAAUUUUACUUACAUCAACCCGAAUACCCGAUGCUAAUACAAAAUGGCCCAAAAAACUGACUUCGCAUAACUAGAACUUACAUUUACUAAACUUUGCAUACAAUUGUUUAUCUCGCAAAGUUUGUAACACAAGUCUUAGAUGUUCAGCAUGUUUGAUUUCAUCACGAGAGUAGAUCAAAAUGUCAUCUAUGAAUACUACCACAAACUGAUCCAGAUACUAUCUAAAGAUUCGAUUCAUCAAAUCCAUGAAAACAGCAGGUGCAUUAGUAAGCCUGAAAGGCAUAACCAGGAAUUCGUAAUGUCCGUACCUCGUUCAGAAAGCUGUCUUUGGCACAUUAGAGUCUUUAACUCACAACUGAUAGUAACCCAAUCUCAAAUCUAUCUUCGAAAACAUUGAAGCCCUUUUUAGCUGAUCGAACAAAUCGUUAAUACGUUGCAAUGGAUAUUUAUUAUUUAUAGUCACCUUAUUGAGCUGCCGGUAAUCAAUACACAUUCUCAUCGUUCCAUCUUUCUUUCUCACAAAUAGUACUGGUGCACCUCAAGGAGAGAAACUCGGUCGUGCGAAACCUUUAUCUGUCAACUCUUACAACUAUUCUUUCAUCUCUUUUAAUUCAGUCGGUGCCAUACGGUACGGAGCUGUCAAAAUUGAAGUCGUCCCUGGUACUAAAUCAAUACCAAACUCUACCUCUCGAAUAGGUGGCAAACCCGACAAUUCUUUGGGAAACACAUAUGAAUAGUCACACACAAUCGGCAAGGAUUCAAUCUUUUUUCAGUCACUUUACUAUCAAGAAUAUAUGCAAGGUAAGCUUUACAACCUUUUCUCACAUACUUUUGAGCCAACAUCGAGGAUAUUACUGCUGGUAAACCAUUUAGAUCUUUAGAUUCAAUCUAAAUAAUCUCGUCGUUCUGGCAUCUUAAAUCGAUAGUCUUUCUUUUACAGUUAACCACAGCAUCGUGUAAAGUCAACCAGUCCAUACCCAAAAUAGUAUCGAACUCGUCAAAUGGCAACAACAUCAAAACAGCCGUAAAACGUAAAUCUCGAAUCAUCAACGGACAAUUCUUACACACUUUAUCAACCAAAACACACCGGCCCAAGGGAUUUGAUACUCUAAUCACAAACUCAGUAGACUCAACAAGCAAAGUCUUACUAGAUACUAAAGUCUCACACACAUAUGAAUGAGUCAAACCAAGAUCAAUCAGUCCAAUAACAUUAGUAUCAUAGAGAGUGAAAGCACAGUAAUAACGUUUGGGAAUGAAGCCUCUUUACGAGCGCGUAUAGCAUAUGCUCUGGCAGGUGCGUUAGCCUCAGAUCUAACAGUUGUAUCUUUGGUCCCCCUCUGACUGCCACUCAUAUUACCUGUGUUUCUGGGUGGUCUACCUCUAGCUGCAGUGUUACCCGAUCUCGUAUUUUGUACCGAAUUUUGAUCCACUAACUCUGGGCAUUCACGAAUGAAAUGAUCCCUCGAUCUACAUUUAAAAUAGGCUCGAUCAUGUAAUCUCUAACUACCAGAAUGUCGUUUACCACAAUGUUCACACUCGGAUUGAUUUGACCUGACAUUACCCACACUCGCUACUGAAGUAGCUCUCGAGCUCACAGGUGGUCUAUCCAAAUCCCAUCGUGAAUACCCCACAACAGUCUUUGAACGGCUAGUAUCAUCUCGAAACUUCUUUGAGGUCGACUGAAAUGGCUUACAAAAUAACCUUUUACAAAAAUCUCUGGCUUCAAAGUCAGCUUUUCUCUUCUCUUUCCCGAGUUAUUCGGCUUUGUAAGCUCGUUUAACAAGUACCACAAACUAUUUUAUCUCAAGUAUGCCAACUAACAGUUUAACAUCUUCAUUCAGCCCAUCUUCAAAUCUUUUACACAUAAUAGCUUCAGUCGAAACACACUCUCGGGCAUACCUACUGAGUCUCACAAAUUUCCGCUCAUAUUCUGUCACUGUCAUCCGACCCUGUUUCAAUUCAAGAAAUUCCUUGCGUUUCUGAUCAAUGAAUCUCUGGCUGAUGUAUUUCUUACGGAACUCAGACUGAAAGAAUUCGCAGGUCACUUGCUCUUUCGGACCCACUGAUACUAGUGUAUUCCACCAGUGAUAUGCAGUGUCCCGUAGCAAAGAUAUGACACAUUUUAAGCACUUGUCAGGGAUGCAAGAUAACUCGUCAAACACUCGAAUAGUAUUAUUUAGCCAGAAUUUAGCUCGCUGAGCAUCAUCAUCAUCAGUGGCUCUGAACUCUUUGGCCCCGUGUUUUCGGAUUUUAUCAACAGGAGGCUUUAGUAAUCUCAACGAAUCACUCACUUGAGGUAUAACAGGAAUCAAAGAUGGAUUAAUCGAGGGUGGAGGGCAAUCAUAUAACUACAAAAAAUACAUAAAACAAAAAAAAUAAUGUCCUAAAAAAACAUAGGUGGUAUAGGUAAUAUAAAUAAAAAAAAGACUUAUUUUUAUUGAAUCAAUAUCUAUAAUAAUAUAUAGAGUUUUACAUAUAAUAUAAACUAGGCAUAUUCAAACUCAAAAUUUUAUCUACAUAUGAGAACUUUUAUAAAAAAAAAUAUAUUCACUCAUUAAAGACAAAUGUAAAUUUUUUGUACCCCACAAAUGGAACUAAGCACAAUAACAAUGCAAAAUUAAGCAGAAAGGUCGUCAUAUUAACAAAAUUAAUAUAUAAAUUUAUGAAUGUGUCAUAAAUUUAAAAUAUAUAUAGCUAACAGGAAAAGAUCAAUUUCAUGCAAAAAAACAGUUAAAAAGGGAUAAUAACAACCAAAUAGAGAUCAGUUUCAUGCAAUCAAAAUGAUUUCUUAUUUAAUUUAUAAUUAAUUUAAAUGUUUCAUUGAUACUCGAUGAAGUGUAAUCCGUAUUUGCUCCAGAAAGCAUUUUGAUAUCUGCAUAAUUUAAAAAAAUUACAUAAAAUAAAUAUAAUUAAUUACUAUAUUACAAUAACUAUAAAAUAUAAAAUUACAAAAUAAAAACUAUAAAUAACUUACUUUUUUUUUCUCUUUUCUUCCUUCCUUUUACAAAAUAUUUGAAGGGGCGACCAAACCCCACCUUCUUAAAUAGAAUGUUCUUCUUCUUAAAUAAUGUUCUUCUUCUCUUUUUUUCUUUUUUAACUAACAAUUAAGCUAAUGACUAGUCACAUCGCUAAUGUCACUUAGAGGUGUGCAAAAUUUGGGUAAAAUCGAAAAAAUUCGAUUAAUCUAUCGAAUUCGGUUAAUCGGUCGGUUAACCGAAUUUUUUCGGUCGAGGCUCGAUUAAUUAUUUUUUAAUUUUUCAGUUAACGGUUAAUUCGGUUCAAAACCGGUCGGUUAACCAAAUUUUUUCAGUUUAACCGAAAAAAUUAAUAAAUAAAAUUAUAAUAUAUAAAUAAGCCCACUAUUCACCUAAAUCCAAUCCAAACCCAAGUAUCCAACCUAACCCAAUUACCCAAUCAUAAAAAUUACAAAUAAAUUAAUAAAUAAAAAUAAAAAAAUAUAAUUUUCGGGUAAUUCGGGUAAUUCGGUUAAUUCGGUUAAUUUUUAACCAAAAAUAAAAAUAUAUAUAAUUUCGGUUAACCGACCGAAUUAACCGAAAAAUUUUGGUUUGAUUUAUAUUUUUGAAUAAAUUUCGAUUCGGUUAAUGUUAUUUUAGGUCAGUUAACCGACUGAACACCCCUAAUGCCACUGACACGAUGUGACCAGUUAAAAUAUAUAUUUUUUUAUUUUCUAAUAUAUAAAAAAUUUCUAAUAUAUAUUUUUAAUCCUUUUUUAACCAAUAAAUUAUUUUUUUAUUUUUUCCAAUCAAUUCAAUUUUCACUUUUUUAAAUAAAAUAUUUUUUAAAAAAAUUUAAAUAGAAUUUUAGAAAAACGUUUGAAUAUCUUUAAAAAUAAUUUUAAAAAUCAUAAUUUUAAAAAAUAAUUUUAAAAAAUAUAUAUUUAAAAUUAAAAAUUAUAUUUAAAAUUUUUAAAAUAUGCAUUUAAAAUAUUAUAAAAUAAAUAAUAAAUUUGAAAGAUCAUAUCUUUAAAAAUAAUAUAUUUUAAAUAUUUUAUAAUAUUAAAAAAUAAUAUUUAAAAUUAAAAAUAAUAUAUAGUUUUAAAAAAAUAAUAUUAUAAAACAUUUCAAAUAUACAUUUCAAAUUUUAUAAAACCAAUAAUAAAUAAAACAAAUAAAAUAAAUAAAUAAAGGACAAAUAAAAAACUUAAAAAGUAAAUAAAUAAAAAGUUUAAAAAGAAAAAUGAAAAAGGACAAAGAAUCAGAGAAAAAGAAGUAACGAAUGAAAAAAAAAUAUUUAGGUUGUUUCAAUAGGACAAGGAACCCGCUAGUAUCUUAGAAUUUGGUAGCAUAAAUUUAUUUGGAUCACCAGAAAAGGAUAAAAUUGCUUAAAUAUUUUACUUUUAAAAAUUAUAAUAUUUCUCUAAUAUUUAUACAAGUUGUGUUAUUUUACAUGGCUCCACUAAAAAAAAUGAUUUAUUAAUGUAGAUUGCUGACGUGCAAAACACUUUGGCUCCUCUAACUUGUACCGUAAAUUUUUUAUUAUUUUCAAUUUUUAUGAAAAAAGGGUUAUUUAAGUAAUUAAUUAAAUUUUUGAGUUAUUUUUAUAAAAAAAGAGCAUAGUAAUUAAUUAAGCUAGGUAUUCCUUUUUCACACAAAGAAGAAAAAUGAUAGAAAAUAUAGGGUUGUGGUCGUAGAUAAAUGAUUAUAACGUGAUAUGAUCUGCUUCGCAUUAGUCCAUCACCUUAUCUUUAUGUUUUUGUCUUGGUCAUGAAUCACUUUGGCCUUUGUCUGCAAGUACUGUCUGUCCUACUAUCCUGCAUCUGAUUUUCUCUGUCUUUUGGGUCUAUUUGAAUCAUGCUGAAGUAAGAAAACUGUUUUUAAAGUAUAAAAGUUGAUAAUUAUAUUAGUUUAUUUCUUUAUAAUUUUUUAAAUUUUUAGAGAUAAUAAAUUAAAAUUUUAUAUUUUUGAGGAUAAACUAGAAUUUUAUAAUGGCUUAAAUAAUAGGUUUUCAUUUUAGGAGGUCUAAAGAGUAUUUUUCUUUUUAAAGGAGCCACAACCCUUGCUUACUUUGGUCACCUUCUAUGGUGACCAGAUUCAUUCCAGUGAGAUUAAAAACAAUAGUGGUGGUGAGAUUAAUUACUAUAAUAAUGAGAUUAUUAAAAUGAGAUAGAUUAUAGAUUUAUAGUAAAAAGGAAAAAUGACCAUUAUAGACAUUAAACUAAAAUUAAACUAAAGAAGUUUACACCAUUCCGUAUAUUUUUGUACGAUUAAUAUUUUAAAGAUAAAAACACCAUAUUUCAUAUUUCAUUUAUAUAAAUCAUGCAUGUGAAAUUUCACGUAAAUUAAAAAAAUUUAACUAGUUGUUUUAUGUAAAAUACUUUUAAUCUUUGAAUGAAUGUUAAUACAUACAAUAUUUUAGAUGGAUAGAUAAAAAUAUCGAAUCAAUUGAGAAUUUACAAUAAUAUCAACAAAUUCAAUGAUUGGAUUGUUAAGUUAAGAAUCAUGUAAAAAUAUAUGAAAGCGUGUAAAAUUACUUUAAUUUCGCAGUAGUAUAAGCAAAUUCUUUUUUUAAUAUAUAAAAUUAAUUAUAUAAUUUAAAUUUAUGUAUUUAACAUUAUUUAUAAAUAUAUUAUUUGAAAGUAAUGAAAUAAAAUAAAUAUUAUAAAUAAAAUUAUUAAAAAAUAGUAUCUAUUAUUGAAUUAAAUUAACCAUUCUUUAAAAAAGAGUGAAAAUUAUUUUUUUAAAUGCAUAGGGUUUUAUUUUUAAAAAAAUUUAAGAUUUAGGUAUAAAAGAUAAACAUAAAGUGCAUAGGGCUUUAUUUUUUAUUUUUUAAAUAAUAUUGUUUUCGGCUCACAUGCAGUUUAUUUAGUUAGGUGAAGUAUACCUAACUCAAAUUUUAUAAAAAUGAUAAAAGGCAUGUGAUUUAGUAACACAAAUAUUUUAUUCUCAAUUUUAAUUCGGUUUUUUUAUUUAAAAUAGUAAAGGAUGUAGAUACCUUUAUAAAUUUGCACCUUUUAUUUUAUACUUUAGUCCUUUCUUAAUUUCAUUUAGUGAUUUAUUGUAUACAGUGACGGAGCAUAGUGAAGAUUAGGUAGCAUGACAUCCUUUAAAAUGGUAAAUUUUUUUUAUUUAAGCUCUUUAUAAUUUAUAAAAUUUUAAAUUAGUAAUGGUAAAAUUGUACUUUAACCCUCCAAAGAUGAUAAAAAUUUGAUUUAACCCUUUAAAAAUUACAAAUAUAUAGACUAUUAAAAAUUACAAAUUACAAUUUAAUCCCAACCUCCAAAAACAGUUAGGCUCCGCCAGUUAAUUAAUUAUAUUAAAUUCGAUAAAAAUUUUAAGUAGAAUUGAAAAAAUAUGUGUUUUAUUUAAUAAUAAUACUUUUGAAUGGGUUGAAUUGGCAAGAGUUAAGGUGUGGACACUACACCAAAACAGGUCUUUAGCGGCAUAUUUUGUGGCGCUUGGACGAAAAACGCCGCUAAAAACCGAUCAUUAGCGGCGCAAAGACCUAAACGCCAUAAAAGAACAUCAUUAGCGGCGUUUACCACAAUGCGCCGCGAAAUCUCUUAACCAAAACGCUGUGUUUUCGUCUUGAUGUAUCUUAAAAUUAGUGGCGUUUACGCGAAACGCCAUUAAAGGACAGUAAUAGCGGCGCUUUCUGGAAACGCCGCAAAAUAGCUUAACCAAAACGCAGAGUUUGGUCUUGAGGUAUCUUAGAAUUAGUGGCGUUUAUAGGAAAACGCCGUUAAAGUACAGUAAUAGCGACGCUUUAUGGAAGCGCCGCAAACUAUCUUAAGCGAAACACAUCGUUUUGGUCUUGAUUUAUACUAGAACUAGUGGCGCAUAUGGUCAAACGCCGCUAAAGAAUAGUAUUAGCGGCGAUUUGUAGCUAGCGCCACAAAAUAUCUUAACAAAAACGCAGCGUUUUGAUCUUAAUGUAUAUAAAAUUAGUGGCGCUUACGGUAAACCGCCGCUAAAGAAUAUUAAUAGCGGCGCUUUGUGAGAAGCGCCGCAAAAUAUCUUAACCAAAACGCAUAAUUUUGGCCUCGAUGUAUAGUAGAAUUAGUGGCGCUUAGUGAAACGCCGUUAAAGCAUAGUAUUAGCGGCGAUUUGUAGCUAGCGCCGCAAAAUAUCUUAACAAAAACGCAGUGUUUUGAUCUUAAUGUAUAUAAAAUUAGUGGCGCUUACGGUAAACCGCCGCUAAAGAAUAUUAAUAGCAGCAAAAUAUCUUAACCAAAACGCAUAAUUUUGGCCUCGAUGUAUAGUAGAAUUAGUGGCGCUUAGUGAAACGCCGUUAAAGCAUAGUAUUAGCGGCGCUUGGAUAAAAGCGCCACCAAGUAUCUGAACCAAAACGCAUCGUUUUGGUCUUGAUGUAUACUUGAUUUAGUGGCGAUUUCGGUAAAACGCCGCUAAAGCAUAGUAUUAGCGGCGAUUUGUUGAUAGCGCCGCGACUUACCAUAAACAAAACGCAACGUUUUGGUCUUAAUUUAUACUAAAAUUAGUGUCGCUUUGUUGAAAGUGCCGCAAAAUAUCUUAACAGAUUUUUGGGUUUUAACCAUGCAUUAUGUAAUGUAGGUUACUAUAUAUUUAGUUUAUCAUAUUUGGUUUAGGUAUAGGGUAUUAGGGUUCAUUAUAUAAUGUUUAGUAUUUUUGGAUUACAGUGUAAAGUUUAAAGUUUAGGGUUUACGAUGUAGGUUUAAGGUUAGGGUAUUAGGGUGUUUAGGGUUUAAGGUUUAGGAGUCUGGGGUAUAAGGUUUAAAGUUUGGGGUUUAGGCUACUUUAGUCAUGUUAAUAGGUUAAUAUUGUUUCGGAUUUUGGGGUCUGGUUGUUGGUUUUAGAGUUUAGGGUUUAACGAUUUAGUAGCUUAAGAUUUUAGGGUUUAAAAGUUUAGAGGUUUAGGGUUAAAUCCUAAAAGCGUGCAUGAACAACAGUUUAAUGUUCAAUUGUAUACAUGAACUUUAAUUUGAUCUAAAUAUUGUAAAAUAUUAACACAAUUAUUGAUAUAAUUAACAUCAUUUUAAUUUACGUAUAUUGCAUACAUAAAUAUUUAUAUUUAUUCAAUAUAAAAAUAUAUUUUGAUGUAAAAUUUUUUAUAGAUCAUGAAAUAAAUUUUUAAAAAUGCAUUAUUCUCCCAUUUUUUAUUAAUUGAUAAUUUCAUUUUAUAAAUUUUGUUUUAAUUUUGGAUCAAUUUGGCUUGAAUCUUGGAUGAAGGCAUUAGCGGCGCUUGAGCAAAAGACGCCGCUAAAGGUGAUGUAUUACCGGCGUUUUAUGAAGAAACGCCGCCCAUUUCCUUAAGUGUAACAAAGACACGGUGCCGUUUUUUGUUUUCAUUUAGUGGCGCAUUUGGAAAACGCCACAAAAAUUUAUAACGAGUUGAGGAAACGGCGUCGUUUCCUAUUUUUAUUAGUGGCGCUUUUGCUAAUGCGCCGCAAAAAUGUUACGGUAUAUAAGUGAAAACGGCACUGUUUUAUUCUGAACUUGGAAUUUUAGUGUCGUUUUUAUUUAAAACGCCGCAAGUGUGGACUCAAUAACGGCGUUUGUUCUCAACGCGCCGCAAAUCUGACUUAAAAAUUUCUUAAACGGCGUCGUUUCUUAAGGGGACAUUUAACUUAAUACCCUUCUCUCGUCCUCCAAAAACAGAAAGAGUGAAUUUGCAGACCUCAAGUGUCGAAAGGGAACAAAUUUCAGACUUCUUACAAAGGAAAAAAGAAGGUUGGGGUCGGUCUUGAAAGAAGUUUGGCACAGCUGCGAGAUUUUUCGAUUAAAUAGGUAAGGCGUUUCUGUUAUUUUUGGAUUAAAUUUUUAGGGUUUUAGGUCAGUCAUAGUUAUUUGGGGUUUUAGGGUUUCGAUUAAACAACUUCAACAAUGUACUAUUCCGAUUAAAUAUGUAAGGCGUUUCUGUUAAAUAGGUAAGGCGUUUCUGUUAUUACAGCCACUUAUGGAUUUGAGUUUCAUAUUCUGAUUUCUGGUAUUGAUUUGUGGUAUUGAAAAAAUUUAUAUUACAGCCACAAUAUUGAUUUGUGGUAUCAAUUUACUAUUCUGAUUUAGAUUAUAGCACAUGAGAGGGUGGCAAAAUUUAUAUUCCGAUUUAGAUUAUAGCACAUGAAUUGGAAGGGAUGGAUAAAAAUAAAUAAAUGAAUUGCUAUGGAUUCUCUUGAGGAUGUAAAAUCCGAAUUGGUUGGUCAAUUAGAAUUAGAUUAUGUUGUUAUGUGCAGAAAUAAUUGAGUGGAUUUGAAAUAAUUUGUUUUUGAUUAUGUUGUUAUGUUCUGAAAUAUGCUUUGGAUUUGAAAUAAUUUCUGAGUCUGAAAUAAUUUGUUUUUGAUUAUGUUGUUAUGUUCUGAAAUAUGCUUUGGAUUUGAAAUAAUUUUUGAGUCUGAAAUAAUUUGUUUUUGAUUAUGUUGUUAUGUUCUGAAUUAUGCUUUGGUUCUGAAAUCUGGAUCUGGUUUUUGUCUGCGUUGCUUUCUUAGCUUGCUGGGUUGGAGCUCGUUUCAUUGCUGCCAAAUUUGGAUAUUCUUUGGCGUGGAGGUAAAUUUUGUAAAGGCAAAUUUUAUGUUGCAAAUAAAAGGUUUUUAGUUAAUCAUCUUUAGUUAAUCAUCUUGCUGUUCGUGGUAGUUAUAUACCCGUUGCAUUUUGGUCAGCCUGUCAUGUAUUAUGCAAAUCCCGAAAUGGUUUUAAGCAAGUGGACUUUGUUUAUUUAGUUAUGCACAUAAUACUUUCAUAUUUUAUUUGUUGUAGAAGUUGGUAUCUCACAGUUUCUCAUCAAAUGUAUGCGAGUAGUAUCGAAUGCAAAUUGUUUUAACAGCCAUUUGAUCAAUUGUUCUGUUUUUUUCUAAUAUUCCUUUAUAACAUAUUGGAAGAUAUGUUAUGUUUUAACUUAAUAUAUUUGAAACAUAAUAUCUUAUGCCUCACAAAAUCCAAUUUUUGAUGAUUGUCUUAUUUUAAAUAAUGCUUCCAAUCAAUGGUAUGUGUAUUAUUUAAACAAAAUCCACGAAAUAAAAAUUACUUACUAAAACUUGUAAUUCAAAAUUUAAUUUCAAGUCCAAAUUAAUAUUUUACUUAAAUAUAUUACUUACAAUUUAAUUUAACUUAUUAAAUAUAUAUAUUGUUAAGUAAUAAUUUUUUGAAAUUUAUAUCUUAGAUUACUUAAAUAUAUAUUUUUAAGUAUAUUUUACAUGACUUACAUUACUUACUAAAACAUAUUUUUUACUAAAAUUUACUUGAAUAUAUUAAUUAAAUAAAUUACUAAUAAAGAUUGCUUAUGUAAGCUAUAUUUAAAUUUUAAAUUUAAUAAAUUAUUUAUAACAAUUAUUUAAAUUUAAUAAAUAAUUUAAAAAUUAUUUAAAUUUUAUUAAUAAUAAAUUUAUAACUUAAAUAAGUAUUACUAUUUUUUUAAUAUUAUACAUAUAUUCAUUUAGGUAUGUAAGCUAUAUUUAAAUUUUAUUAAUAAUAUUUAAACAUAUUUUGUUGUCAAAUUAGUGACACAUAUACCUCUCCACGAAUUAUUCAGUGGAAGAUUAGUUUAAAAGCAAAGAUUGCUUAUAUAAGCUAUAUUUAAAUUUUAUUAAUAAUAAAUUUAUAACUUAAAUAAGUAUUACUAUAUUUUUAAUAUUAUACAUAUAUUCAUUUACAUAACACAUAACUUACAUAACUUUCAUAAUACACAACUUACGCAUCUUACAUAAGACAUAACUUACAUGUGUAAAUAAUACAAAAAUUACAUAACUAACAUAAGACAUAACUUACAUAAGUUUCAUAAUACACAUCUUACGCAACUUACACAACUUACAUAACUUACAUAAGUUUCAUAAUACACAUCUUACGCAACUUACACAACUUACAUAACUUACAUAAUGUAUAUCUUGUUGUCAAAUCCUAAACCCGUGCAAUUUAUUGUCAACGUCAGACUUCAAGAAUUAAAAAAUGGACCGGUCUUGGAUGAAUUUGUCAAGGGUAAGCGACGGUUAUCGAAAUGGGGUGCAGAGUUUUCUAAAUUUUGCAUUUCAAUAUGCAAGCCAAGAGAACAUGAUUCUUUGCCCGUGCAAGAAGUGUGUCAACAUAAAUUGGCAUUAUCGUGAGGUUGUAUACGAGCAUCUAAUUGUUGAUGGGUUUGUUCGGGGUUAUAAACAAUGGUUAUUUCAUGGUGAAUGCCCGCGUAGUACUUCCUCUUCAAGUAUGGAUGUAACUUAUCCUGAUACUGCUUACCAUCAGUCUGGUAGAGGGGAUGACAUGGAAGGUAUGUUGCGGGAUGCAUUUAAUAUGCACAAUCAUGGUGUUGAAUCAUUCCCAGCGGACUUUAUGGCCUCUGAUGAUUGUAAUAUUGGUGGAAAUACUUUUACCGAACCGGGAAGUAGUGUACGUCAUGAAGAGCCGAAUGGAGAAGCGGCGAAGUUCUACGCGCUACUUAAUGACAUGAACGAAGAACUGUAUGAGGGAUCAAAAUUUUCAAAGAUGUCCUUCUGUGUUCGUCUUUUUCAAUUAAAGUGUUUGGGAGGGUGGACGGGAAACUCGUUGACGAUGCUGUUAGAGUUUUUGAGAGAAAUGUUCCCGCUUGCAAAAAUCCCUCGGUCCUGCAAAGAUAUGAAGAAGAUGAUAAAAGAUUUAGGCCUUGGGUAUAACAAAAUCCAUAGUUGCCCAAAUGACUGCAUGUUGUAUUGGGGCGAUCGGAGAAACCAACAGUGCUGUCAUGUAUGCGGCCACUCUCGUUGGACAAGUAGAAACACAGAAGAUGGGAACGACGAUGAAAAUGAUGCACAGUCACGGAAGAAGCCAGCCAAGAUUUUACGGUAUUUUCCGUUGAUACCAAGGCUUCAAAGGCUUUUUUUAUUGUCGAAGACAGCGGAGUCAAUGACAUGGCACCAUGAUGGACGAACCGUUGAUGGAUUACUAAGUCAUCCGGCAGAUUCUUUAGCUUGGAAAUCAUUUGACAAUAAAUUUACAAGCUUCGCAAGCGAUCCUAGGAGUGUGAGGCUUGGGCUAGCAUCUGAUGGAUUUAAUCCUUUCAAGAUCAUGAGUACAAACAAAUAUUGAGAUCUCGUUUGCGCUCCCGAAGAACACAACAUCGAGAUAUCAAUAAGUUGUUUACAGAAUCAUUUUAUGAAUGGUUAAGCCAAAUGGUAUGCAGUUCGAGCUUCCGCUUACAAAUAAUAAUAUUUUCUCAUAACAAAUGAAUUACUCAGUUUACUUUCCAUUCAAUAGGUUUGGAGCGGGAAGAACAUAAACGACGAUGUUAAAUGGCUCUCCCAAGGUCCAAAUCGAGUGGUUAAAAGAUAUAGUGCGUUCCUCAUCAACGGAUUCAGAUUUCAUACAAAAUAUCGCGAGAGGUUGAGGAGAACGCAAAAUUGUGGAAUUGUUGUCAAUUCUGCAAUUACGAGUUAUGCUAGUGCUAGGGACAAUAAUCCUGUCGAGGGAAAUGUGGAAUAUUUCGGACAACUUACUGACAUAAUUGAGUUGGAUUACUACGGCAAAUGGAAAGUUGUCUUAUUUCGUGGUGAUUGGGCCGAUGUUAAUACAGCUCGUGGAAUUAAGCAAGAUCAAUUUGGUUUUACAAUGGUGAACUUUGACCGAUUGAUUCACACAGGACAACAACUGAUAGAUGAGCCGUAUGUAUUCUCAUCUCAAGUCAAACAAGUUUUUUACUCAAAAGAUCCAACUGAUGAGGGUUGGUACGUUGUACUCCGUAACAUCCCUAGAGACUUGUUUGAUAUGGGCAGUGGAAGUAGAGAUAACAUCGAAGAUAGAUCAGUAACUUUACCCUUUCCAGAACUAAACUUAAACGAUAAUAUCCCUAGUACUAGUGCACAAUUUGGAUGGGUUCGUCAGGAUACCGAUGAAGAUAUUUACGAAUAAUGAUGUAGACACAUUUUACGAUUGUUUAAUUAUAUAUAAUAUCAUAAUUUAAAUCUUCGUCUUAUUAUAUGUUUCAACUGUUUUAUAUGUGCUGUUAUUGUUGUAAUUAGCUAUUAAGUUAUUAACUAUUUUAUGUGUAUUGUAGAUAAAAUGCCUAGAAGAAAAAUUCUAAGGGGAAGCAUUGUUCAAAAUAAUCCAAACUCGACAGAAACUAAUAGUACUGAACAACAGACAGCAGUUGGAUCUUCAAAUGUUCCGAUUACAGCUGAGGAUCCUACAGAAGUUCAAAGUAAUUUUUCAUUUAAUUUACAUGCGUGUUUCUGUUAUAGUUGAUUUAUUUUUCAAAUUCUUAUAUUAUAAUAUACCAUUUGUAGCUGAAAAUGGUGGGACGCGCAGAGGUCGAGGACGUACGCUACUUAGAGAGUUGUACGAGUUAGAUUCAGUCGAGCGUGUCAAAGUUGGACGAAACAGUUUUGGUCAGCCUGUUGGAUCAGAAGCUCGACUUUUAGCUGGAUACAUGGGCAUUUUAGCACGAAAUCCGAAUAUGUUACCUAUAAACUACGAGUCAUGGCAUCAAAUGCCCGAUAGCAACAAAAACCAAGCCCUCGAUAAUAUUAAGGUAACAAAAUGUUAAUGUCAUCUAUAAUGCUUGGGAAAUAGUUUCAUUUAUAUUUAUUUUAUUAACUUGUGUUUUUUGUUUUUUGCAGGCGAGGUUUGCUUUAGAGGUCUCGGAUGCUUAUGUAAAGAAGGCAUUGGGAAAAAGAUGGAGAGACAACAAAAGUACUUUGAAGAAAAAUUAUUAUAAGACAAAAACAACCCUCGAUGAGAAAUUGCAAAAUGUCCCGCUGGGUAUGUUGAGGUACCAAUGGGAAGAUGCGGUUAGAUUUUGGCAUUCGAAUAAAGGCGAGGUCUUCUAAACUAUUGUAAUUAUUUUGGUUUAUAGUAUUUUCUAUUUACGUACUAAAAAAUUUCAUAAUGUAGGAUCGUGAUCAAGUUGGAAUAAGCAGCAGGCAGAAACAAAAAUUCACCCACACAGCCGGGUCGAGAAGUUUCGCAUGUGUAGCUGAGGCGGAGGUAUUUUUAAAUUUUUUAAUAUUGUCGAAUAUGUAUAACUUUCUAUUAAAUAAUAUUUAUACUACUAUAUUGUAGGAACGGUCGUCCGGUCAAAAAGUUGGACGCCUUCAACUUUUUGAAAUUACACAUAGGAAGAAAGAUGGAUCUCCCAUGACUCCUGAAGCUGCUGAAAUAAUGGUACGUUUACUUAAUACGAUUUGACUUAUUUUAGUUAUUUAUAGUGUUUAUUUUCUAAUGGUUUAAUUCAUUGCAGUUAAUGCGACUAUUGUUAUGUUGCAUAUGUUUUUCAAUAUAUAAUAUUGUGUUCCUAACUAUGUGAUAUAUUUAUUAGGAAAAACUAAAUGAUAAAAAGGCGGAGUACGAAGCAAUUGCUUCUAGUGAUAGUUCGGUUCAUCUUGAAGAUAUUGAUAAUCGGAUUAUUACUGAAGUUUUGGGUCCUGAAAGGUAUGGUCGGGUUCGAUUUCAAGGAUCUUUUGUUAGCCCAACCCAAUAUUUUGGAUCCAGCUCCCACAAAUACAUGGCUUCGGGGAGUCAGGCUCAAGCUGAAGUUCAGAGGUUAAAAGACCAAAUGGCUCAGAUGCAAGCGACUACAAUUGAGGUUCAAAGGAAAUAUGAAGAACUCCAGCUACAACUUAAAGCAGAGGCGGAAGCGAGGGAAGCAGCGACUGCAGCGAGGGAAGCAGAGGCUGCAGCAAGAGAAGCAGAGCAGAGCAAAAAGUACGACGAACUUCAGCAGCAGCUUCAGAUUAUGAUGAAGAUGUUUAAGUCGCAACUUCCACCUUCAUAGUGUAUGACAUAAAUAUUUUUAUCAUUUUAACAUUUAACAUUUAACAUUUUUUGCAAAAACAAUAUGAAUUCACUUUUAUUUAUUGAUAUUAAUAUUAUUUUAUUCCCUUAUGUUGAAAUAUUAUAUAAAUUUAUUGCUAUUGGUUGCUUUUGAAAUGUUGCUUUUGAAUUUUUGCUACAGGAGGGCAGAAAAAAUGAAAAAUUUAAUAAAAAAAAAUCCCCAAAAUAGUGGCGUUUUUGUAUAAAAGCGCCACUAAAGAACAUGUUCUUUUGCGGCGUUUUUAAAAAAUGCCACUAAAGAACAUGUUCUUUAGCGGCGAUUAGAAAAAAAACGCCGCUAAAGAACAUGAUCUUUAGCGGCGUUUUCCCUUAAGCGCCGCUAAAGAACAUGUUCUUUAGCGACGUUUUUUCCUAAGCGCCGCUAAAGAACAUGGUCUUUAGCGGCGUUUUUUCCUAAGCGCCGCUAAAGAACAUGGUCUUUAGCGGCGUUUUUUCUAAGCGCCGCUAAAGAACAUGAUCUUUAGCGGCAUUUUUUUCUAAGCGCCGCUAAAGAACAUGGUAUUUAACGGCGUUUUUGUUUGUAAACGCUGCAAACAUUUGCGACGUUUUCGUUAGCGGCAUUUUUUUCCGGCGCUUGAAGAAGCGCCGCAAAUAUCUUUAGUGGCGUUAAAAAGCACCGCUAAAGGCCUAAAAAAACGCCGCUAAAAACCUGUUUUGGUGUAGUGUCCUAAAAUAAUAAAUUUAGUAGAUUAUAUGCAGAACUCGGUUAUAUCAGACUCAGUGCCAUGAACUUCACUAGCAAGCUUGCUAUCACAGCUGCAGCAUAAGCUAUUAACUGCUUAAUCACCAUUUUUCUUACAACACUCAAAGAUGAAGAAGAAGAUUCUAUAUUCAAUUUCUUAAUGUUAACCUUGCAUUUGCAUUUCCUCGAUAGGGUUUUUAUACCAAAUUUCAAGGAGAAUAAAACAAAAUAAUAAUAACUUUUUAGUUAAUUUGAUGGCAUAAUUGGAUAAGGUUUUUUUUGGGGGGGGCGAUUUUGCAACGAUAUAUACAGGUAGGUAGGCACAUUUUGUUUUGUUGAAUAACUAGUUAUAUGGUAUAAAAUAUUUGGCUCGUGGUCGAUUUUUAAUUUAUUUAAAACUCAACAUGCAUGAUUUAUAAGAAUGGAAUAUUAAAUAUGAUGAUAGGAUUAUUAAAAUAUUAAUUAUAUAAAGAAUUACAGAAGUACAUAAAAACCACUUUAAUUUUGUAAGUAUUUUGGCAAGGCAACAAUGGAAAGGGCUCUUGCGAUGAAAGAAGUGAUUAAGGGCUACGAAAGCAUGUCUGGACAGAUGGUGAAUUUUAACGAAUCCCUGAUUUAUUUUAGCAUAAAUACAAGUGAGGAAGACAAUGUGCAAAUUGGGAGUUAGAAUGUCUAAUAAUCCAGAGAAGUAUCUUGGGUUACUAACGAUGGUCAGAAGAACAAAGAAGAACGCAUUCGUCAAUUUAAAGGAAAGGUUCAUUAAUAUAAUAAAAGCAUGGAGUGUACGCAAUCUAUCAAUAGGGGGAAGGAGGUAUUUAUCAAAUCCACUUUACAAGUCAUUCCAAUUUAUGCAAUGCAGUGUUUUUUUAUGCCAAUUUCUUUAUGUUGAGAAUUAAGAGAUUAUGAUGUGCAAAUUCUAGAUACGCAAUUCGAAAACAAAUAAAGGAAUUCAUUGGUGCAAUUGGCGUUCUAUAUAUAUGUACCCCAAAGGCACAAGGGGGAAUUGGUUUUAGAGAUCUUUCAAUUUUUAAUAAAACCCUUUUAGCGAAGUAGGGUUGGAAACUAAUUACCAAUUCUACCAGUUUACUUGCACGAGUAAUGAAAGGUAAGUAUUAUCCAAGGAGUGAGUUUAUGAAUGCAGGUUUAGGAUAUCACCCUUCUUUUACCUAGCGAAGCAUUUGGGGUGCUCGUAGCAUUUUGGAAGAUGGUACUGGCUGGAGAAUUGGGAAUGGCAUGACAAUGAAUAUAUAGAAGAUGCUUGGAUUCCAGGACCUGGAGACAGAAAGGUAAAAAUUAAGAAUAUUGACAUUAGAUGCUCGAAGGUUGCAGACGUCAUUAAUAGUGAAACUAAUACCUGGAAAAUGGAUCCAGUAGAAAGAUUGUUCAUGAAGAAGCAAGCCGAGUUGAUUUUAACCAUCCCACUGGUGAACAACUCUUAUCAAAUGCUUUAAUCUUAAAGGGUGAUAAUACGGGAGAAUACUCGGUCAAAAGCAAGUACAAGUGGUGCAUUUCUGGUGGCCAAGACGGGACAGAGGACGAUAAUAAUUUACAAGACAUUGCUACAAAAAAAACUAUUACACAAAGCUCUGGAACCUCAAAAUUCCAAACAAAAUCAUAAUACGCCUAUGGAAGGUUUCUAAAUAAUUUUCUUCCUUUGCUAAGUAAUCUAAAGUAUCGAAGACUAAGGGAGGAGGCCCUCUACUCGAUCUGUAAGAAGGAAGACGAAAUGGUGGACCAUCUCUUUCGAGACUAUGCUUUUAUGAAACAAGUGCUUCAGGAGAUAGGAAUGGUACCCUUGCACACAAACACAAAUCAAGGAUGGAAAAUUUGGUUUGUGUAUGUUUUCGGAAACUGUAACAUUUUGCAAAACAUAAACAUAACCAUUGCAUAUUAGGCCAUUUGGCAUAAUAGAAACAAGUUAUAUCAUGAAGGUAAAAGAGAAAGAGUAUGUGAAGUUGUCAGUUUCAUUAAGGCAUACAUUGUCGAGUUAAAACAGUUAAGAGGAAAUCUCACUGAUCCGAAAUAAUAUUGAAGAAAUACAGUGGAAACCUCCAAAGGGAGAUCAAAUGAAAGUUAAUUUUGAUGCCUCUUUCCAACAGCAGUGUUGGUGCAAGAGGCAGCAGCAAGCUUGUUUCUACUUUGCUUGGACAGCAAGUGUCGAGCCUUGCUGAAGAAACUAUCGAAGAAGAAAGGAAGAAAAAAAAGAAAUUUGCAAUGGAAAACAGAAAAGAAAGAGAUAAAUUUGAAUGAAAAUGAGUUGAAUUUUCAUUAACCACUUCACAAGGCAUAAUGCCAAUACAUAUAUGAGAUAACAACAGCAAAACAAACAAGUUACCACCUAAUAACAUACCUAACACCACUAAAUUGCCUAGUAACUUGGUAAACUUGUUUGAACAUAUAAGCAACUACCUAAACUUGUCAUUCAGGACCUAAUUACAUCAAAAUGCAGCUACCAACUAAGUUCAAAACAAACUAAAAUACAAAAUGUUCAUUUGAGUAACCAAAUGAAACAAUGCAGUUUCGGUUUGAUGUUGAAGCACGUUCCCUGCAUGCCCACCUUGCAUGGCCACCUUGGCUGCUGCAUGGGGGCUGACUUCAACACUCCUCCUCAGCUUCUAUGCAGUAGACUCCUAGUUGCUUCCUUAGGUUUAGAAAUCUCGAUGUACCAAGUGAUUUUGUGAAGAUAUCGGUAAUCUGAUUUUCUGAGCUGCAAUGAAUCAGCUCGAUCUCUCAAGCUUGUUCCAUUUCUCUUAUCACAUGCAGUUUAAUGUUGAAAUGUUUUGUCCUGCCAUGGAAGAUAGAAUUUUUAGCAAUAGCAACUGCUGACUUGUUGUCAUAAUGUAUCACAGCUGCUUCAUUCUGCUGUAGGUUCAAAUCGCUCAAAAUUUUUCUCAGCCACAUAGCUUGAUUAAGAGCAUUGGCAGCUGCUACAUACUCAGCUUCAGCUGUCGACUGAGCCACCAUUGUUUGUUUUCUUGAACUCCAACAAAUCAUAGCUGAGCCAAGUGUAAAAGAAUAACCAGAGGUGCUCUUCAUGUCAUCUUUUGAACCAGCCCAAUCGCUGUCAGUGUAGCCAAUCAGUUUCAAUUCUUUAGCCCUACUGAAAUGUAUUCCAUGGCUCAAAGUGCCUUUGAUAUAUCUCAGCACCCGUUUUCUAGCUUUGUAAUGCUGCUGGUUGCAGCAAUGCAUGAAUCUUGAUAGCAUGCUCAUAGCAAACAGAAUAUCAGGUCUUGUUGCUGUCAGAUACAGCAAACAACCAACAAGGCUUCUGUAAUCAGUUUCACAGACAGAUUCAUGGUCUUCUUGGCUCGAUAGCUUCAUGCCAACAGCCAUAGGUGUGCUGGUUGGUUUACAAUUCUCUAUUGAGAAUUUGGCUAGAACUUUCAAGGCAAAUGAUUUUUGUCUCAAGAAGAUUCCUCCUUCUACUUGAUUUACUUCCAUUCCUAGGAAAUAUGUCAUCAAUCCCAGGUCUGACAUCUCAAACAUUUCCUUCAUUUUUGUUUUGAAAUCAGCUAACAUGAACUUGUCUCCUCCAGUCACUAGAAGAUCAUCAACAUAGAGUGAGACAAUGAGCUAUGUUUCAGCUCGAUUUCUUUUAACAUAAAGUGUUGGCUCACUAGCACUCCUUUAAAAUCCCAAACUGACCAGGUAUGAGUCAAUCCGAGCAUACCAGGCUCGAGGGGCUUGUUUUAGGCCAUACAAGGCCUUUCUUAGCCUAUACACCAAAUGUUCCUUACCAGGCAUUAUGAAUCCUAGAGGUUGCUCGAUGUAUAUCUCUUCUUCCAAGAAUCCAUUGAGGAAUGCAGACUUGACAUCCAUUUGAUGGAUUGUCCACUGGUUCUGAGCAGCUACAGCAACCAGCAAUCUGAUUGUAUCGAGUCUGGCUACUGGAGCAAAUGUUUCCAUGUAGUCCAGACCAUAUCUCUGACUAAAGCCCUUCACAACUAGCAUGGCUUUCUACUUGUUUAAACCUCCAUCUACAUUAUGCUUCAUUCGAUAGACCCAUUUUACACCAAUGGUCUUUAUGUUAGUUGGCUUUUCAACCAACUCUCAUGUUUGGUUCUUCUCAAUCAUGUUGAUUUCAUCAACCAUAGCCUGUUUCCAACCCUCAUUUGCCUUAGCCUCUUCAAAAUAGGUAGGUUCAGCUAUAGCAACCUGUGCCCUUUCAUAAAUCUCACCUAGGGGCCUUGUGCCUCUCACAGGCACAUCAUCAACAUCCAUCUCAGGACCAAGCUGCUCGAGUUCAGCUUGAUCAGGCACCAGGUCUUUUGAAGCAGCUUCUGGUUCACUCUUUUCCCAAUUCUAGCAAGCUUUUUCAUAAAAAAUGACAUCUGUGCUCACCUGGACUGUGCUUGUCAAGGGAUCCAAAACCCUGUAGCCCUUCUUGACUGAGCUAUAACCCACUAGGACACCUGGUUGAGCCCUUUCAGAUAGCUUAUCCCUCUUUGCUGCUGGUAUUUGUGCAUAGCACAGGCAACCAAACACCUUCAGAUAUGCCAAGGAAGGCUUGAAUCUAAACCAAGCCUCGAAAGGUGUCUUGGAUGCAAGAGCUUUGGUAGGAAGCCUAUUCUGAAGGUAGACAGCAGUGUUUACUGCCUCAGCCCACAUGGUCUUGGGAAAUUUCUUCUCAAACAGGAGACAUCUGGCCAUAUCCAUCAGACUUCUGUUCUUUCUUUUAGCUACCCUAUUCUGCUGAGGUGUGUAGACAUUUGUAAGCUGGUGUUUGAUGCUAGCAUCAUUGCAAAUAGCUUGAAACUGAGCUGAAGUGUACUCAGUGCCAUUGUCUGACCUUAUCGAUUUCAGCUUGCAACCUGUUUCUGUCUCAACAGCCAUUUUAAACUUCACAAACACUUGAGCUACCUCAAACUUGUGUUUCAGAAAGAAAAUCUAGCAAAACCUUGUAAAAUCAUCAAUAAAGAGAAUGAAAUACCUAUUUUUGCUGAGUGAUUCAGUUCUCAUAGGUCCACAUACAUCAGAGUGCACCAGCUGCAGUCUUUCAGUGGCUCUCCAUACUGAGUUUGUAGGAAAUGGCAGCCUUGCCUGUUUUCCCAUUUGGCACACUUCACACACAUCAUCAUGCUCCAUUGAGCUGGUGAAGUUCUCUACCAAGCCUUCUUUGGCCAUUCGAGCCAUUGAUCUGAAGUUGGCAUGCCCGAACCUUUGAUGCCAAAGGUUAGAAUCAUCAACAGAGGCUGUGUAUGCUAACUUUAAGUCAUUUGGCCAAUGAACCUCAAAGCAUUUGUCAGUCAUUAUGACUGUCAUAAGGCUUGAUCCACUUGGAUCAGUAAUGUGGCACUGUUUUUCAUUGAACACAAUAGAGUAGCCUUUCUCGAGCAAUUGAGCUAUGCUGAGAAGGUUUCUAUCAAUCUCAGGCACCAAUAGCACAUUUGGAAUGAUCUUGUUGCCUGUAGGAGUACAUAUCAGCACCUCUCCUCUUCCUUCAGCCCUUAUGAAUUGACCAUUUCCAACCUUGGCCUUGGUUUUGCAACUUCUAUCCAAGGUUUUAAACAAGGAGGCAUCUGGUGACAUGUGGUUAGUGCAGCCACUGUCCAAUAACCAGUCUUUUGAACAUUUCUUCUCAGCAGCUAAGCAAGAAACAGCAAAGACCUGCUCUUCUUGGUCACUACUGUCCUCAGCUACUCGAGCUUCAACCUUUGGUUGUUGAAAUUGACUCUGCCUCGGCUUGGUUUUGUUUUUGCAAACCCUUUCAACAUGGCCUUUCUUCUUGCAGUGUUGACAUACUGCAUCUAGCCUGAACCAGCAUCUGUCUUCUUGAUGACCUGGCCUCUUGCAAGGUCUGCAGGGCUGGUCAUUGCUCCUUGCAGCAUCAGGCUUAGGCCUGCUUUUCUAAGGCUUUUUGCCUCUUUGAGCAUUGAUGCUCGACACUUCUCUGGCCUUGGCAUGAAAUGCACCUUCCUGGUGAUCUUCAGCUCUGCUAGCUCUUCUUUGUUCCUGAGCAUAAAAAGUGUUAAUAAGCUCGGUCAAAGAGAUGCUAGCUAGGUCUCUUGAAUCCUCUAGGGAGGAUAUCUUGGCCUCAUAUCUCUCAGGCAAACUGGAGAGGACUUUCUCCACUAUUCUUGCCUCAUCAAAGUGCUUACCAAAGAGCCUUAUAUUGUUAACCACUACCAUGAUUCUAUCUGCAUACUGCUUCACUGUUUCUUCUUCCUUCAUCUUCAGAUUCUCAAAAUCCCUUCUCAAAUUCAACAGCUGUUGUUGCCUUGUCCUCUCAGUGCCUUGAAACUCCUCCUUAAGCUUGUCUUAGGCCUGUUUUGGAGUCUCACAGGCCAUAAUUCUGGUAAAGAUGACAUCUGACACAUAGUUCUGAAUGUAGGACAUGGCUUUGUGCCUUUUGGUCCUCUCAUCAGCAUGUUGCCUGAUCUGAGCUACUGUGGGAUUGGCCCUCAGUGGUGCUGGCUCAACAUCUGUGUUGACAACUUCCCACAGAUCAAAGGCCUGUUGGUAAGUCUUCAUCUUUACCAGCCAUAUGUGAAAGCCUUCUCCAUUGAAGACUGGUGGGGUUGCUGGUGAAAAUCCUAAAGAAGCCAUCAGGUUCCUUGGUUUGAAGCAACAGGUCCACUAAGACAAGGGCUCUAGAUACCAAUUGUUGGUGCAAGAGGCAGCAACAAGCUUGUUUCUGCUUUUCUUGGACAGCAAGUGUCGAGCAUUGCUGAAGAAACUAUCGAAGAAGAAAGGAAGAAAAAAAAAGAAAUUUGUAUUGGAAAACAGAAAAGAAAGAGAUAAAUUUGAAUGAAAAUGAGUUGAAUUUUCAUUAACCACUUCACAAGGCGUAAUGCCAAUACAUAUAUGAGAUAACAACAGCAAAACAAACAAGUUACCACCUAAUAACAUACCUAACACCACUAAAUUGCCUAGUAACUUGGUAAACUUGUUUGAACACAUAAGCAACUACCUAAACUUGUCAUUCAGCACCUAAUUACAUCAAAAUGCAGCUACCAACUAAGUUUAAAACAAACUAAAAUACAAAAUGUUCAUUUGAGUAACCAAAUGAAACAAUGCAGUUUCGGUUUGAUGUUGAAGCACGUUCCCUGCAUGGCCACCUUGCAUAGCCACCUUGGCUGCUGCAUGAGGGCUGACUUCAACAAGCAGACUCACAAAUCUAUUUUAGGAUUGGUUAUGGGCUCAUGCAUUUACCCGAUUAAAAAUUUCUAAGACCCAACAACAGAAGAAGCACAUUCAUGUUUAGAAGCAGUUAUCUUUGCGGAAGAAAUGGGCUUUGGAGAUGUUUGUAUAGAAGGCAAUGCACUCACAGUCCUAAAAAGAAUCAAAAAAUCAGAGAUUGAUAGAUCAGUUAUAGGCAACAUUAUUAUUGAGAUUACGGAUAGAGUAACCAGGUUUUGAAUUUUUACCUCUCGAUACGUCCUGCGAGCGGCAAAUAGAGCAACACGCGGAAUGGCAGCUUGGGGAACACGGCAUGAAAGGCCGAUCUACUAGGUAGAAGACGUUCCACUGGACGUUGAAGCCAUAGUCACAAAGGAGCAACGAUAGUAAGAGAAGAUUUUUUUUCAUUCUGAGUCUGGAGUGUUUGUUUUCAGUUUUGAAAACUCCAAGGAGCUCAGAAAUCUGCGGAGUUGGGAUGAAAUAAGAGACAUUUGUGAAACGGGUGAGGGUUUCAACUCCCACAGAGGAAUUCCUCCAGUGUGUCGGGAGUGGAUGAUUUUGCAGGGAAGAUUUAGAGGUGCUCAUAGGCCGGGCCGAGCCGGGCCCAUAAAAAAUUUUGGCCCAGGCCCGGCCCGACCCGAAAUAUGGGCCUAAAAUUUUACCUAGGCUCGGCCCGGGAAAAAAUUAUAAGCCCGGGACCGGCCUGGUGUUGACACCAUUUUUUGGAUGAAAACGGGGUCGACUUGGAUUUUGGAAAAAAAAGAAUGAAAAUGGGAGUCGCCACCAAUCCUUUUUUGAAGAGGUGUGAUUGGGUCACCUCAAAAGGUGGUUGUUUUUAAUAAAUGAUUUAAUUUUAUUAAAACAACGAUUUUGGUCUACGAAAUUCAGAAAAAUGAGUUCGGGAGUCGGUUACGCACGAGGAAGGAUUAGCACCCUCGAUACGCCCAAAAUUGGUACCUAGUUGAUUAAUUAGUGUCUUAGUGUCGAAAAUUUGAAAACUUGAAAGAAUUUAAAAUACGAUCCCUCUUUGUAAAGAAAAUGCUCAAAUGUUAAGGACCUUCUCGUCUCACAAUAUAAAAUGUCACAUCCAGUAAGUUAGGACACGACAUCUUGAAUUUUCGAGAACGAGCUUGCCUUUUAUAUAAAAAUUCGUGUAUUUCAAAAGGUUAUUCAGUUAGUUAAGGUGAACGAGGAAAAUCGAAACCCAGUAAGUUAGGGCACGUUUCCUCGAAUUCCCAAACACCGAAUAUUGCCUUUACUUGCAAAAAUCUUAUUUCGAGGUAACGAAAUGCCAUACCCAGUAAGUUAGGGAACAACACCUCGUAUCUCCGAGAAUAAGCAUUUUUCAAAACUCAUGUCACGAUUUAAAAGAGUAUUCCGUUAUUUAGGUUAAAGGAGAAAAAUUGAAACCCAAUAAGUUAGGGCACGAUUGUCUCGAAUUACCAAAUACGGAAUAUUACUUUUAUGAAAGAAUUAUUAUUGGGUUGGAUAUAAUGAUAAUAAGAAUAAUAUUAAAGUAAAGUAAACAAUAAUACUAUAUAUAAAUGUAUAUAUAUGUAUAUAAUAGAAAUACACACUACUAUAUAAUAAUAAUAAAUAUAGAAAUACUAAAAGCAAAUAUAAUAAAAAUAUUAAAUUAAAGUAAUAAAAAAUAAUACUAUAUAUAAAAUAUAUAUACAUAAAAAUAUACACUAAUAUAUAAUAGUAAUAGUGAUAGCAAAAAUAAUAAAAAUAUAAGUAAUAUUAAUAAUAUAUUAGAAUACAAAAGUAAAGUAAUAACAAUAGGAGUGAUAAUAAUAAUAAUACAAACAAUAAUACAUAUAUAUAAUAAUAGUAGUUAGAAAUAAAAAAUAAUAAAAGUAACAAUAAUGAUAGUAAUAAUAUAAAUAAAUAUGGAGAGGGCAUAUAUAAUAUAAUAAUAUAAAAAAAAUAAUAUAUACAUGAGAAAUAAUAAUAAUAAUAUAAAUAAUAGUAAAAAUAAUAAAAUAAUAAAACAAAGCUCUCAACUCUCUUUCUCCCUCUUUUCUAAAUCCGGCCGUUGGUCCGGCUUUGCUUCGGUCAUGGACCCCCACGGGCCGCCAUCGGCGCCACCGUACACGGCGGCCGGACCUCAAAAAAACCUUUUUCGAUAAUGAAAAUAUAGGUAAGCUUCUUACUUUUAUUUUUACUUUCGUAUAAAAAAACAAAAUAAAAUUGAAAGGAAAACAAUAAACAAACAAAGAACUAAAGAUAAGAAUAGACAAAAGAAACCUCUUUUGCUUUGAUCUUUGAUUAAUCUCCAAAAACUAGCCUUUCCAAGAAACAAAAAUAACCUUUUUUACAAAAAAACACCUCCAAAAAACAAAAAAAACCUCCUCCAAAACAAAGAACAAUCCUUCUCCAAAAAACCAAAAACCCACCCCUAAAAACAAAGUCUUGAAUGGCUUUUAUAGCCAAAUUUUACAAGUGGAGUGGUUGGGGUGGUUUAGGUGGCCAAGGGUGGUGGAGUUGGUGGCUAAGGUGGGUGGCCAACAAAGGUGGUGGAGUAGGUGGCCAAGGUUUUUAUUUAUUUAUUUAUUUAUUUUUUGUGUUUGGGUUGGGAUUAGGUUGGGCCAAAUUGGGUUUGGUUAGGGUUGGUUUAAGUUGGGCCAAAAUUGAGCCUUUACAGCUGCCCCUCUUUGCUCAUUUUCGUGUAACGAGAAUAGAGCAAAGACAUCAAAAGGGCCAAUUUUGCCCGGUCUUGCCGAGUCUUGACUUUUUGGUGCUCAUCUUCUUCCAGUAGCCUUAUUCCAGUCUGCUACGUCUUGUUGCUUCGAUCCACUCUACUGCAACUUCAGAUACGCCUUGUAGCUUCAAUCUACUCUGCUACGACUCCAUGGGGAUGAGAUUUGUGUUUUUAGUCUGCUCCACUACUACUUAGGGAGAUAAGACUUGAUGCGAUCUGCUUCACUAUUUCUUAGGGAAAUAAGAUCUGUGGUUUUAUCUGCUCCACUACUGCUUAGGGAGAUAAGACUUAAUGCGAUCUACUCCACUACUGCUUAGGGAGAUAAGAUUGUAAUCUUCGAUCUAUUCCACUGUUGCCCAAGGAGAUAGAACUACUGGCUUUAAUGUACUCCACUGUAAUCGGAGAGGUAAAAUCCGCCAUCUUCGACCUGCAAUCUAUUCCACUGCUAAAUACAGGGAAAUAGAGUCUGUUUUCAAUCCACUUCCUACCAAUAUAGGAAGGCAGGAUCUACAAUCUUCAAUCUAUUCCACUGCCAGAUACAGGGAGAUAGAGUUAUCGGCUUCAAUGUACUCCACUGUAGUCACAGGGAGGUAAAAUCUGCCAUCUUCGAUCUGCUUCACUGCCUAAUACAGGAAGGCAAGAUCUGCAAUCUUCAAUCUAUUCCACUGCCAGAUACAGUGAGAUAGAGUUAUCGGCUUCAAUGUACUCCACUGUGGUCAGGGAGGUAAAAUCUGCCAUCUUUGAUCUGCUUCGCUGCCAAAUACAGGAAGGCAAGAUCUGCAAUCUUCAAUCUACUUCACCACCAGUAUGGGAAGACAAGAUCUGCAUCUUGGAUCCACUUCCUAUCAAUAUAGGAAGAUAGGACCUGCUAUCUUCGAUCUACUUCACGCCAAUACAUGAAGGCAAGAUCUGCUUUCUGCGAUCUACUUCGCCACCAAUAUGGGAAGACAAGAUCUGCAUAUUGGAUCCACUUCCUAUCAAUAUAGGAAGAUAGGACCUGCUAUCUUCGAUCUACUUCACACCAAUACAUGAAGACAAGAUCUGCUUUCUGCGAUCUACUUCGCCACCAAUAUGGGAAGACAAGAUCUGCAUCUUCGAUCCACUUCCUACCAAUAUAGAAAGAUAGGAUCUGCUACCUUCGAUCUACUUCACGCCAAUACAUGAAGACAAGAUCUGCUUUCUGCGAUCUACUUCGCCACCAAUAUGGGAAGACAAGCUCUGCAUCCUGGAUCCACUUCCUAUCAAUAUAGGAAGAUAGGACCUGCUAUCUUCGAUCUGCUUCACGCCAAUACAUGAAGACAAGAUCUACUUUAAUGACUUCAAUCCCUCCCAUUGCAACUUCAAGGGUAUAGGAUCUGUUUCUUUGAUCUGUUCUCUGGGGAAUAUGACCUGUAAAAUCCAUUUUAUGGACCUAUUUAUGCCUAGUGUUUAGGAUGGCAUGAUCAGAAUGAAUCAAAUGCUUCUAACUAGAUGUGUAUGAAUGAAUGCAGAAUGUCAUGAGAAUGAUCCAUUUUUAAUGUUUGAGUUGUCAUUGCUCAUGUUUUAUCACUGACGUGUUACAACGCCUUCUUGCUCGGCUGGCAUAUCCAAAGAAACACUUAGUCAGAUUGCCCCCACUGCGAACGUCAAAGUUUAAUCCACUGGGACAUAAAAUUUGUACCAUCAAUCUCCCACCGUAAACUAAGGGUAGAAGGAUAUGGCUUUUUCUCGAUCCUCUACUAUCACAAUUCAAGGAUACAGAAUGUGAAACUCUUUGAUCUCCUACACCAUUCCCAAGGUGUCAUACCAAAUGUUUAUGUACAAAUGCAAAAUUUCCUUCUCCGAGAAAACCUUUUCUUAUUACUUGGUGAACAUCGCUUGUUUGUUCAUUGAAGCUUUGCCACCAACACGACAUCUUGUCAAUGUUUGGACAACAAAAUUUGAAAGGAUAGUCCCGACUUGGACUCUUCCUUUUUGGACACUUUGAAUUUGGUGUGCUCUAAACAACAGUCCUGUUUCAGGCUCCUUCAUUAUUUAGAAAUUUCUAGAGUAAUAUGCAAAACUCCAAUUGCUUGAACAUUCAGUUUAUUAAUAGUUAUUCUAAAUGUUUUUCGAGAAGGUUACCACAACGAACAAACAAAUGUUAUUAAGAACAAAUCUCGAGAUGAAUGAGUUAAUCGAGAUAGCAAAUUUUGCUAAGGUAAAAAAUGAAAUAAGACAAUAGACAAGAAUGAAAUUUUAUUGGGGAGCAAAGCUUGAACUGAAUACAAUAAUCAAGACAACAAGUUUUGCCAAGAUUCAAAGUAUAAGAUGACAACAGGUGCCCCAGAUAUCACAGCACGAGCUUCCCUGCACAAGUUUUCUAAAGACCAUUUAAUAUGUGUUUGGAAUCUACAGUAUUUUGUCGAUACCCCAAGAUGUCACCUACUCCUUCUUGCGAUUCAGGUGUAGUAAGACCACCACAUGCCUCAGAUCCUGCUCAAAAAUUCGAGCCGUACCUCACGCUUCAAAAUUCGAGCCGCCUUUUUCAGGUUUUCAACUCAAAUCCCCUUUGGUCUCAAGGUGCCUUUUGCGGGUUUUCACCUUGGCCUCUCCCAUUUUUUUUUUUUUUAAGAAUGCCCCCUUUUUAAGUGAAAUACUUCUUGACUGAGUCUGAAUUUACAGGAUUUGACAGGCUUUUACCAUCCAUUUCGCUCAGGAUUAAAGCUCCUCUUGAAAAGGCCUUUUUUACCACAUAAGGACCUUCCCAAUUUGGCAUCCACUUUCCUCUAAAAUCCUUUUGUAGAGGAAGAAUCUUUUUCAGCACCAGGUCCCCCUCGUAAAAUUCUCUGGGACAAACUUUUUUGUUGUAAGCUCGCAUCAUUCGUUUCUGAUACAUCUGACCAUGACGAAUAUCUUUUAACCUCUUUUCUUCUACCAAGUUUAACUGGUCAUAUCUGGAUUGAAUCCAUUCAGCCUCAUCCAACUUUAGUUCAGUUAAUACUCGGAGAGAAGGAAUUUCAACUUCUAUGGGUAAAACUGCUUCCAUCCCAUAGACUAAAGAAAAUGGUGUUGCCCCGGUAGAGGUUCUAACAGAAGUACGAUAUGCCAGGAGAGCAAAAGGUAAUUUCUCGUGCCAAUCUUUGUAGGUUUCAGUCAUUUUUCCUAUAAUUUUCUUGAUGUUUUUGUUAGCUGCUUCCACGGCACCAUUCAUUUUUGGACGGUACGGUGACGAAUUGUGGUGUCUGAUCUUGAACUGACUACAAACUUCCGCUAUUGAGUUGUUGUUUAAGUUCAGCGCAUUAUCGGAUAUGAUCCUUUCAGGCAUCCCGUAUCGACAUAUGAUCUCUUUUUUCAGAAACUUGCUAACUGCCGACUUCGUGACAUUUGCAUAUGAAGCCGCCUCCACCCAUUUAGUGAAGUAAUCAAUAACCACAAAGAUAAAACGAUGCCCAUUGGAAGCUUUUGGAGAUAUUGGCCCGAUAACGUCCAUUCCCCACAUGGAGAAAGGCCAUGGAGAAACCAUAACAUGAAGGGGUGAAGGUGGUGCGUGCAUUUUGUCACCAUAAAUUUGACAUUUAUGGCACCUCUUGGCAUAAUUAAUGUAAUCCCCUUCCAUGGUGGACCAAUAGUACCCAAAUCUCAUAAUUUGUCUGGUCAUCGUGAAGCCAUUGGCAUGCGUUCCGCAGAUACCUUCAUGCACUUCUUCCAAAAUUUCCUUUGCCUCAACAGCAUCCACACACCUUAACAGUACUUGAUCUUUUCCUUUUUUAUACAAAAUUUCCCCAUCAAGGACAUAGUCAAUGGCUAAUCUCCUUAAUGUCUUCUUAUCAUUUUCUAUCGCAUGGUCAGGGUACUCGCGACUCUUCACAUAUCGCAAUAUGUCAUGGUACCAAGGGUGAUCAUCCUUUCCCUCUUCAUUGUCAAUGUGCAACAAUGGGCUGGAACCUCAUAGAUGCUGAUCUGGAUAGGCUUCAUAUAUUCUAAUUUGUUCACUUUAAACAUGGAGGCUAAAGUGGCCAAAGCAUCUGCCAUCUGAUUUUCAUCUCGUGGGAGGUAACUAAAGGUGACACUAUCAAAUUCCUCGAUCAAUUCCAUAACCAAUUUUCGAUAGCGAACCAACUUCGGGUCUCUUGUUUCCCAUUCCCCCUUGAGCUGGUAAAUUACUAAUGCAGAGUCCCCGUAUACCUCUAGCACCUUAAUUUUCCGCUUUAUGGCUGCCCGAAUGCCCAUAAUGCAAGCUUCAUACUCAGCCAUAUUAUUUGUGCAGUCAAAGUCCAAUUUGCUAGUGAAAGGAUAAUAAUCUCCACUAGGGGACACGAGUACUGCCCCAAUUCCGUUGCCUAUAGCAUUUGAAGCUCCGUCAAAACUCAACUUCCAAGGACCACCUUCUUGGAAAUCUUUCUUUACGGUUGCGGCAUACAUCAAAUCCUCAUUUGGGAAAUCGAAGUUCAAUGGCUCAUAAUCAUCGAGAGCCCUACUUGCUAGGAAUUCCGCUAUUGCACUCCCUUUGACCGCCUUCUGGUUCACAUAGACUACGUCAAAUUUAGAUAGAAGAAUUUUCCAUCGAGCCAUUCUUCCAUUCAGAGCGGCUGACUCCAUCAAGUAUUUCAGAGGGUCUAAUUUGGAGAUUAACCAGGUCGUAUAGUACAACAUGUACUGUCUCAGUCUCCGAGUUGUCCAAAUUAAAGCACAACAUAAUUUCUCGAUUGGCGAAUAUCUUAUUUCGCAUUCGGUGAACUUCUUACUGAGAUAGUAGAUCGCUCUUUCCUUUCGUCCUGAUUCGUCAUGUUGACCAAGCACGCAUCCCAUGGAAUUUUCAAAUACUGCCAAAUACAGUAUGAGCGGUUUGUCUGGGCAGGGUGGCAUCAGUACUGGGGCGUUGGAUAAGUAAUGUUUGACUUUUUCAAAAGUUUUUUGACAUUCCUCAUCCCAUACACCUGGAUUAUGUUUCUUGAGGAGGCGAAAUAUGGGGUCGCAUUUCUCAGUUAGCUGUGAGAUGAACCGAGCAAUAUAGUUCAGCCUUCCUAGAAAACCUCGAACCUCCUUUUGAGUACGCGGCGGGGGUAAUUCUUGUAUUGCUCUUACUUUGUCAGGAUCAAUCUCAAUUCCUCUUUCACUGACCACGAAUCCAAGUAAUUUUCCUGAUCUGACCCCGAAUGUGCAUUUUGCUGGAUUUAGCUUUAGCUGAAAUUUCCUCAAUCUCGUAAAUAAUUUCUUAAGGACCUGCACAUGUUCCUUUUCUGUUUUAGAUUUUGCAAUCAUGUCAUCAACAUAGACUUCUAACUCCUUAUGCAUCAUGUCAUGGAACAGUGUUCCAUGGCCCUCUGAUACGUUGCCCCUGCAUUUUUCAACCAAAAUGGCAUCACCUUAUAACAAAAAGUUCCCCAUAGGGUUAUGAACAUAGUUUUCCUCAUAUCCUCGGGAUGCAUCUUAAUUUGGUUAUAUCCCGAGAAGCCAUCCAUGAAAGAAAACAGUGAAUGUCCUGCUGUAUUGUCUACCAAGGCGUCGAUAUGCGGCAAGGGAAAGUUAUCUUUUGGGAUAGCCUUAUUUAGAUCUCUAUAAUCCACACACAUUCGUACCUUCCCAUCUUUCUUAGGGACAGGAACAAUGUUAGCUACCCACUCGGAGUAUUUGACCACCUUCAGGAACCCAGCGUCAAAUUGCUUUUGCACCUCUUCUUUUAUUUUUAACACGAUAUCAGGCCUUAUUCUUCGGAGUUUUUGCUGAACUGGUUUGCAAUCCUCCUUUAUAGGAAGUCGGUGAACCACGAUGUCAAUACUUAACCCCGGCAUAUCUUGGUAUGACCAUGCGAAGACAUCUUUGAACUCUCGCAGCAAUUCAAUGAGGUAUUGUUUUACUUCUUCAGCUAUGCGGAUACCAAUCUUUAACACCUUUCCCUCUUCCAAGAUCACUGUCUCUAUCGUCUCUUCGUGGGGUAGAAUCUGUUUCUCUUCCUGCUCUACCAUUCUCAACAAGUCCGGAGAUAGGUUGCAAUCUGUGUUAUCUUCAAAAUCUUGAGAUUCCUCUGGACACAUAUCUCGUUCAAAAAGAUUUUCUAAGUCCAUAGUAGAGUCACUCAUAUCAUUGAUAUCUUGGGACCUGUUAUAGGUAUCAAAGAAUGUACAGGGAAUGUAUGAAUUUAAGGAUUCUUAUUUAGUAUGACCAUGAAUGUAUGAAAAAAAGAAUUUGAAAAGAAUAUAUACUCAAAAUGCGAAGAUAUAUUUCAUUGAAAUCACAAUGUCCACAUAUAAGCCUAUUUCAGUUCACAAAAGUUUUCAUUUUCUCUAGGCUUAGAAUAAUUAAUGUUUUGAAUAUUACUCUGGAAAAGCUCUAAAAACUUCAGGCAUUUCUUCCGCAGUCCAAUUGUUUAAAACACUCCCAGGUUCAACGGGAUAGAUGCCUGACGUACUUCCUCCUUCAAAUUCUUCUUCACAUAUGGCAUUGAUGCUUAAGUUUCUUAACAUUUCCUCUGCGGUCUUCUUUCUUGGAGCCCUCAGUUCAGAAUACAUAGUUCCUCCCGACAUGAAUGUCCUGGAUAUGUGGGGGAAAGCCAUAGGUUCCCAGUCGACUUCUUUUCCGUUCAAACGCGCCUUCCUUCUAUCUUGUCUCUUUUCUAACUCUUUCCUUCUCUGUUUGGUAUUUGGUUUAAAUCCUAAACCAAAACGAUCUUGUUUGUAUUUCACUACUGGUGCCCCCAUCCUUCCCUGAAGGCAUCUUCCAAGUCCUCUUCCAGGCACAGCUCCUUUCCCAACUGUCGCUUGUAAUCCCAUCCUUGUGGCUUUAGACAUGCUGGGCGUCGGAAUCUUCUUUCCCCCUAUGACAAAGGUUGCAUUUACGAACUCCAAAGAUCGAAAAGAACAUUCAACUGCCUCGUCGUCUAUUCCCAAAUAUGGUGUAUCAUUGGUUACCAAUGCAAUGAUAUCUUCCUCGGCGUCAAUUGUAAUUAACCGGCCUUCUAUUACCAAUUUUAACUUCUGGUGCAAUGAUGAAGGCACCGCCCCUGCCGAAUGAAUCCAGGGUCUUCCUAAUAAGCAAUUAUAUGACGGCUUGAUAUCCAUCACUAGGAAGUCCACAUCGUAUGUAUUUGGGCCAAUUAAAAGAGGUACUUCUAUUCUUCCUAUCACCUUUCUUUCGGUACCAUCAAAUGCUCUCACUAUAUUUUGGCAUGAUCUCAUGUGAGAGUUAUCCACCGGUAACCUACUUAAGGUAGAUAGGGGUAAAACAUUCAAGGCUGAUCCAUUGUCAAUUAGCACUCCAGCUAACAUAUACUCCCCGCAACGAGCAGUGAUGUGUAAUGCUUUGGUAGAUCCUCUUCCCCCUGGCGGUAUUUCAUCAUCAUUAAAAAAGAUGAAAUUAUUGGCAUUGAUAUUAUUAACCAAGCGGUCUAACUUAUUCACCGAGAUAUCUUUAGUGACAUAAGUUUCAUUUAGCACCUUAAUCAACGCAUUACGAUGUAUCUCUGAACUUAUAAGCAACUCAAGUACGGAGAUACGAGCCGGUUGCUUAUGUAAUUGUUCUACCACGCUGUACUCGCUAUGUUUCAAGAAUUUUAGAAAUUCAUUGGCUUGAUUUUCAGUUACCGGCUGAUUGACACUCGAUUCAAUUUCGUCUGUUUUUGUUUUUCCUAGCUCAACUGCUAAAGCUUUUUCUUUUCCAGAUUCCACUAUCGCGUCUGCCGGAUCAUAGCGCUUUCCACUUCGUGUAUAGAAUCCUUCCUUCUUUUUUGAAGCAUUUACCGAGCUCUCUUUUCCUGGAAUCGUCACAUUGCAAUCGUAACUCCAAGGAACCUUUUUGUUACCCUUGUAAGGAAAGGAUACAGGUUUUUGGAUUAUAACUUUUGGCCCUAUUUGUAUUCCAGAUUCUUUGUUCAUUGGCUUUGAAAUGAUAACCACUGGAUGACAAAGCUCUUGGGUUCUCCUUGCAGAUCCUUCUCCUGUAGCACAAACUUCUUCCUCUUUUAACCCUUUGAUUUCUUCAUAAAACUCCAUUUCUUUGCUAUCCAUAAAGUUUUGCACCACGAUUCUGAACUCGGUGCAUUCCUGGAUGUCAUGAUCUUCUUCUGCGUGGAACUUACAAAAUCUCUUUGCUUGUUCAGGCCUUUCUAUCGAAUCUUGCUUGAUAAGACCUCUUUUUACCAUUUGUUUCCAAACCCAUCCAAGAGGGGUUUUUAUCUCUGCCACGUUGGCUUUGACUCUUCUUCCUUCAUUCUCACUUAUCGCGUUUACCCUAUUAUCGUCAUGAUUGGGCAACGGAUUUUCUGCUACAUUUGGCCCUGAUGAGUCGCCAAUCUUUACGAUCCCCAUAUUGAUAAGUUUCUCCACUAACUUCUUGAAUGCAGUGCAGUUCUCAAUCGAGUGCCCCUUAAUCCCCGCGUGGUACUCGCAUUGGGAGUUUAUGUCAUACCAUUUGGGGUACGGAGGUUGCAUGGGUUUUAGGUAAAAUGGAGAUACCACAUGUGCAUCAAAUAAAUUCUGAUACAAUUCUUUAUACGUCACCGGGAUGGGUGUGAAUUGAGGUCUUUCUAUAUUUGGCCUUGAAUUGGACUCCCGUCUCGAAGAACCUUGCUGAUUAGUGGUUGUUGCUCUGGCUUGUCCCACCGUGAUUGAUCUAGAAUGGUCCUUGUUAAACAUGUUUGUGUUGUUUAUCUCAUGCUCCUUCUUUCUCAGUGCUGACCUUUUAGCACUUUCUCCUGCUUCUAUCUUGCCACUCCUUAUGGCAUUUUCUAUCAUUUCUCCAGACAUCACUAUGUCUGAAAAGCUUUUGGUGGCACUACCCAGCAUGUGAUUGAGAAAUGGAGCUUUCAAAGUAUUGAUAAAAAGCAUGGUUAUCUCUUUUUCUAAAAGUGGUGGUUGAACUUGUGCUGCUACCUCCCUCCAUCUUCGAGCAUACUGGCGAAAGCUCUCAUUAGUUUUCUUUUCCAUAUUUUGCAAUACAAUUCGAUCGGGUGCUAUGUCCAUCACAUGUCUGUAGUGUUUUAUAAAGGCCUGCGCCAAAUCUUUCCAAGAGUGGAUUUCAGCUCGACUCAAUUGAUUGUACCAUCUAACAGCUGACCCGAUCAAACUAUCCUGAAAACAGUGAACCAACAGCUGCUCAUUGUUGAUGUACCCGGUCAUUCUUCGGCAAAACAUAGUGAUAUGAGCAUCGGGACAACUUGUCCCGUCAUAUUUUUCAAACUCCGGCAUUUUAAACUUAGGAGGGAGGAUUAAAUCAGGCACCAAGCUCAGAUCUUUAGCAUCCAUUCCUCGGUGGUAAUCAGCACUUUCCAUGGCCUUAAACUUUUCCUCCAGCCAUUUACAUCGGUCUUCCAAUUGCUUUGAUAGAUCCACUUUCGUAUUUUCCACUUCUGCCACGUCAUCGAGGUCAGGGACUAUGAGAUUGGUGGGAUUCUCUCCGGAAUUGUUACUUAUUCCGAUUGGAGGACUCGUUUGGAAUUGUUGGGGUCUAAUUGUAACAGAGGGUCUUUGUUGAUACAUUUCAGCUUGAGUAUGCGCGUGCAGAGGGGUAAAGCCUGGAGGGUAAAGGGGUUCAUCACUAUUUCCAUCUUCAACAUUAACAAUAGGGUCCUUUCCCUUGUCUUUUCCUCCUUUCAACAGUUGCGUUAACUUUGCCAUCAUGUCGUCUUGGGAUUCUCGCAUCUCUCGCUGAAUCUUUUCCAACCGCUCUUCUAUCUGAUCUUGCAUAUCUCUUUGGAGCUGCUCAAGUUUUUCUAGUCUUUGAUCCAUGUUUCUUGACUUCGCUCGAGUUCCGUAAGAGUGACGGUUUUCCAGGUUAACUGAAAUAAUUUUAUUUAGUUAGGGUCUUUUAAUGGUCAUUAAUGCAUAUAAUGCAAUGCAUGAAAUGAAUGCAAAAGGCGUUAAUUCUAGUUCAAUUUCAUUAUGAAAACUUUACUAGAAAAUAAACUUUUUUACAUAAGGUGGAUUACAUAUACGACUUAGCCCUAAAACUCAAAAUUCUAAUCCUCCUAAGCAACGAGUCUAGCUCCUGUCCUCGACUCGACUCUAAUUCGUACUUCACGCUUAACACAUCAGCUUGUACUGCUAACGUCUGCAAGUGAUCAGCCACCUCUCGGAUUUGAAGCACGGCUUCUCCCAUGAUUUGAUCUCUAUCUCUUACUUGGUUCUGAAAGUAGUGCAACUGCUCGGUUUGACGAUCUUCAUUAGAUCUCAUGUGCUCAAUCCGCAUCUCGCAACUUCCCAAUGCUGCUUCUAACUCUUCAAUUCUUCGUUUCAUCUCUUCAAUUCUACUUAGGCUUACUUUUAAUUCCAUCACAGAAUUUCGAUUUCGAUGCCGAUAGAGAGAUUCUUCUAACUCGGACACUCUAUUUUCUAGUUCCCCUUUUUCUUUCUGAUUCUCUGACAGACUCUUCUUUAAAGUCUCGUUCUGGGUUUGAACUUCUUGAAACCUUGUUUCCCAUCUAUCAGCUUUGUUCUUUUCUUCUUGAACUUCCUUGCGCCAUUGUUCAGAAGUCUUUCCCAACCCGGCGGUUCUCAUUGAUGAUCGCAACUUCUUGUAAUCUGUUUUCAGACUGUUCAGAUCUUCUUCAGCCCUAGCUUUUCCUUUUCUUAAUCGCUCCAUCUCGAGCUUCUGGACAUCUACAUCCAACCUUAAGUUUGUUUUUUCUUCCUCCAUUUGCUCUAUCUGUUUUUCCAACUCUGCAUUUCUUCUUUCAAAAUCUUGCUUCAAAAUUUCUAGUUCAGAAAGGAUGACCCGUAAGUGCUCCUCUAUCGAAUGACUGCCUUCGAGGCUUGAUUUGGGGACAUUGUCAUUGAUUCUUCUGACCCUCCAUUCUUUAUAUUCGGGGGUUGUCAUUGGUCCUACAGCUAAUCGCUUCAUUUGGCGAGUCUGAUUCCACGCAUUGGAUAUCUCUCGAAUCCUCUUUUUGUAGCCAUCACCCCCAUACGAGAAUUCACACUCGGCCAGCCCCUGGGUUGCGGGUAUAAACUGUCUUGAUCUGUACUGUCUGAGCACUAAUAACGGGGCAUAGCCAAUAGCUCCCCAGAUUCCAAGCAAAGGGACCCAAUCAAAACUACCACAUCGGUACAAAAUUUCGUCUGGAAGUAACCACGGAGCUCUCCAUUCAAUGUCUUCUUCAUGCAAGUUUUGAAGAAUUGCCAUCCAUUUUUCCAUUGAAAUGUCGUCCCUUCUCGGUGUAGCUAUCGUCUCCUUUAGCGGCGAAUAGUUUUCAGAGAAGACCCGAUAUGACACCUUAUCCACUUUCCAAAAAUGACUGUGGAACCACGCAAGUAGCAACUGUGCACAUCCAAUGAACCUGCCUUCGCCCGCUCGCCGACAGGUACUCAAUGAUCUGAAUGUCUCCGCUAAAAUUGCUGGAAUCAGGGUAACUCCUUUAUCAAGGCGGUCGAACAAAUCAGUAACCGCCUCAUCAAUAUGCCCCAAAGCUCUAGGAAAGAUAACUAAGCCAUAUAUGCUUAGGGCGAAGAUAUCUACCCUAUUUUUUAUAUCCGGGUGCACCAAAGCCACAUCUUUCAAACUCCUCCAAGAAAUGCACUUGUUAUCCCCUUUUUGUUUAAUUCGGGCCGUAACCCACUGCUCACUCAUGCCUGUUAUGUUCAUUAACCUUCUCAAAAAGGGUACAUUUGCGGCUCUUGAGUAGAUUCUGUCGACUUGACUCUUUGAACACCGAAGUAAAGCCAUAUAUUCUUCUAUCGUAGGCACCAAGUCAACUUUCCCGAACGAAAAACAACUAUAGGCGGGAUUCCAAAAUUGUGCGAGAGCCCGGAAUAGGUGCUUAUCUACCUUCAUAUCUAGCAGGUACGGCAAGUCCCCGUAAUGGGAAUAAAACAACUGUCUGGCCUCCUCGUCCCAAUGGUCCCAAAUUCCUUUCAACUCUUGUAAAUCGUUCUGGGUUAUGCUAAUGCGGGUAAAGUCCCAUAGCUCUGAUAUAUAUCCUUCAGCCAAACUAUCCCCUUUCUCUUGUUGUGUCGUUUCCGACCAAAUUCGGACUGCCGCAUUAUCUUCCACCUUAUCAAGAAACCUUCUUUCCAUGAUAAGCUUUCUUUCUAGAAACCGAAUAUGAACCAACGCCUUGAAAUAAUGAAAUGCCAUGCAGUUGAAAUGUCAUGCAUCCAAAGUAAAACAACAAAUAUCAGUACCAGAUAUAAACAUAUAAUCCAAGAUAAUUCAAAAAGAAUAAAAGCACAUCAGGGUAUUUACUAGGGUUUGGUGUAGUUCUACUUAAGGUGAGUUCCUAAGGUUUACUACAUGGGGUUUGGUUCUAAAGCAAAGGUACCCGAACCAGCAGAUUCCUCGAUCUUCACCCAUUAUAGUCUCAUAUAGACCGAGUUCGGUUUAGGGGAAUACAUUUCCCUAUGGCUGCACGGAGAUGAAAAUCUCACGAAGACAUAGGUACGGAUGUAUCCCGAAAGCGAUCCACUAUCCUGCACGGAGGUGAAAACCUCACGAAGGAGUAGCUUCUCACUCCCACUUAAAAGGUGUGACCAACGGUCAUGCAAUGCAAUGCAAAGAUAUAAAAGUUUAAAAUACGAAACAUGAUGAAAACUAUAGCUCAAAACAAAUGAAAUGCAAUGAGAAGAUCGUAUAUUUAAAUCAAAUUUUCAACUUUCGACAAAAAGACAAAAAAUAAUCAACUCGUGGCUUGACUCACUUAUUUUGAAAAAGUCCCCAGUGGAGUCGCCAAGCUGUUGACACCAUUUUUUGGAUGAAAACGGGGUCGACUUGGAUUUUGGAAAAAAAAGAAUAAAAACGGGAGUCGCCACCAAUCCUUUUUUGAUGAGGUGUGAUUGGGUCACCUCAAAAGGUGGUUGUUUUUAAUAAAUGAUUUAAUUUUAUUAAAACAACGAUUUUGGUCUACGAAAUUCAGAAAAAUGAGUUCGGGAGUCGGUUACGCACGAGGAAGGAUUAGCACCCUCGAUACGCCCAAAAUUGGUACCUAGUUGAUUAAUUAGUGUCUUAGUGUCGAAAAUUUGAAAACUUGAAAGAAUUUAAAAUACGAUCCCUCUUUGUAAAGAAAAUGCUCAAAUGUUAAGGACCUUCUCGUCUCACAAUAUAAAAUGUCACAUCCAGUAAGUUAGGACACGACAUCUUGAAUUUUCGAGAACGAGCUUGCCUUUUAUAUAAAAAUUCGUGUAUUUCAAAAGGUUAUUCAGUUAGUUAAGGUGAACGAGGAAAAUCGAAACCCAGUAAGUUAGGGCACGUUUCCUCGAAUUCCCAAACACCGAAUAUUGCCUUUACUUGCAAAAAUCUUAUUUCGAGGUAACGAAAUGCCAUACCCAGUAAGUUAGGGAACAACACCUCGUAUCUCCGAGAAUAAGCAUUUUUCAAAACUCAUGUCACGAUUUAAAAGAGUAUUCCGUUAUUUAGGUUAAAGGAGAAAAAUCGAAACCCAAUAAGUUAGGGCACGAUUGUCUCGAAUUACCAAAUACGGAAUAUUACUUUUAUGAAAGAAUUAUUAUUGGGUUGGAUAUAAUGAUAAUAAGAAUAAUAUUAAAGUAAAGUAAACAAUAAUACUAUAUAUAAAUGUAUAUAUAUAUAUGUAUAUAAUAGAAAUACACACUACUAUAUAAUAAUAAUAAAUAUAGAAAUACAAAAAGCAAAUAUAAUAAAAAUAUUAAAUUAAAGUAAUAAAAAAUAAUACUAUAUAUAAAAUAUAUAUAUACAUAAAAAUAUACACUAAUAUAUAAUAGUAAUAGUGAUAGCAAAAAUAAUAAAAAUAUAAGUAAUAUUAAUAAUAUAUUAGAAUACAAAAGUAAAGUAAUAACAAUAGGGGUGAUAAUAAUAAUAAUACAAACAAUAAUACAUAUAUAUAAUAAUAGUAGUUAGAAAUAAAAAAUAAUAAAAGUAACAAUAAUGAUAGUAAUAAUAUAAAUAAAUAUGGAGAGGGCAUAUAUAAUAUAAUAAUAUAAAAAAAAUAAUAUAUACAUGAGAAAUAAUAAUAAUAAUAUAAAUAAUAGUAAAAAUAAUAAAAUAAUAAAACAAAGCUCUCAACUCUCUUUCUCCCUCUUUUCUAAAUCCGGCCGUUGGUCCGGCUUUGCUUCGGUCAUGGACCCCCACGGGCCGCCAUCGGCGCCACCGUACACGGCGGCCGGACCUCAAAAAAACCUUUUUCGAUAAUGAAAAUAUAGGUAAGCUUCUUACUUUUAUUUUUACUUUCGUAUAAAAAAACAAAAUAAAAUUGAAAGGAAAACAAUAAACAAACAAAGAACUAAAGAUAAGAAUAGACAAAAGAAACCUCUUUUGCUUUGAUCUUUGAUUAAUCUCCAAAAACUAGCCUUUCCAAGAAACAAAAAUAACCUUUUUUACAAAAAAACACCUCCAAAAAACAAAAAAAAACCUCCUCCAAAACAAAGAAUAAUCCUUCUCCAAAAAACCAAAAACCCACCCCUAAAAACAAAGUCUUGAAUGGCUUUUAUAGCCAAAUUUUACAAGUGGAGUGGUUGGGGUGGUUUAGGUGGCCAAGGGUGGUGGAGUUGGUGGCUAAGGUGGGUGGCCAACAAAGGUGGUGGAGUAGGUGGCCAAGGUUUUUAUUUAUUUAUUUAUUUAUUUUUUGUGUUUGGGUUGGGAUUAGGUUGGGCCAAAUUGGGUUUGGUUAGGGUUGGUUUAAGUUGGGCCAAAAUUGGGCCUUUACACCUGGCCCGGCCCAUUUUUUUAAUAAAUACCAUAAAUUUAUUUUAAAAAUAAUAAAAAAGUAUUUUAAAAAUAUUUUAAAAUUAAAAAAUAAAUAUAUUUAUUAUAUCGGGCCAAGCCGGGCAGGACCCGGGCCAAAAAAGUGGUGCCCGAGGCCCGGCCCGUUUUUUAAACGGGCCUCGUUUUUUUAUCCAAGCCCAUAUUUCGAGCCUAUAUUUUUACCCAAACCCUCCCAUAUUUCGGGCGGGCCGGCCCGGCCCAUGAGCACCUCUAGGAAGAUUGAAGGACUUGGGUUUUUUUCUUUGCUUUUUGUUUAAAAGUUUUUUGUUUUUUAGGUUUUUCAUUUUAGUGCUUUAAGUUUUCUCAGCCUUUUUAGGGAUACCCGAGGCACCACCCAUUAGCAGCAAUAGGCUUCUGCCAGCUAGCUAGUGGGCUGAAACAUUGCAGGGUUUAGGAUUGUGUUCCAUCCUUUAAUCUUCAAUUUUAAUGAUUUUACUUCAAGUUUUUUUUAAGUAAAUCCCUUCCCAUAUAUAUAUUAUGCAUAUAUUAAAGUUAGUUUCUAAAGGGAAAGAGUUAAUAUUCCAUUUGGUAUGUAGGGUUUUUUUUUAAAAUUUAAUAUAUGAGUUUUACUUCAAUUUGGUAUCCAUACCAAACAAAUGUGCUUAAUGAAUACUUGGCACGUAUGUUCUAGUAAAAAAAUAUAAUUACCCACAAAACGAUCUGAUAAAAUUGUCACCCUGAAUUACCUGACAACGAUGACUCAAGUAUGAAAUUACCACCCAGAUUUCCGAGCAACGAUGGUUUCCAAAUAAUAACCUGACCCUAUGUACGCCAACUAACUCGGUCCGACAAAUAAUAGGGUAACCAAAUUUCAAUUUCAAUAUACAACCUGAUUCAUGUUUAUUCAUUUUGAUUUUCAUCAUCAGUUUACCAAUUCAAUACAUAACUUAUAUAUAUAUCAACCGAAUUUCACAUAUCAAGUAAGUCAUAAAAUUUUCUAUUCUAUUCAAUUUAGUCCUUGCUUCGAUAUUCAAUUCAAAUCAUAUCAAUUUAGCUCAAAAAAUUAUCAAUAACUAACCUCCAAUUCCAUAUAAUGUAGAAUGAUAUAAAUAUGCAACAACUAAAUGGUUCCCAAAUCAUAGAAUUACAAACCAAAAAUUUUGAUCUAAUUAAUAGCUUUGGAUUUUCCUUUUCCUCUCGAUGAAUCUAGGUCGACGUUAGUUAUGGAUUAACAUAAACACAUAACACUAUCAAUAAACAACCAAUUCACAAUCAAUUGUCAAUUUAUACAAAAAUUUCAAUUUAUUCAAUUUAGUCCCUAAAACUGAGACUAACAUAACUUUCAAUUUAAAACUCCAAAUUAAAAUUUGAUUUCACUAUGGUCCAUUAGAGACCUCCUAUUUCUUAUUUAUAUAAUCAAUUUUACAUUUAAUUCAGUUUAGUCCUUAUAAUCUUGUGUUUGCGAGUAAUUUUAGGGUUGCUUUUGUCGUUGUGCCCUCUAGUUUGGUGGAUGCUCAGUUCUUUUGUCGAUUUAUGCUCACUGUUUUGGACCAUCCGGGGUUGAUUUCCUUAUUGUAUUAAGUGCUUGCAAUCACUCCUUAUGUUGUGCUUAAGUUGUGACAGAGUCGAUUGUCAACGUGCCAUAAUGUUCUAUUGAUGUUGAAGCUAAAGCUUUUGUUAUGUUGAUGGAGCUUGUACUUUAGCGCGUUCAAUGGGUGUUUGUUACUUUUUUCCCCUGAAUUGUAUGGUCUUAUUUAUUGAAUGAAUUAAUAAAUUUCUCUUUAAAAAAAGAAAUAAUUUAUAAUAAAUAAUUAAAUGUAUUAUUUAAAACUAUUUAAUAAUAGCGCAUUAAAUAUGUAUGCUAUUAAAAUGAAAAAAAAAACAAAUUAAAUUGUUUAUCAUAAUAUUGACACUUUUCAUCAAUCUUGAGUCAAUAUCGAGUUAACUUGUGACACCAACUCAGCUAAAUAUAUUAUUAAUAUAUACAAUGAUGGGGCUAAUAAAGUGUGCACAAAAAAAUUAAAAUGUAUAAAAAUAUCAAAAUAAAACUUUAGUUGAGUAGUAAAUAUAAAUUUUAUUAAUGCAAUUAGCAAGAGUUCGAAUCUCACCAUAUACAUAUUUUAUUGGCUUUUUUUAAGUUAAAAGAUUAGAAUAUCCUUGAAUAAUAUUGUUUAGUUUAAUUACAAAAUGACAUUUUCUUAACUUUUUAAUCGAGUUGGUAACCCGAUUAAAGGUGACAUUAACUCAAUCAAGAACUUAGAUAAAUAUUAAUAUAAAAUAUAAGUUUUUGCUAUAAAAUAAAAGGACAGAAAGUAAAGAACAAAGAAAAUGAGAAAGCAAAGAGAGAGCGUAUUUUAUUGAUCAAUUGAAAUAUUUACAAAGUUUCUCCAAAAUUUCUAUUUAUAGACAUAAGAAGUAUAAAUGAAGUAUAGACCUACUUCUAAUGGCUAUAAGAAUUUAAAGUACAUCAAAAAUUAUCUUGAUCUUGAUGGACAUCCACUUAAUAAGAUAUUCAUAACACCCCCUUGGAUGUCCAUUGGUAGAUAAUGUGCCUCGUUAAAACUUUACUAAGAUAAAGAUCUUGUGGGAAAAAAUCCUAGUGAAGGAAAAAAGUAAACAUAUCUAAAUGCGUAUAUUAUGCUGCACCAUUAAAAACUUUACCAGAAAAACCCAAUGGGAUAAAACCUCGGUUAAGGGAAAAAUAGUACAAUGCAUAGUUACUCCCCUUCAUAAAAACAUCAUAUACUUUCUCAUAUUCUAUUGAAUUGAAUACUAGUUUUCAAAUGACUAUAUUAAUGAAUUUGCUAAGCAUUUAUAUCACCGUUCUUUUGGAAGUCAUGAGUGGGGAAAUUUUAGGGGAAAUAUAUUUUGAUCUCUUGAAGAGUCUCAACAAUUUUCAUAACAAACUUUAAUCAUAAUUCCUCUAUAAAAACACAAAUAGGUAUUUUGGAUCAUUUUAUAAUCCUCCUUCAACUACUAUUCGCUGAGUCAAAUUUACCACAUAUGUUCCAAUUAUUUCAAUUCAUAUAAAUGAACAAUUUCCCGACAAUUUCGAUAUGCUUCUAUCAUCCUAAAUCCUUCAAGGAUUUGAAUAUAAAUUUUACUAUAUAGUGGUUCAUAAAAAGGUUGUAACAACAACCAUUAGACAUAAGUUAAAUCUUCUAUGAAUUGUCAAAAUAAUAUAUCUAAAAAUUAUUGCAUCCACCACAAAAAAAAUAUUAUUUCUUUUCAUAAUAAAUGCCAGGACUUAGCAAAAAACUUCAUAUUAUAAUUUUGCUUUUGCAAAACUACUUCAUUUGCACCCUCACUGGCUUUAUACCUUGAGAUAUUUGGACUACUGGUCCAAAAACUCCACAAAUUUAAUUGUACUUGAAUUGCAUCUUUCUAUUUUGAUUAAUUUAUUCUAUAUCUAUAUUUCUCAAUAGAUUUAUUAAAGAUCCUCCUUUUGUUUCAUUAUAUCAAUAAUAACAUUGCAUGCAAAAUUAUUGUCAACCACUUUUAUUAUUUGGUUUCACAUUUUCUCGAAUUGGCAUAACUUAUUAAGAUCUAUUAUUUUAAUCUUCAAUUUCAGGUACCUGAAUCUCUUCUGGAGUUUUACUUAUUAGUUAUGUCUUGGGUCUCUUUUGGAGCACUUGUCUCCACUAUUUGACCAUCUAGAAGAAUUUUCAUCUUUGGAAUCGAUCAAUCUAUUAUUUAUUCUAACUGAUUGUCCUGCCGGGACUUUGAUUCAAAUUAAAAUAUUAGAUGUUAUAUAAUAUUUGGUUAUUCUUAUUAAGUUUUUAAAUACAUCUGACAGUUAACUUGUAAUGAGUUUUCCUCGUUGAGCUACUAGUUCAAAUUACGUUCCCCCUAACUCAUUACAAGUUGUUAUUUCUCUCCCCCUCAUGUUGGGAAAACUAUCGAAUCAAAAUAGUAAUCACAAAUCAUGUCAUAAUUGAAUCUCCAAUACAUACAAAGAGACUUGUAAUUAAUAUAUAUUCCCAACUCUAUUUGAGGAUUGACUCAUCUUUUUGCGUUGUGUCGGAGUAAUUGGAAUAUAUACACACAUACAAAAAUUCAAAGAUGAGAAAUAUUUAGCUCUUAAUAAAAAACUUAUCAUAAUGGGAAGUAUUUAUAACUUAUUGGUUUGAUGCGUACAACACGUAAAUCAACAUAAUCUCAUGUUGAAAUAGGAAGUUUAGUUUUCAUAAGUAAUGGUUUAGGCAUUAAUCAGAGGCAUUUAAAAAAUAAUUUCUCUAAACUAUUAUGUGCAUAAAUAACAAACUUUUACAAAAGUUUUUCAAACUUCAUCAAUAAAAUACUAAGAUAUAAAUUCAUCAGUAUUAGCAAGAUGAAUUAUCUUAAUUGCAUGAUCUGGAAUUAAUUAUUUAAAUAAACAAUCUUGCAAACGAUAGGUUGCAAGUUGAUAACACAUACGUGAUUAUUUUGUAGAUGCAUCUACCAAAAUCAUAUAAUAUCAAAAUCAUUCACAUAAUGGAUGAAUGGGCCCAUAUUCAUUUCAAAAAUGUAAGACAUUAAAUCUCAACUUUAGCUAGUGAGUUUCUAACAAUCAAUUUUCAUUGAGAACAAGCAUCAAAUGAGAAUUCUUUAAAUUAAAGAAUAUUAUGGUUCUUUAAUAAUAUCAUAUGAAUUCUCAAUUAAUUUUCACAUCAUAUUUGAUCUAGGAUGGUUUAACUAGUCACGCCAAGUAGUACUUGCAUUUGUAUUAGUAAACUUUUAGUUUACUUUAACAUACGUUUCAAUUGUACUAAAUUGUAACAAAUUGAUAAUUUUACUAUCAUUCAUUUUACUUUGUAUCUACAUAUAGGUACUAUCGUGACAUUUACUACUGUAAAUGUCUAAAUCAAUGUGAAGUCUAUAAUGUCACUAAGUCAAUAAAUAUAAUUUUCAAAUAAUUAUAUGCAAUAUUUGCUUCAGUGAAUAUGCCAAAAUCUUGAAAUGAAGGGCAUUUGGUCUAGUGGUAUGAUUCUCGCUUCAAAUGCUAAAAUUCUUGAGUUUGAUUCAAAAUACUUUUAAAACCCUUUUAACAAAAUUUUUGCAUAAUCAGUUAACUACCAAAAAUAACUACCCAGGUCAUGUAUAAAAACAAGUCUAUACUAAAUAUAUCAAUAAACAUCACAUCUCAAGCAUAAAAAUAUGACAUAAUGAAAAACUAGCAAUUUUUUUCAUAAUCAUCAUCAUAAACAUGCAUGGAAUUUAAAUCAAAAUCCAACCAUUCAAGCUCAUAGAACUUUUCAUUUACAAUUGCUCAUGUUAUUUCCCUAAAUAAUUAGCAAAUGAAAUAAUAUAAAACGUAUGAACUACUACCUUUAACAAUUCUUUGAACUAAACCAAAUCUGAAUAACCAUAAAAUUCAUUGGUUUGUUAACAUAAAUUUGCAUACUAGAUAUGUUUUAAUCAAAUAUAUUAUUUAAUUAUAAAACCUACUAUAACGAUAUAAAUAAAUCAAUUAAUUUUCAUUUUCAUAAACAAAUGAGAUGCUUAAAACAAUAUGUAACACAUUUAAUCAAAACUUAAAAAGAAUUACAGUUAUUAUUGUUUGUCCCCAUCCUCGUUGUUUGGUUUCCAAGUUGUGACCCAAAGUCGAGAUUGAUUUGGUUGUUUGGUUUCUAAGUUGUGACCCAAAAUCAAGAUUGCUUUUGAAUUUUUGGUCUGUCUCCAUUGUAAAGCACAUCAAACAAAGAUACAAAUUGAUACAACUAUUCUCAAGUUCAAAUAAAGCAUUAUCUUGUUAGGUAGAGUGAAUAAAAUCACUAAGUUAUUUUUUAUGUCAAUUAAAUUUAUGGUUUUUUUCAAUUAGUUGGAUUGAUUAAAUAUUAAUAAUUUAUAAACACAUUCAUUUAAAUUAAUUUUACACUGUAAUAAAAAGUAAGAUGUUGUUUAAUAAAUCAAAAAAAAUUAAGUGAAAAAUAAAAAAAGGUGUUAUUUAAUAAUUCAUAAAUUGUACGAGAGUGAAGUGUUAGAUAUUUUUGGAUAUGUUUAAUGUGCUUGGGUUAGGAUAGAAAUUUCAAAAUCCGAGAAAAUAUAAAUAGUCAAACAUAUAAAUCAAAUCCAACUAAAAAUGCUAGAAAUUUGAUUUAUCAUACUCCUAUUAGAAAAAGAUAGAAAUGACGUGAAAUCACAAUUUCAUACAACCCUUUCUCCUCACAGUGAUUAUUGUUUGUCCCCAUCCUCAUUGUUUAAUUUCCAAGUUGUGACCCAAAAUCAAGAUUGACUUUGAAUUUUUGGCCUUCUGUCUCCAUUGUAAAGCACAUCAAACAAAGAUACAAAUUAAUACAACUAUUCUCAAGUUCAAAUAAAGUAAUAUCUUAUUAGGUAGAGUGAAUAAAACCACUAAGUUAUUUUUUAAGUCAAUUAGAUUUAUGAUUUUUUAUUCAAUUAGUUGGAUUGAUUAAUUUGAUAAAAAAUAAAUAUAAUUUUAAUUUUAAAUAAGUAUUAAAAAUAUUAAUAAUUUAUAAACACAUUCAUUUAAAUUAAUUUUACACUGUAAUAAAAAGUAAGAUGUUGUUUAAUAAAUCAAAAAAAUUAAGUGAAAAAUUAAAAAAAAUGUUUAAUAAUUAAUAAAUUGUACGAGAGUGAAGCGUUAGAUUUUUUUGGAUAUGCUAAUAAUUAAAAAUAUUGUACGAUGCUUGAAAGUUAUCUGAUACACAUUGUACCAAAUUUCAAUACCACAUAUAUGUUAUAAAAUCUUAUGAUGCUCUAAUCAACUAUUUAUAAAUUCAAUUUAAAAGAUAUUAUACAAUAAUUUCAAGCAUAUUUAAUAACAAUAAUUUAAUCAUAAAAACUUUUAAUCAUCCAAAUAUCAUACAUACUAUAAUUUAAUAAAAGAAUCUUAGUUUAAAAGAAACUAUAAAUUAAUAAUAUUUUUUUACCAAAAAUCAAUCAACAAAGGAGAAAAACAUACCACUUAAGGAUUAUAUAAUUUUUUCUGUAUAAUAAUUACCCAUAAUGUGCAGGCCCCAAUUGAAGACUGAAAUAACAGUAGCUCUAGAAGGCAAUUGGCAACAGCUUGAGUAGCAAAUUUGAGUGACCGACUAUUGCAUUGGUUGUUGCUUGAAAGGGGUAAGGCUUUGUGAAAGGGAAAAAAAAUUGUGACUUAUGGAGAAAAACAAUUAAAAGAAAACUGUGCUAAUAAGGUGUUAUAAAAUAAAAGGACAGAAAGUAAAUAACAAAUAAAAUGAGAAAGCAAAGAGAGCAUAUUUUAUUGAUCAAUCGAAAUAUUUACAAAGUUUCUUUAAAGUCUCUAUUUAUAGGCAUAAGAAGUAUAAAUAAAGUAGAGAUCCACUUCUAAUGACUAUAAGAAUUUAAAGUACAUCAAAACUUAUCUUAAUCUUAAUGGACAUCCACUUAAUAAGAUAUUCAUAACAAAUUUAUUAUUUUAUUAUUUUAUAAACAAUAAUAUAAGCUUUUUGGACAAAUUGAGUCGAGUUUAAACUUAACCUAAAUUUUUAAAAAAAAAGAGUCUAGGCCCAAUUUAGCUCAUGAAUAUCUUUAAUGGUUAAUUAAUUAUUUAUUUUAAUGAGUUUAUCUAAAUGUAUUUUAGUUUAUUAAUUUGAGUUUAGUGAUUCAAUGUAAUUUUUUUUAUAACUUUUAAUACAACUAUAAGAUGUAACUUAAAAAAAAUAUUUAUAAUUAUAAAUAUAAUUAUCAUCAAUUAGUUACUAAUAUGUUAUUUUGUUGUUCAUUAUUUACCAUUAAUUUUUUCAUAAUUUAAUAGUGUUUUCUAUUUAAAUAUUUUUAAAAAAUAUUUAUUAUAAUAUGCUUUUUGGAAAGUUAUCUUAUAGAAUAUGUUUUUUUUACCUCAACACCUAUAGAUCGAGUUUAGUGAUGUUUAUUGUACCACCAAGUUUUUGUGUCAUUGAAAUUAGAAUAAUUAUUUUGAAAUUAUUACAACACAUUAACACCCAGAAUCUUAAACCGUAAUAAUAUGAUUUAAUUUUCUAAUAGCUUUGGAUAAUAUUUAAACAAAACUCGGACAUUUAUGGAUGUUGAAUUUUUUUGUAAAAUUAAAAAAAACAUAUAUAGUAAUUCGUAACCAUUAAUUAAAUUUUUUGUAAAAUUAAAAAAAACAUAUAUAGUAAUUCGUAACCAUUAAUUAAAAAGGAGACACAAAAAUUAAUUGAUCUCGCUGCCCACGAGAAUAUUUAAAAAAAUACUAAUAAAACUCUAAUUUUUAUAGGUUUUAAAAUGAUUUUAAUUUUCAUAAAAAAUAUAUAAUUUAAUUAUGACUUUUCAAAAAACAAAUUCUUACAUCACCCUCAUUCCAACUAAAAAAAUUACCCGAAUAUAAAAAAACAAAAAAGGAUAAUCAAAGGAGGAAAGUUGUAUAAAAUGUAUGUGGUAGCGGGGAAGAUAAUGGUGGUGACGUUGAGGGAUUAUAUAUUUAUAAUUUUAAUUUAUGUUUUACUAUUUAAUUUUUUAUUUUACAUUUCGUUAAUUAAAUGAAUUAAAUAAGAUCAUUUUUUCUAUUAAUUUUCAGUUUUUUUUUAAAUUCAAAUCUAAUUAAAAAUACUAAAAAUCUGAUUUAUCAUCCUCCUAUUAAAAAUAAAUAGUGAUGAUGUGAAAUCACAAUUUCAUACCAUCUUUUUUCCUUACAGUUAUUGUUGUUUGUCCCCAUCCUCGUUGUUUGGUUUCCAAGUUGUGACCCAAAGUCAAGAUUGAUUUGGUUGUUUGGUUUUCAAGUUGUGACCCAAAGUCAAGAUUGAUUUUAAAAUUUUGGUUUGUCUCCAUUGUAAAGCACAUCAAACAAAGAUAGAAAUUGAUACAACUAUUCUCAAGUUAAAAUAAAGCAUUAUCUUGUUAGGUAGAGUGAAUAAAAUCACUAAGUUAUUCGGUUAACUGAAUUAACCGAAAAUUAUAUGUUUUUUUAUUUUUGGUUAAAAAUUAAUCGAAUUAACCGAAUUAACCGAAUUACCCAAAUUAACCAAAUUAUCCGAAUUAUCCGAAUUAUCCGAAUUAAUCGAAUUAACCGAAUUGAAUCACUACAUAAUUAAAUUAUUUUUAGACUUUUAGACUUUAGUUUUAAUUUUAGUUUUAGAAUUUUAUUUUUAUUUAUUAAAUUAUUUGUAAUUUUUAUGAUUGGGUUGGGUUGGGUAAUUGUGUUGGGUUGAAUACUUGGGUUUGGAUUGGGUUUAGGUGAAUAGUGGGCCUAUUUAUAUAUUAUAAUUUUAUUUAUUAAUUUUUUCGGUUAAACCGAAAAAAUUUGGUUAACCGACUAGUUUUGAACCAAAUUAACCGUUAACCGAAAAAUCAAAAAAUAAUUAAUCGACCCCUGACCAAAAAAAUUCGGUUAACCGAUCGAUUAACCGAAUUCGAUCAGUUAACCGAAUUUUUUUGGUUUUAUCCAAAUUUUGCACACCCUUAGGUUAAUGUACUUGUGUUGUUGUUUCGACACCAUAAUCAAUUCAGUUUUGCUUCAUCCAUAAUAAUUGUGCACAACUCUCAAGUACAAAACUUAAACCGUGGAUUAUGAGAUAGAAUUUUAUCUUUGUUUUUUGUGGGCAAAUAACCAAUAAAAGCCCCUUUAUUUUUAAAUUUAUCGAAAUGGGCUAGGUUCUGAAUUAAUUACCGAAAUGGACCAUUUCUCCCAAAAACGCGUCCAUGUCAGCGCGUUGUCAGGGGAUCAAGCAAGAAAACGCUUCCUCAAGGAAAAAAAUUAGAUUUAGGGUUUUUGCAAUUAGAUUUAGGGUUUUACGGUUUUUGAGUUUUUAGAUUUUAGGGUUUUAAGGAAAAAAUUAAAUAAAUAAGGGUUUAGGGUUUCUUAAUUAAAUUAAUUAUAAAUUUAAAAAAAAUUAGAUUAGGGUUUAGUGUUUAUGGUUUUUAAGGAAAAAUUAAAUAAAUUAGGGUUUAGGGUUACUUGAGUAAAUUAAUUAUAAAUUUUAAAAAAAUUAGAUUAUGGUUUAGUGUUUAGGGUUUUUAAGGAAAAAAUCAAAUAAAUUAGGGUUUAGGAUUACUUGAGUAAAUUAAUUAUAAAUUUAAAAAAUUAGAUUGGGGUUUAGUAUUUAGGGUUUUUAAGGAAAAAUCAAAUAAAACUAGUUGUUAUUCGUUAUAUAUUUUAAACUCUGGCCCAUUUCGGAACCUGACCCAUUUCGGUAAUUUUAAAAAUAAAGGGGCUUUUAUUGGUUAUUUGCCCAAAAAAUAAACUAAUAAAAUUAAAUGUUUUUAGUAAAAAUUAAAUUUAUUAAAAGAAUUUUUUAAUAAUAAAUUAAAAAUAAAAUAUAUAAUGAAUUUUUGUAUUUUCAAAUUUUAAAAUAAAAAAGAGUUUUUUUUAUAAAAACAUAAAAAGAGUUAAAAGUUUAUAUAUAUAUUAAAUUUAUCUUUUGCUGUAAUUUUAAAUUUAUAAUAAAUUAAAAAUAUUAAUAUAAUAUAAUAUGCAAAAAAAUACUUGAAAUUUAAUAUAAUACAAUCAUAUUAAUAAUAGAAUAUUUUAGGGAUAAUAAUUCCUUAAUUAAGGUCUUAAGAUCAUGGGUAAAUAUUUUAUUGAUUGUUAGUGAAUGAUUUACAAAAAAGUAUUAUUAAUUUUAUUUAAUGGAAUUUAACAUAAAUUUUAAUAUUUUAAUAUUUAAUAUAUAUAUUAAAUUGUAGAAGUUUAAAUUUAAAAUUCGAGAAAAAAUAUAAUAAUUGUAAUUAAUAUUUAACUAUAUUUAAACAAAGUUAGACUUAAUAAAUAAUUUUUAAAUAAUUUUUAAUUUUUUUAAAAUUUAUAAUUAAUUUAAUUAAGAAACCCUAAACCUUAAAAUCUUAUUUAUUUAGUUUUUUUCCUUAAAACCCUAAAAUCUAAAAACUCAAAAAUCCCAAAACCCUAACUCUAAUUGCAAAAAACCCUAAAUCCUAAAAAACAAGGAAAGCGCUUCCUUGAGGAAGCGUUUUUUGUCCACGUGGACAAAGCGCUUCCUUGAGGAAGUGUUUUCCUGCUUUAUCCUCUGACAACGCGCUGACGUGGACGAGUUUUUGGGGAAAAUGGUCCAUUUUGGUAAUUAAUUCAGAACCUGGCCCAUUUCGGUAAUUUUAAAAAUAAAGGGGCUUUUAUUGGUUAUUUGCCCAUUUUUUGUAGUGCUAUGAAAUUUAGCUUAAUAGAUAAUAGCAAAUUUGUGGAAAUACAAAAACUUAGCUUAACAUAUUUAAUAACUAGUGAUUGGGUUAGGAUAGAAAUUUCAAAAUUUGAGAAAAUAUAAAUAAUCAAACAUAUAAAUCAAAUCAUGCAUUCUAAGGCAUAAAUAAUAAACAAGUUCUCGAUGAUGUGGUAUUUAAUAUCUAUCAAUUUUGUACGAGAGUAAAGCAAGUAUAAAGACUUAAAAAUGAUUAAAUUAAAGUAAAAAAAUAAUUCUACAACUUGUACCAACGGAAGAUUUUUUGAUUAGGUGAGGGAUACAGUUGGAUCCGUUAUCUAGUGGCUGUCCAUGGUGUGAUAGAGUUAUAGAAAAUGUUAAUCAUUUGUAUUUUCUAUGUCCUUUUAUUAAUAUAUAGUUUUUGGUCUCGCAUUUCUAAUUGGUAGAGUUUUGAUUGGAAGAAUGUGGUGAAUUUUGAAGAAUUCUUUACUUUGUACUGGAACAUGCCCCUGAUAGGUCUGCAAAAAAGCUUUCGAUUAGUGGCGAUUGCGGGAUCUUGUUGGAUAGAAGAUAUCAGAUCUUGUCUUCCUGUAUUGGCAGUGAAGUAGAUCGAAGAUAGCAGAUCUUGUCUUCCUGUAUUGGUAGCAAAGUAGAUCGAAUAUAGCAAAUCUUGUCUUCCUGUAUUGGCAGGGAAGUAGAUCGAAGAUAGCAGAUCUUGUCUUCCUAUAUUGGCAGGGAAGUAGAUCGAAGAUAGCAGAUCUUGUCUUCCUGUAUUGGUAGGGAAGUAGACCGAAGAUAGCAGAUCUUGUCUUCCUGUAUUAGCAGCGAAGUAGAUUGAAGAUAGCAGAUCUUGUCUUCCUGUAUUGGCAGCAAAGUAGAUUGAAGAUUAUAGAUCUUGUCUCCCUAAGCAGUAGUGGAGCAGAUCGAAGAUGAUAAAUAUUAUCUUCCCAAGGUAGUAGGGAACCAGAUUUAAGCCACCAGUCCUAUCUCCUUGAGUAGCGGUGGAGUAGGUUGAAGAUCGUAGAUCCUGUCUCCCUAAGCAGUAGUGGAGCAGAUCGAAGGCAGCAAAUCCUAUCUUCCCAAGGUAGUAGGGAAGCAGAUUUAAGUCACCAAUCCCUUCUCUCUGAGUAGCAGUGGAGUAGGUCGAAGAUUGUAGAUCAUGUAUCCUUAAGCAAUAGUAGAGCAGAUCGAAGGCAGCGAAUCUUAUCUCCUUGGCGUUACAGUAGAACAGAUUAAAGCUCAAGGUAGCGAAUCUUGUUUCCAUAGCAUUGCAGCGGAGCAGAUCAAGACUGAAGAUAACCAACCUUAUCUCCCUGAAGUUACAGUGGAGCCGGUUGAAGAUAUCAAUCUUAUCUCCCUGAAGUUGCAGUGGAGUAGGUUAAACGAAGUGAGCCUUAUCUCCCCGAAGCUACAGUGGGUCAGGAAGAGGCUACUUGAAGAAGAAGCAUACCAAUGUCCAACACAACCGGACAAAAUUGGCCUUCUAAUUUAGUCUUUGCUUCAUUUUCAUUACACGACAAUGAGCAAAGAGGGGCAGCUGUAAUAGGCCAAUUUAGCCCGGGCUCACAAAAAAAAUAAUAAACUCAAAAUAAUAAAACAAAGUCCAAGUCCAGUCCAAAAUUGUAUCAUUUGGCCCGAUCGGAAUGACCCAUUACUUGAAAAAGGAUAUGCAAUCUUAGAUAUAAUAUGCAAUCUUAGAAGAUAAGAUUUUGUAAUCUUAGAUAUUUAAUUUGUAGAUACCAUUUAAAUCUUAGCCGUUGAUGUAAUUGAUCUAUACCGUUGGAUUUAGGGAGGCUCAACUAUAAAUAGAGACCUCUCCCUUCAUUGUAAAACACUGGAGUUGGGAGCAAUAAUAAUUCUUAAGAGCAUUCACUCAAAUUUCUCCUUCUCUUGUGUUCUUAUUUUCUGUGGCCUGUUCUUAUUUUGUUUUUUGUUCAUCUUUGUUUCAUUUUAAGUUGCUUUCAUUUGAGUUGGAUUUUGGUGGAAGAAUUUCGUUGAAUCUUCAUAUUGUGGGAGUAAGGCUGACUUAAGUGUUUUUUUUAACCUUUUUUAUUUAUCCAUUUAAUUGUUUAAUUAUUAAUUAUUCUUUUACUUUUAUUCGUUUAUUUAUCCAUCAACUUUCUUAUUUACAUAUCGUUCAUUCAUUUAACCAUUCUUAUCAUUCUUUUAUUUUUUCCAUUAAUUAUAUACUUUAUUUGUUUUUAAUAUUAUGUCACACAUGUUAUUUAUUUUUUAAAAACUCGUGUUAUAAAUCAUCUAUUUUAAAUUAUUUGAUUAUUUGCUUUAAAUUUUUUUCCAUAUAUUAUCAAUUGCAAUUUAUUUUUUAUACUAUCUAUUUUUUCCAUAUUUUGGCCCUCAGUUUUGUUUUAUUCUCAUUUUUUCCUUUUAAUUCUGUUUUAAAAUCAAUUUAAUCCUCACUAGUUUGAUUUAAUUUGCUUGUGUUUUAUUUAUUUAAGUAUUGAUUAUUAUGAUUUUUAAAAUUUUAAAUAUGAUAUUAUUUGAAUGUUUAUACUUAUUAUUAUUAAAUUAAUCAUUAAUAUUAUCUAAGUGUAUUGUAUAUUAUUAUUUUAGAUUUAUCAUGUUUUGUUAUUUGUAAUUUAUCAAUAUUAUUAUUUUAAAUUCAUUGAUAACAUUACUUUAAAUUUAUCAUGUAUAUCUAUUUCAAAUUUAUCAUUAAUAUUUUUAAAUUUAUUAUAUACUAUUAUUUUGGAUUUAUCACGUAUGAUUAUCCUAGAAUUAUCAUCAAAAUUUUUAAAUUUUACAUGUAUUAUUAUUUCAAAUUUAUUAUAUAUUAUUUAUUGUAAAUUAUCCAAUUCAUUUCAAAUUGUAGAUAUUGUUUGUUUUAAUUCAUGUAUUGUUUUAAACUUCAUCCAUAUACAUACUAUUUAUUUUGGAUUAUACAUAUUACUUAUUUUCUAAAUUAUUUUUAUUAUUUUUCUAUAUAAUGUAUAUUCUAAUUUUUCUUCAUAUUUCAUUUGCUUAAAUAUUUUUGUAUAUUGUGUUUUAUUAGUUGUUUUAAACAAUUUAUUAAAUGAUUUAUUUCAAUUCAUUUCAUGUAUUCAUUUUAUCUUAAUUAAUUGAUUUACAUAAUAGAUUUUUUAGCAUAUUACUUACUUCAUGUUGUUUCAUUUAUGUACCAUUUCUUUGGAAUUAAGUUUGUUUUAUAUAUUAUUUCGAGUUCGAUAAUUAUUAUGUGUGUUUGGGGUUUAUACGCGCAUAUUAUUUAGUAUUCUGCCCAUGUAUAUUAUUCCAUGUUCAUACAUUUACUUUUCAGUUCCGAACAUUACAUCAUGGUUAAUUUGAUUAUUUCAUUUCUUUUCAUUUCGAAUAAAUCAAAUUUAUAUCAUUGUUAAUAUUGCAUUAAACCUUCGCUUUAAUCCAAUUUCGUAAAAAAAGGGAAAAAGAAGUUUGCAAUAUGUCGUCUUUGGAACGAUGAGAAAUCGUGCUCUAACUUACAGGGUUUCGAUCUUUCUCAUCGAACUAAAAUGGCUAAAUAUCUUAGUUGUCAAAUAUACAAAGUUUCAAUAAAGAUUUUUUAGCUUACGCUCGGGAAUUGAAAUGUUGCAUCCUAACUUACGGGAUACGAUAUUUUGUCGUCUCGGGAUGAGAAGGCUUUUUUACAUUCGUUUAAAUUUAUCCAAGUACUAUUUUAAGAUAUGUUAUUAAUAAAGGGGGAUUGUUUUUAAUCUUUUCAACUUUACGACAUUCGACUAUAAGACAUUAAUAAUCAAUUAGGUAGCAAUUUUGGGCGUUACGAGGGUGCUAACCCUUUCACGUGCGUAACCGACUCCCGAACCUAUUUUCUCAAAAUUCGUAGGCCUAAAAUCGUUUUCAAGGUGAUCCAAUCACACCUCAAUAAAAGAUCGGUGGCGACUCCAUUUUUUCGUUUUAAAAGUCGACCCCAUUUUUUCAAAAUAAAAAAUGGUUUCGACAAGUAGUAUUUUGAUUAUGUUUUUAUAGAUGUAAUUUAGUAUUACUUUAUUCUUUAGCCAAAAAAGAUUUUUUUUAUAAUUUAAUUAAAAUUUACUAUUAUGAUUCAAUUUGAUGUAGCUUCUAGAGAUGACAAUAAAGUCGGGUGAGAGCAGAUAUUGCUAAACCUAUUACCACUCCAUCAUUUGCAUGUUGUAUACAUCCAUCUAAUCCCAUCCCAUCCCAUCCCACCCUGCAUUAUCAUAACUGCUUCGUACCUAUUACCCAAAAGAAAAAAUCCACCCCGUUCAGCCCUGCAUCCACUUUUCAAAAAAAAAAUCUAUUUCAAGCGAAGCAAUUCAAAAUGUAUUGGACAAUUUGAGUUGUCAUACCUAAUAACUUUAAUCUGAGUUCAUAAUUGAAUACUGAGUUUAGAUGGUAAUUUGUUUUCCAAACUUUUUGAUGUCGUGUUCUUCGACAUGCCUAUGAACCGUUUCAUCAUUUGCCUCUUAGAAAAUUAAAAAUAAGUUGUUUAUACUAUGUGAUGUAGUUUUAAAACCGUUUCUUUUUUUUUUAUUUAUCCGUUAUUUAUUUGGUGUAGGCGAAAAAUAUUUUAUGGGUUUGUGUUUUUAAAAAAAGAGUCAAAUUUUAUUUUUUAAUCACCAUUAUCAAAUGUGUUUAUUAAUUUAGCGUAAAUAUUUUUCAUAUUUAUCAUUAAAUAUUAUUAUAAUUGUUUCAUGUUACUUUACUUAUUUUUCAUAUUUUUCAACUUAAUAUUAUAAUUUACUAUAGGUAACAAUAAUUAAAAAUACAUUAUUUAAAAUUAAUUAAAAAUUAAAUACGUAAAAUCAUAGGCAUGUGACAUUAGAAAUUACUUUAAAAAUAUAUAUCAAACAAAUUUUAUAAUUUAAAUUAAAUAUUUAAUUUUUUUAACACUUACUCUCUUUUUUUUUUAAUUUAUCAACCAAUUUUUAAGUCUAACCUAAUUCAAACCAAGGAAACUUACUUGGAUUUUAUGUUGGGAAUUAAAUAAAAAAGAGAAAUAUUUUUCACUUCAAACUUAUUCAGUUUAAUUACCAAAACUCCAAAAUAUUUUUUUGAAGACACCCAAAAAAACCCCUCUAUAAAAAAUAAGGAUAAUUUGUGAUAUUUUUCCUCUUAAAUGAUGUUAUUUAUAUUUUUAAUUAUAUUAUUUAUAUUUUAUUUUAUUUAUUAUUGAUUUAGAGAAUAAUUAGAGAUAAAAAAAAGCUUAAAGUUUAUUUUUGACAAGUUUUGCGGGUUGGACUUUCAACAUUUACAAUAUAGUUUCAGUAUUUUGGCAAUAACUUAAGCUACAAAUUUUAGUUUUGGGCUCAUAAUAUAUAGAUUUGAAGAAAAUUGACAUAACUAACUAAAGUUGUCUUGUAGAUGAAGCCCAAAAACAUCAAGAAGACAUCAAAAAAUGUCCUAGAAGUUUGACGGAAAAAUUGCCAAAAUAUCUUGAAAACUUUUGCUUUAUAUAAUUAAUGGCACUUUUGUACUUUCUCUAUUAUAUUAUUUUUCCCCUAUAGAUAGACAUUAUUAGGUUAAUACGAGGGGAGACCUAAACCUAGCCAUUCUUAGUUUUAUUUUGUUUUCUUUAUUUUGUGGCUUUUUAAACUCUCCAUCUAGUCAAAGGUUUUAUCAAAAUUUGAUUUAAUAAAUUUGCGAGACUUAAUUUUUGCUUUAAUUUUUCUUUGUUCUUUAGUAUUCAUGCAUUUUUUGUUUUAAUUACAACUUUUCAGGUUUAUUGAAUGUUCAGUCGGUAUUUGAUAGCCUAGAAUGAUUGUUUUGUCAAUUAGAAUUGUUAAACCCAUAAUUGUAUAAUUCAUUCUAAUACUAGUGACAAACUGCAUAAUUCGUUUAAGUGUAGUUCAUGUUUAUGUGGUGUGAAUGUGUGAUAUAGCUAAAAUGAAUCUCACUAGGAUGAGUUUGUUGGUUAGAAUUUGGACUCUCUCGUUCUUAAUACUGGCGGUAAGUUAAAUCUGGGGCGUUGAGUUACAGGGUUAUUUAUCGAUUAGGAAAUAAUUUCAAAUGAGUUUUCUCUUGGCUAUCGAACAAUGAGAGAUUGGUUGUCCGACACUGAGUCAAUAACUAGAACUAAUUUAUUAAAGGUAUUGAAGUUAUUUUUGCAUUGAUGAUCAAAUCUUUGAAUCAAACGAAGAUUUUAGUACUUCUAGAGUUUCUCCUCAUUAAUUUUCUUUUCUUUUGUUUUAUAAUUUAUUUUUACUUUGUUUUAAUUUUAAUUUUUAAUUUUAAACUCUUUUUAUAUUUUUCAUGUAAAUUUUUGUUUUUAUAAAUCGCUGCAUCCUUGCAUUACUUCAAUACAACACCAGAAGAACAAAAUGUCAAACACUGACGCUUAUAGAUAAAAAUCUUGCAAAAGAGGCCGUUUUAUUUUAUCAUAAAAUUAUUCAUGAAAUAGCCAUACAUGGCAAUUACAUAAGCUUGAAGGCCUUAAAACACAGAGACAUACGAUAGAAAUACGCAAACACACACACAAACGAUAGUAAUAAGCAAACACACACAGACGCAGUAAUGAAGGCUAACUUCAACUUCGUAGUAGUGCACACCGAUGGAGCACAUUAUUAUUUAGUUUACAGUUUCGACCUCUAGUGAUCGAAAACCCUGGCUCAAAGCCGGCAGCUUACGCACCCGUAGUGGUGUUGGGUUGGUUGCCAAGAAAAGCUGCAUCAGCAUUCUCAUCAGUGCAAUAAAGGCAAGGGUGCUGCUGUCCACAUCCUAGCUUUAUUAUUUCAUUCCUGACCUUCACCACAAGUUGUCUAUUGCUUAAUGCCCCAUUGCUCUCCCUGAUGACCUUCAGAACUGUAUAGGUAAAGGCCCCAAACCCCAUUCCUCCGGUUUUGUCACUCGCUCCCAUAUCACUCGAUUCCUCAUUGGCUUGGCACCCACUUAACAGAAUUCCCUCAUCCUCCGUCAGUGACCUCAAAUUCACAAUAUCACGUUCAUCAUGGGGUAGGAAUUUGAGACUCACAUUGUUCCCAAAGAUUGUGGUCAAAAUAGAGCCAAUACCCUCCAUAUUAUCUGUUCCAGUGUUGAUGGCAUUCCCAAGUGCUCUUGUGGGAAAUAAGCCUUGUGUCGCGAUUAUGACGUUGGCUACUGUUUGUAGGCACUGGUAUAAGGUUCCUAAGGAAAUGCCCCUAGUCUUGUAAUCAACAGGUAGUGCUAUACCCCUUAGAGUACUAUGGGGUCCAAUUUGUUCUUUACUUUUAUCAAUCAGACCACCACUGUGGCAGGAAUCCGAAACCAUUGUGAAGCUUGAUCCACUUGGUAGUUGCUUAAUCAAUUGCCCCAAGUCCACGUCUGCACAACCAUCGCAACCACAAUAUGAUAUAAAUUACAGUUUGCUUAGAUUGAGAGAAUUUUAAUAAUUUAAUUUACCGAGUUGAUUACGUACCAAAAAUGGGAUUGAAAUCACAAGGCACAAUUGCUUCACCCUUGUUGGAAGGCUGGUGGGGGUCAAUGCGGUCCACAAUUCCAUGUCCACUAAAGUGGAAAAGCAGGACAUCUCCUUCUUUAGCCGCGUCCACCAUCUUCUUGAGUGCAGCCAUAAUGUUUGCCCGUGUAGGCUUAUACUUGGACUCUGGUUCAUCAGUUAGGAGCUCAACAUUUUCGGAAUCAAAGCCAAACCUGCUCAAGAUCAUAUCUCUCAUGGCUUUCGCAUCGUUUACGCAUCCACUCAACUCUUUGAAGGUGUUGGGGUAGUUGCAUCCGACCAGAACGGCUCUCUUCUUACAUUCGGUGGGCAUCUUGCUUCUAUUUUGGGUCGCUU